AAAAAAAAAAAAAAAAAAAAACUAAAAAAUCAGAAAGGGAACCUUUUCCAGGAAGUCAUAACAUUGGACCCUUUCUUUCCCCGUUCGGAAGAGGAAAACGUGGGGUGAAUAACUCCCUUGGGGAAAAUCCGUCCUCGGAUUCAAACAGCGGAUCCCCACUUGAGGUUGUUAUUCUUGAGCUAGAUCUGAAAGAGGAUAGCGGCAUAGUCUCGUUUUUCUUACAAAAAAAAAAACUACGAGUCUCUCAGGAUUCUUUUUAAAAAAACAAAAAAGCUUUCGGACUCUUUAAAGGAAUAAUAUAUAAUGGACCUGCUAAAGCAGAUUUCGGGUCCAAUUAAAACAUGGCCCAACACUUUCGGAGCCAUUGUUUAGGUCAUGAUCGAAACCAUUACCUGGUCAUUCUUAUGACAAAAUUCUCACGAAUUGUAAAAACCUUAUCCCUCGAUAAAAAAAACCUAAGCCGAGCUCUAUCCUCGCACCCGAGAGACCGAGGAAAAAUACUUGUUAAGAUUUUUUCGUUAAAAAAGGCAAGUGAGCCUGAUCAGCUCAUCUCUCACAAUUCAUAAAACCUCUUUGGUGGGCUAAGACUUGCAAACCUAGAAUCGCAUCCAAACGUUUCACCUUUAAAAAUAUAUAUAUAUAUAUAUAUACAUACAUAAUGGUGUUCAAUCACACUAAUCAAAAACAAAACAUUUUCGUCAAACGGAUUAGUCCUUAUGGAUACAGCAAAACAAUUUUUUAAGAGCGUCCCUCUGCCUCAGGAGAACCCUCGUGUGGCCGAGAGCCUUCACCUACCUCGAAUUGAGAGGGGGAAUCUCCAAAUACCAAAGAAAAUUGUUUUAGAUCGAGAGUAGGACGGGAAGCCGAGGAUAACUCGGAUUCAACCACAGCGAGUUCGGCAGCAACUUCGCUCCUCUCGCUCUCGAACGAAACUCUUCCAGCCUCUAGUUCCUUAAUCAGGUCUAGAUUGCUCUUCAGUUCGGCUCGAUCUGUUAGAAUUUUAGUCCAGACCUCCUCGUCCUUGAUGAACCUCGUAACAGAUUGAAUAAGUUGCCUACCGAAUCCCCUCAUCUCUUAUCGAGCAUUAUGUUCGGCUUUAGCGAUAUCGCGAGCCCUGUUCCUAGUUAAAAGCUCGAUCUCUUGAUUCGAUUCUUCGAACAAAGCCGUAUUCUCCUCUAGCUCAGCCUCCAAGCGAAGAACAUUAGACCUCGCAGAAUCUCUUUCAGCAUUCGCAAUUCGGAUGCGUUGUUCGUUAGCUGCUAGAGUUUUCUUCAUAUUUUCAAAAGAUGACUCGAGUGCUUUUUCUCGCUCAAGUCGCUCAGAUUGGUUGGCUAAUUUAAGUUCGUCAACCUCCUUCUUUGCGGUCUCUCUCUUCGCUUGAUGAAGAAGGUUCUCAUAAUGGAAGAUCAUUCCAUUAGUCUCCAUAAACGUCUUCGGAGUAAAAAAAAAAAAACGUGUCGUUUUGACAUAAAGCUUUUACCUAAGGAAGGGAGGUUGUCAUAAUCUAAAAAGAUCCGAACCUGGGAUAGGUAGCAAGCUCGAUUGGCGAACAUCUGAUGGAUUUCCGGCCUCCAAACCGAAAAAGGAGGUAGGGACGCCCCUUCCCUGGUUUGGAAACUUCGGAAGAUGUCUCCAAUCUCUUCUCCGCCUGCGAAGCAGAGGAGAAUAGCAGAUUAAUAAAUAGAUGCAAUCUGUAACAAGUUUUGCUAAUGCUCGCUUUCCAAGUAAAAAAUUACUUGAAAUCGAAGCAAGUAAAGGAUUUUGAGUCCUAACACUCAGUCCUUGAGAUAGGGGAGCCUCCGGUCUCGGCUCAUCUAUUUCCUCUAAAAUUACUCUGUCUCCCGGAAGAGGGAGCUCAAAAUUUAAAGGUUCUGAAGAGGGAGAAACAGAACGUAGAGGGCUAGAGACUCGUGGCGGAGAACUUAAUCUCACGGUUUUAAGUCUCUCGUUUGAUAGAUUAUCGGAAUCUGGAGCCUUCCUCUUUGUAUAAGGAGAGGAGGUUAUUUAUCCCUCACGCCCUGGUUCAGAAGGACAAAUUGCGGUGGCAACUGGAGGGUCGUUAAGAAUCUCGGCUCCAUGAGUAUCCACCGCGGCCGACAGGGCCGCUUCUAAUGAACCAUCAUCAACCAAGAGGGUCUUCCUGUGGAAGUUACCAACCCUGGAGAUUGCAGCUAUCCGUUUCUUUCUCCCGAUUUUGGAUAGCUGAUCCUUAAGAGCCUUGAUUUCAGCCUGCAUCUUUCUUUUAUCUCGAACAUUCAGGCUCGAGACGUCUUUCUCCUCGGGAGGAGGAUCGAGGGGGUGAGUCUGACCGUCUUUAAUGGUGAGCCCCGCUUUAUGAAUGCGUUAGAGGGUGAAGGAAUUCCAAUUUGUUUCGCCCUCGGAAAUGAUUCGAAAGAAGGACAAGAAGUCAACAGUUGGGCGGGGGAUCGUCUGGUUCCCUGAAACAAAGUGUUGGGUUAAGAAUUCUAUCUCUUUUACAUAAUACAGUGGAAAGUAAUAAAGGUUGGAUUUUUAACCGAGUUUAGCCGACCAAUUGGCGAGAAGAAGACCGGAAAGACCUUGAACGGAAUGGGGAUUGACUCGGAAAAAGAACCAGUAUUUCCUCCAAGGCCCAUCAUUUGAGGGCAUUCCGUCGAUUAGGUUACGGUCAAGGAUAGGGUUUAUAAAAAAAAUACCCGCUGCUGCGGAUUCACGGGCUCGAAAUAGCCCUAAGAGUUCGCUGGUGGAGAGGGAAAACCCUGCUUCUGCCGAAACAGUCAGGGUGCUCAGAACGCAUCGAAGAAAGUUGGGAGCCAUUUGGGGAAAGGCAAUCCCUAGGUGGAGGAGGUAUAAAAGAAGAACUUCCGGUACGGGAAAAAACAAACCACAACCUUUGAAAUAGACUUCGUACGCACAACAGUAACCCUCUCGCACCACUUCCGGAGACUCGUUGGGUCUAGGAAGAGAGAAUUCAAUUUCCUGGGGGAUGUUACAAAGGCGGCGAAGAGCGCCAAGGGAAGCAGAGGUCGAUUGAGACCUGAAAUGCGGACCAAAUUUGUCUCCCCUUUGGGUGAAGACUUCGUCCCCUCUGGGAACAGGGAUUCCUUGACUGUCAUCUUCGUUGUCCGAAACAUAGACGGCUGGGGAAGACAUCUUUUACUAAGAGGUUUCUCUUUUUCUGGUUUAGUAAAAGCUUUAAGAGAUAAAAGUACGCUGCUGUAAAAGCCGUCGUUCCAUUUAACCUUAUUUAGCAGAAAACCGCUUGGAGAAUAAUGGGAAGUGGGACGGUUUUCCCUGCUAUAUUAAUAUAAAAUUAGAAAAUUAAUGAUGACGGUUGUCAGGGAUAUCAAAUCAUUUGAUUAUCCGAGAUCGGCGUAAUAGCGUAAAACAUGGAAUAAUUCCGGAAUGUUAAAGAUCUCGAGUCAUUAAUUACUGUUUACUUAAGUCUUCCAAGCCGAGCACUCAGCUCGCAAGACUUGGGGGGCUAAAUGUUGGGGUCGGAUCCCACACAUUUUUGGUAGGAUCCACUUGGAUCUGUCCACGUCAUUAUUACAUAAUAAUCAUCUUGGAGUUAAAGAUAUUUUAUUAUGAGAAUCAAGCUUGACUAGUCGGGAGUUCGAUUCGGUUUACUAAAAGAGUUCGAUCUUUACCAGUACGGAGUUCGCUCUUAUUCAACAUACAGUUCGCAUAGAGAAAGGCCGAAGCGAAGAGAAUAUUGUUCGAGGUUGGCGGCAGCGUCAAGACGCGGGAGUUCGGAGUCAACAAGAAAGAGUUCUGAAGAUCCGCGCGAAGCCCAAGAUAGUUCAAAUUCAAGCCGUUUCGGUCAAAAUGUAACUUAAAUGAUUAAUGCGGAUCAAUGCGAUUGUGAGCAGUAAAUGACCGCAUUGAUCAUGUUUUCUCUAUAAAAACAACCUCAAACAUAUGUGUUUGACGGAGAGGCGACUAUUCAUUACUUCUGAGCAAUACAAUAUAUUUUUCUCUCUUUACUAUCUUUCGCAAGGCAUUUUGUACUUCGUCUUUAUCAAUUUUUUCCUCAUUUCUUUUCUUGGUUGAUUUCCUUUUCAAAUUCUCAUAUUCAUUUCCUGAUUUUACAAGAGUUUUUCUCCACAAAAAUACUUAAAGAUAAUCGAGUGUGAAUCAUACAUCCACAGUUUUGAAUGUUGAAAGAUUAAUUUUAGUUUUGUGGUAUUUUUGGAAAAACCAGAAAUCAAGUGGAGUUUGGAAUAUUAAACUAAUAAUGAUAGUUUUGGAAAAUUUUCACAAAACUUAAUUGUGUUAUUUUUUUUGGAUUCUCCUAUAUUUUUUCAUUCAAAAUAUUAUAUUUUAGUUAAAAAAUUUUAAUUGUUAAAGAAACUAUUUAAAAGUGAAAGUAAAGAAACAUGAGAAAAGAGAUAUACUUUGCCUUAUAUGUUUAGGUGGUAAUAAAUAGCAGAUUUCAAAAAUAUAAUAUGAUUGAGUAUAAAAAAAAAAAAUUGAGUGGUAAACAAUUACAUUGUAAAUAAAUGUAAAUAAGAUGAUGUUUGACCGGUGGUUUAUAUGUAAAUCUAUAUUAUUAUAUAAAAGUCGAGGCUAUAAGCUUCUGAGGCUGUCCACGUGGGAUUUAGAACGACCAAUCCCGGUUUACCACCUCAAUAAUUAGCAUUUUUACAAUCCUUGCUAAUUAACAUUUUUAAAUUAAAAUAUUUUAUAUACUAAAAUAUUAAUAAAAAGGAAAAGGAAAACAAUAUGGAAAGAAGUAAAAUGUGAAUUUUUGAAACAACAACAUAUAGAAAUAAGACAAAUGUAAAGAAUAGAUUUCAAUAUUAUCUUUGGUCAUAUUUUAAAAAUGUUCCUUUUUUAGUAAAUCUUGAUGCAAUAUUUUCCAAAUUAAAAGGUCAUAUAAAAAAUCGAUUAAUAUCUUAUAAGAAAUAGAAAGAUUUUUUUCAAGUUUACGAAGAUAGUAAUUAAAAAAUAUUUAAAAUAUUCAAUUUCUUUUUUUUUAGUUAAAUUUUGUCAAAAAGUUUUAAUCUCUUUUUAAAUUCGAAUAUUUUCUAUAUUAAGAUUUAUAUAUAAAAUAAACAUAAAUGGUAAAUAUGUCAAUUUACCUUUUCUAAUUAAUAAACUUUUCUUCUUAUUUCUAUUUCGUUAAUCUUUUUAUUUUCCCCAAAAAAAAAGAAUAAAAAAAGAAAAUUAACAAAAAAAUAUGUUAACCCUAGAUCUUUUCAAUAUAAUUUGAAAAUUUCUAGCCGUCAGUCACAAUUAGGGUUGAUUACUACUCUUAAACGCCGCUUUAUAUUUAUUUUCGUCGCUCUUGCCACUGUGGACACUUCUCUCUUAGUCGGGUUGUUUAUGCUUUAUAUCUAUUAUGAGCCGUAAACAUUGUUUGUGUAUGAUGUUAUUAGAGAUGAUUUGAUGUUAUUUGCGUAAAAUUUUUGGGGUUUGAAGAAGAAGGAUUGACGACAAGCAUCAUUGGACGAUGUUUGUGCUUUUUCAUAUCGGUUAUGAAUCGGAAGACCUUGAUUUGUUAUUGUUUGAGUUAAAAUUUUAGGUCUAAAGAAGAAAGAUCGACGACAAGCACAAUUGUUUUAUUAGCUAUACAUGUAGCCAUGUUCAUGUUACUUACUUCACAAGAAAUUUGCAAUUUUGUACCAUUAAAGAUUUUGGUUUGAAAAGUUUCAAUACGUGUGGAUCUUAAACCAAAUAUAUGUGUGAAAGUAUCAAUAAUUGAACGCAGGUGGUGGCUACACUGGUCUUCAAUUGCACAAAUAUUACAAGAAAAAAGGCAACGAUUCUGAUCUUGGAGGUUAGUUGGGAGCAAGUUGUGGUACUCUAAAAUAAGUUAUUUUGAAUUUUUAUUCAGUGGUUCGGACGAAUGCAUCAUCAUUUGCUUGUGCCCAAUAAAUGUCACGGGCUAAUAAAUCUAAGGAAGUGGUAAUGGUGGUGAGAGUUGAGGAACAUACAUGUAAAAUCGUGCAAGAAAGCUCUCUUGAGAUACAUGUGUAGGCCAAGAUAGUGAAAAUUGUUUACGUGAAACUGCAAGUGGAGGCCGCUAUGACUAAUGAUGUAACUUCAUGUAGUGUUAUUUUUAAAAACUCAAGUUUUAUAUACUUCAGUUGGAUGAUAUCUAACCAAGCAAAAAGUAUGGGGAGUUGUGUUGAAAUUGUGGAAACAUUUGUUCUCCUUGGAAUACCAUUUCAAUCAAGAACGGGAAAUGGUGAGACGUAAGAAAGGUGAUAAUUUUAAUUAAUGAGAAUUAUUUUGGAUUAUGAACAAUUGACGUCAUAAUCUAGGUAACAAGGAAGGUUGCUUUUCAUGUAAAGCAAUGAAGGAGAACGAGAGAAACGCGGAUAUAUAGACUCACUACAAGCGAAAGAUAGAUAGAGAGAGAGAGAGCCAUUAUCGUGAGGGAGAAGAGGUCUAAUUGUGACACCAUAAGGCAAACUUGGACUGUCAUAUACGGAAAAGAAAAGUGAAAAAACAAUUAUGACAUAAUCUCUUUAAGGCAACAUUUGAUUCAUAUGUAGUUGAAACUUGAUGGCGAGGUUUCUGGUAUUACUGUCUUGAGGUUAUAUGCUGAGGAGUAUUUUGGAGACGUAGAACUAAGUUCUGGUAGAAGGGCAUUGAAUUUAGAGUUCAUAAGGUCAAAUGAACGAUGUCGUUUUGGGUAGUUAAUUUAUAGGCUUAUGAAGUUAUGUUUGGGUAAGGUUUGUAAGUUUAAAUUUCUUACUCUGUUUUUAACAAAUGUUUUACAUAGAAGAAGGAAAAAAAAGUAAGGAAGAGGAAGAAGAAGAGUAUAAUGAAUAAGUGGACGUUGAAAAUAACGAUGAAAACGGCCAUGAAGAAUUGAGAAUGAAGAUGACGAGAAAGAAUACAAGAGUAAAAAAACGAUGAAUGUGACGAGAAGGUGUUGGCGGCCAACUGAAUAUGAGAAACAAGAUUGAUUCAUGAUUAUUUUUUUAUCAGAUUUGAUUCUUAAACACUAUUGAUUUUUUUUAUUUCUCGUAUCUUCAGACACCGGAGCAUGAUAAACAUGAACAUUCAUGUACUAACAUGAUGUUGAUCUACCACGAAUUCCAGAAGAGACAAGAAAAAACUCGAAUUUGGAUACAAAACCUAGGGAAAGUCAGACUAUUAUGGUUGAAGCUCUGAACCAAGUUCGAUGCAAUGAGGCAGAGACCGGAUGUAAUUAAGUGAUUACUCGAGCAACGGGAAGUAAGAGAAAAGUAGCUCUCAAACCUGAUUUCAAUAUUGGUGGAAGACUAAGGCAGAUCCGAGAGAGCCAAAGUAGGCUUUAGAGAACGUUUUAAAGAAAAUGUAACUUCUUUUGUUAAGCUAAACUGUUAAGCGCUUUCUCUCUAACAUGUCCUUUAUAUUUUAGAUUUACGUUAUAAUUUUUCAAAUUGUGUAUUUGAAAUAAAAUUUUUGCCAUCAUAGUAAUUUAAAAGUUUUAGAGAUCAAAACAUUAUACUUUUAUAAAAUAAUAUUUAAUAACUAUCAUCAAUCAUAUACAGUAUUUUUUUACCAAAAUAUAUCAAAUAAACCCACACGUAGCGUGGGUCGAAACCUAGUAUAUUCUAAAAAAGUUUUGGAAUCAUAUUCUAGGCGAAACUUCAAACCACAUUUUUUGAGAUUUGACAUAAAUAAUAAUAAUUAAUAUCUUGACAAAAUUUUUGGUAAAUGGUAAUUUAAAUUUACCUUACUAUUAUAAUAAAUGUAACAACAAAUAUAAAAUAUAGAAAUGCAAAUAAGUGUAUUAAGGUAAAAGAUGACUAUAUAAAUAAAUCUUAUAUCUAAUUAAAAUUUUAUCAUCUUACUUCUUAAAAUAGUUUCUAUUCACAAUAAAAAGUUAAAUAUGUCUUUUUGUUAAAUUUAAUUUAAUUUAAAAAAUUUAAAAUCCGCAUCGGGCGGGUCCUAAUCUAGUUGAUAUUAUAAAUCAUUGAGUAAUUGAUUUUUUAAAAAAGUUGUUAAAACCAAUCUAAGAGUGACAUGCGUAUGAGAGAGAUGAUUUCUCAAAUUUCUCACCUUUUUUGAUUAUUUUUUUUUACUUUUGAUUAACUUUUAAUAUGGGUCUCUCAUGGAGAAACCACUGAUGAUGGAGAUUCUCUUAUACUUUCGAAAUAAAAAAAAAACAAUAUAUAUACUUUUUUUUUUCCCUUCCAUUUCUCUUCCCGCGUUUUGUUGUUCAACCGAUCUUGUGGUACAUGUGUUCUAAUUUGAACGUGGAAUAAAAACCAUAAAAAAAAAACUCAUCUCGAAAUUUCCUAACCAUUUGGUGGUGCAAGUUUAAGUUUCGCUCUCCUAAAACCAAAUCCGUUCUAUAAUUUGUUAGACUAGUUCUGGUGCGAAAGACGACACACACCAAUGUUACUUGAAUCCGUGUAAAAAAAAUCUAGAAAUCACACCUAAGAAAUGGUACGCAAUAUGUUUAAUGCAACACUGACUAACUUUAUUUUGAAAGAUUUGCAGUUUUGCACAAUUUAAGACCAUACACAAUAGUAUAAUCUUUGGUUGGGUGUGAGUAAUAUAAAAAAAAGAAAAAAUAGAAAAGUUGUGUAAAAGUUGUAUGUUGGGUAUAAGUUUACACUUGGGUGUGAGUAUUAAAAUAAAGAGAAAUAUUGCACUCUCUCUAUCUCUCUCUAUCUCUCUCUCUUUUCUUUGUCUCUUUAAUUAUAAUAAUAAAAAAUUAUUCACACCCAAACUCACAUAUGUGCCAUUGUGUAUGCUCUAAGUGAUGAUAUGGUGUAUAAUAUAUGUAUAUCCAAAAAACAUAACAAGUUUUUCUUUAAUUUUAAUUAUAUAUCUAAAAUAUGGAAUAGUUAAUUAUAAAAUCAGUGAAAAAUAAAUAUAAAAGAAAGCAAUAUGUUGUUUGCCAAAUUGACAAUUCUAAAUAUUGUGGCGUAUUUACAAAUUUUAGCAGCCCACUUGUUAUUUAUUUGUUUCAACUUGUAAAUUUCAAACAUAUCAUAUGUACCAAAAUCAAGUAUAAAUAUAAAUAAUCUCUACAAUAAUUAUUUGAGAAGUAGAAACGCACCAUAUUGAAAGUUAGGGCAUUGGAGGCCUGUGGUUAAAAGUUAGAAUGAUUUGUCCUAAACACCCUUAAUGAAUUGUUCUUCUCGAAAUUUCUCCUUCUUCGUAAUUAGGGGUAUAUAAGUCUAAUCGUGUGUUGAUCUCUAUUAUAAUGUCCUAAACACCCUUAAUUCAAAAUUUUUUGUUCUUAGUUGUUAAGGGUAUAUAAGUCUAAUCGUGUUUUGUGAUGAUUAGUCUUAAUCACCCUUAAUUUUUUUUAUUUUAUAGUAUGAUCGUUGGGGAUAUGGAGGUCAUAAUAUCUCGACUUUAAUGAUUAUUGAAUCUUAGCUUAAAUUUAUUUGUUAAUUUUUUGGAUAAUUCUAUAAUUUAGCAGUUAAAAUUCGUUUUUGUUAGUUUUCUGAUUUUGUUUCUAAUUAAAAAGUAAAAUUUCUUAAGAUAAUGAUUGGUGUUUGCCCUAAUCUUAAAGCUAUAUAUAUUGUUGAUCGGCCAGAGGAUUAGGUAUUAUUUUUCUGUGGCCAUUAGAUAGUUUUCACCGUUAUGGUUUUUUUAUAUAGCUACUACGAUUCUGAUGAAUCGCGUUGUUUGUCAUGCAAAUAUUGUUUUUAUGGACCUUUAAAGGUCGUGUGCAUAUUGUUUGUGUUGUUUGUUUUAUUUUUUUGCAUUAUUCGAUGAUUUAUUGUUUUGCUAAUUUGGUUUUUUGGUGUGUGUUUCAGUUUUGUAUAACGUGGGAGGUUCCAUCGACAAAGCUCUCUGACGAAGGUGGUGUUGACGAGCAAAGAGCGAGGUUUGGGGAGGUACUUCUAUAGUUUUAAUUUGUAUAUUUUUAUAUUUAUUUACCCAUAUACAUUUAUGUGUUUCUUCCUGUUAUCGUAUAUACUUUUAUAUGCGAUUUUAUUGCGUUUUAUUUUUUAGUAUUGAUUUAUAAUUAAAUUGUCAAAUAGUUUUGAGUUUAUGUGCAAGGUUUGACAUCUUAUUGUUUGAUUUUCAUCUUACCGUGAUUUUGAAGGUACUCGAUGAACUCAUAUCUCGGUUUGUGUCGGUUUAUUGGAAACAAGUAUUUCUCUUAUUUGUAUCUAAUAUGUUGGUUAUUGUGGAUCGGUUUUAGUUUGGUAUUAAUUUUCUAACUUUUAAAUGAUGAUUUGGCUUUUGUUUUUUGUAUAUAUAUUUCGCGAUAAUCAAAUGUUACGGGUUAUUCUUAUUUCGUACCGUUGGCUUAGGUAACCGCUGGUGUUUCCUUCUCCCGAAGAUGCACGAAUGAUAUGUUUUAUUUUAAUAAGGUAUUUUGUCGAAUCUUGUUUAUUUAUUAUGUAACGUAAUAAUCGUUUUAUGUUUAAUUUAUAUAUUUGUUUCUCUGAUGUUUUAGACCACACGGGAUUGGCGUAGAAGAGUUGUUGCUCCGUCGUGUUUUACGGAUCGCGUGGGCUUUUGUAAGCAUGUAUGUUUGUUCUCUUAUUGUCUUAUGUGUCAUGACUUGUAUAUAUAGACAUCAGAAUAUCUUACCAUUCUAUAAGGUAUGAUUUUAAUUGUUUUGUUUGUUUGUAAAGGUUUUGAGUUGGCUGAAGUAUUCAUUACGACCGAAUAUUUUGAAAGAGGUAUGUUGUGUGUAGUUUACGUAUUUGUUAGAUCCUAUGUCCUAUUAUUAUAGAUGUCUUCGUGUUUUCUAAAUUAUUUGUUUGUUUUCUAUUGUCUACUUAUUUUUUGGGUUUUUUUUUUUUUUUGAUGUAGAGGACUGAGAUUGGAAGCAAAGCUAGGAGUUACAGCAGUAUCUAUUUGUUGUUUAGUUAUAUUGCUAAGGGUAGUGAUGUAUCUGUUGAUAAAUACGGAUCAUAUCCUUUGGUGUUUGGUAUUGAUCAAACCGUACCAAAUUUUGGAUCGGGGCCUAUAUUUGAAGACUCUGAUGAUGAGUAAUUAUUUUAUUUGAAUUUGUUGCUAUUUAUUUGGCUUCUAUAUAUUUUAUUUAGUUAAUGAUUAAUAUUCUGUUUUAAAAAUUUAUGUCGAUCUAACUCAUUAUAUCAUAUUAGCGAUGGUUCUAAUUAUUCUUAUUGGCGUUAUCUAUCUUAAUAUGGUGUGAGUUUUGUUUUGUGUAUAAUCUAGAGAUUCACAUAGUUAUUAAUAUUAUUUUGUUGCUGUUCUUAUGUUUUAAAUAGUUAUUAGGAAAAAGAUAUUUUUUAAAUUUAAAAAUUUGUGGCUAUGACUGCUUAUUUCAAUUUCCACCGUGUAUGUGCACUGUAAACAAUUGUUUCAUUUAUUUCGAGAUUUUCUAUCUCUCUCUGAUUCCUAAAAGAAAACUGAAGGGUCUUGGGCGGUGGUUUCGUUCAAAGAUGUCCGAGCAAAUCUACCUUUCUAAUCUUUCUCGAGGUAGGACGCUUAAGUACAUUCGGGUGAAGAUUCUGAGUCUUUGGAGGGUUCGCAUCUAUGGAUUUAGGUGUAAAACAGAAAUGCUUCUUGCCGACGAGCAGGUGCGUGUGUCUUUGUCGUUUUUUCUUUUGAUCGGUUAGUUUGUUGAUUUUGGGUGGAUCUGCUAGAUUAUUUUUAUAGUUUUGCUUAUUUUAUUAUAAAUCUUUAAGGAUUAUUUGUCUUUGGUUUGUGAUUUGUUGUUUAGUUGUGUUAAGAAAUAUUUGAUUUUUGUUGUUUUGCAUGUACCUAGGGGACAAAAAUUGAGGGUACAAUCGGUUGUGGUCCUUUCCAAAACGUUGAUAUGAGGGAGUUAAGGGAAGAUGCGUGGUAUACUAUUUCUGACUUUGUUGUUUCUGUUCCGAUCCGGAGGACCCCGAACACACUUCACCCUUUCCAUAUCAAGUUCCACAGUGAUACAAAGAUGACAUUGAUUUAUGAUCUCUACUCGCCCAAUUUUUUUGAGUUUGCAAAAUAUUCUGUCAUUAAGAGGAGGCUUUUGGAGGCAAAUCGUCCCUUUGGUGUGUCACAUUCUUUUUAUUAGCUAAUCUCAUUUUUGGUUUCUAUUAUUGUUUGAAGUAUCUUUAGUUUUUUAUUUGUUAGAUGUUCUGUGUUGUUAGAAACCUCUUAUGUCUCUAUUGGUAUGAUUUGUAGUGAUAUGUGUUCUUUUUGUGAGUUUGCUAGAUUUAUGUGGAGUUGUGGUCUAUGUGUCUGAAAUUAAAAGGAUGACUUAUGUUCCCGGAGAGUAUGAUGCAAGUACUGCAUGCAAUUAUCUAUAUUUCCGUCUCAUGGAUCAGAAGUAAGUCUAUGAAUUUGAUUUUGUUUUGGUGCUAUAUUUAGUCCAUGGUUAUUCUUGGUUUUUUUUGUGAUUAUGUAGAGUUUAUUUAAAGACUGUCACUGAUCUUAAGUGUUUUUGAAACGGUGAUUAAUAAAACAGAGGUAGGGAGCUGCCAUGUUUUGCGCUUGGUCAUUAUGCUGCUGAUUUUAUGAAUGUGUGGACAAGCCGAGGCUACCAGGCUUCAUUCCGUUAUCAACCUGUUUUCUGUGUGUUGCGUUUCUGGAAAGUCGAUGAGUUCAUGGGUAUGCAUUUGGUGUAUUGAUGUCGAAUCUAUUAUGGAUAAUAUAUAUAAAGGGCUUAUUCAAAUUGUGUUGAUGUGGCUAUAGGUGAACCUUCUAUUUCCACCAGAAUUGGUUGUUCUAAGAUAUAUCUUGAGCCCACAUUACCGGAGAUCAAGGACUUGAGGAUGAUGUAAAUGAUUAUUGUGAUUUUUUAGUGUUUAUAUAUGUAGUUUGAUUUUGUUAUGGAUUCAAAUUUAUUAUUUUGUUUAAUGUAUUAAAUUUAAUUCUCAGGUCUGUUUUCAUAGCUAGGGUAACAUGGGCUAUUGAAGAAGGUGAGGAUUGUGAUGACGCCGGUGAAGUUGUUGAUCAGAAUUCUUAAUGUUCUUGGUGUAAAUCAAGAAUUGUAUCCCUAUUUCCGUAGUGUGCAUAAACAUGGAUACCCUCUUCUGUUGGUUUAAUUUCUUUUUGUAAAAAUCUCUUCUUCUUGUGUUAUGUUAUUAUGUCAUGUUGAGAUAUUUAUUUGGGUUUUGUAACAAUUAUCUUUUGUGUUCGAGUUUUGAAUAUGUCUUUAUCUUUAGAUUCGUUGAAGUUAUCUAAACUACUUUAUAGAUUUUCUAAUUAUUUUAUAUUGUAGAUUAGCUUGUGGUAGAGAUUAUGUCAGAUUUUUGAUGUAUGACUUGUGUUGUCAUAUCUUGCAUGGUUUGUAAUAAUUACACAGCCGAAAUAUGGAUAGUUGCUGUUUCCAAUCAUCAAAUCUUCUGAACGGAUAAAAACCUUUUUAUUUAAUUAUUGAUUAUUCAGUAAUCGAUGUUACGUUAGAUUGAUUUCUAUAUUAGUUGUAAUAUACUUCCAAUUCCACUUAUUAAUUCACGCUGCUACUUCUAAAAAAAAAAAACAGAGAAAAAAAAAACUCUUCGGUUUCUUGCUUCGUCUUUUCGGAUUAUCGAUAUUUCUUAUUGAAGUAUCUAUAACCAGUUAUCAAUUUUAGUUGUUUCCUUCACCAUGGCUUACUUCCAUGAUGUUUCGAUUUUGCGCCCUUGUAUUACGGGUUGGCACAUAAGAGUGAAGGUUCUGCGCAUGAUUACUGUUUGCAUAAAUCCUCGGAAUGCUCUCCGUUUGGUUCUGGUGGAUGAUAAGGUACUUUGGUUUUGUUCUGUAUAGAUUUGAUUUUAAAAUGCUAAUUCGUGUUAGUUACUAAACAGACUAUGUCGUGUGUCUAGGGUUUUAAGAUCGAUUGUUGGAUUAAUAGUGAAUAUGCGAAACAUUAUGCUGAGUUUUUGAAGGAAGAUCGAUGGUUUUCUUUUACGGCGUUUCGUGUUCUUGAGAACUCUGAUAGGGUCAGGCUUACCAAUCAUCAUUUCAGAAUGUCUGUCUUUGGAACGACUGUCGUUCUUCCCGCCGAUCCACCGUCGACUGAACCCCGUGACUCCUUUACUCCGUUCAGUUCGAUAAUUGACGGAACGGUUGACGAGAGUGUCUUGAUUGGUAAGUUACAUAUAAUGCUCAUUUUGUUUGUUGUGUUUGGAAAUACCUGUCUGAAUUAUAGUUGUGUCUGUUUCUUAACUAGAUUUGAUCGGGGUUUUGUCUGAUGUUGGUGAAUUGGUGAAUGUCAGGACAAAUCCAUCAGAUCUCACUGGCUUCAGACUGAGCUUUCGGAUUCGUGGGCCUUGGUUAGUAAAUAGAUAUUUUCUCCCUUUGUGAAUUUUGUCUAGGUAUUGUCCUGUUUGGUGUUAAAUGUUAAUUAUAUCAUUUUUAUUUUUGUUGUUUUGUUUGUGUUUUCUUGAAUAAAUAUAAAGCGGGAAUGCUAUCGAUGGUUUGGUGUCGGGACGCUCAGCGAUGGAGUUCCGAAAGCACUAUGACUUGUGUGUUUCGAAGCCUUUGGUCUGUAUUAUGCGUCUGUGGAAGGUAGACAGAUAUUUCGAUGGACCAAAGAAUGUUAGGAUUGUUAACCAGGGGCUGAUUUCUAAGGUUUUGCCAUAUCCUGAUGUUCCUGAGGCUGCUGAAUUUUGCACUAUGUCGGUAGUCAUUUCCUAUGUUCAUUAUUAUUUUAUUUUUUAUUUUUUUGUUUUUAUAUCUGAUUUUUUGUUUGGCUGCUUUGUCUUAGGUCUUAAUGUGUUGGUGAGACAAGUGAUUCGAACUAGGACAUUAACGGUGGAUGUGUAGUGCGAUUCGUCUGGACAUUGCCCGUGUGACUCUUUUGUGAAUAUCGGAAAUGUUAACUGUUUGUUUUUGGUUUUGUACUCGGAUCAUCUUGGUUUGUAUGAAUAUGAACUUAGAAUAAUAUUCUCCUUUAUGCGGUAUUGAUAUAUUAUCGUAUUGACAUAUGAUAAUCUUCUGUUUUUAUGAAUGAUGGUAUGUUUUGUAAUUAGUUUCAACCAUGGUCGCUAGAUUUAAACGGUCAUAUAUAUAGAUAGAUUACAUACAUAUAUAUAUAUAUAUAUAUAUAUAUAUAUAUAUAUAUAUAUAUUUUUAAAAAAUAUAUAUAGAUAAAAGGUUGAAUUUAUUUUCGAUAAUAUUUGAUAGUUUUCCUUAGUGAAGAUUUUAUUUAUGAUAGAUUCUGUUUUAGUGGAGAUUUAUCUUAUCAUAAGUAAAUUGUUUUGAUAAAAAAAAAAGUAAAUUGUUUUAUUUAGUAUGUUGAUAUUGUUCAAUUUCUAUAUUUUAUAUUUGGGAAUCUUCCUAAACUAAAUACUCGCGUAUAUAUAUUUUACUUGAUAUAUAUAUAUAUAUGUAUAAUAAAUAAUAUUCUCGCACUUUUCUUUAUUCCGCAAAAUUUGUUUCUAUUAUGGCUCAUCUUCUCUCUAAUGCCAUCAGGAACUCGAUUCGUAAAAGAGAAUGUUUUUUUAGUGUUUCUGAUUUGAAUCCCUUUGUUCAUGAGUGGAAGAUUAAAGUUAAAAUACUAAGAAAGUUUUAUUUGUAUGAGACGUUGGAACUAAUAUUGGUGGAUGAAAAGGUAAACUAAUGUAUAUUGGGCUUUGUCUUGAUCUGUAUCCAAUCUAAUGUUUCUUCGUAAUUCUCUGAUAAUCUAUUAUUUAUCGAUUGACAUGCCUUUUUCAUUUUUUCGUAUUAGGGUCAAAAUAUUCAUGCUGUAAUAAACAAGGAGUAUGAGGAUCGGCGCACUUCGAAAAUUGUUGAGGGCAAUUGGAUAAGUAUAACUAAUUUUGAUUUGGUUCCUGUUACAGGAGCUUUUAGACCGGUUCCCCAUCGUUUUAAGAUUGUAUGGAACUCAGGCACAACGAUUAAGGACAUUCGACCGUUGUGUUCCGCUGAGUUCUUUUCGUUUGUCGCUUUCGAGGAUAUCAAAAGUGGUUCUUUGGACCCUACUUUAUGUGUUGGUAAUAUCAAAUUUUCUUAUUGUUAAUGUGUUUAGUGUAAUUAAUAAUAUUUUAUCAUGUGUUGAUGUAGGAGAUUGUUUUGCUUUUCGUUUUAAUAUUAUCGUGUGCAAUUUGAUAUGUAGAUCUAAUUGGACGUGUCGUGAGGGUUGGUAAUGGAAGAGAGUCCGGCCCACCUGCUUCUGAUUGGAACGAGUUAUUUUUGGAACUGGAAAACGAAGAGUGAGUUUCUUUGUUGUUAAAUGUUUUUUUUUACUGUUAUUGUGUGUUUUGUUGUGGAUAUAUUUAUUUAUAUAUAUUAAUAUAUAAAUAUUUAUAACACUCUGGUCUCAAGGGGAGAGCGUUUGCAGUGUCGUUUACCAAAUGAAUACUCGAAUGCGUUCUUUAACGAAUGGAGGAAUUGUCUUGAUAACAUCAUCAUAUGUGUAUUGAGGUUCGCGAGGCUAGAAGUUACUCGAGGUAAUUCGAUUGACAUUUCCUGCAUGUGAUUUUUAUUUUUCUGUCGUGUGUUGGAUUUAAAUAUAUUAUUUAUUUGUGUUCAAUUUAUUUAAUGCGUUAUUGUUUUUUUGUUUAUUCUUUGUUUGGUUAUUAGAUUUCUGGGGAGCUACCACUGUAUACACAUGUACCAGGAUUUUGCUAAAUUAUCGAUGUGUUGAAGUUACAAGAAUGAGGGAUGUGUUUUACGCUAGACGGGAAGCGGACGAUUAGUUUUCAAAAUGGAUUUUGUAUGCUUUUGGCUUCACAUUUAUUACUAAUGAUUUCUUAUUCUGGCUUUGGCAUUUUAUUCGAACGAUUUGGUUUAAGUUCUUAAUGUUAGUAGUUGGUGUAUUCUUUUAUGCAAACGAAUUAAUCGUCAUACUUUAUCAUACAGUUAGUUAGUAAAUUGAUUUCUCUCUCUCUCUCUCUUUUCGGCCCGUUGUCACGCAUGUGGUCCUAAUAAAGUGGAUUUGGAAGAUGGAAAUAUAUAUGACUAAUUCAAAAUUUAUAUAGUGUUCGUGGUAAGAUUUGUAUAUAUAUAUUUUUUUUUGGGUUAGUAAUUGUGUACCAUCUACUUUUUAUUUGCUUACCUUCUUUUGUUCUUUUUAUAGAUGUUGUUGGUAAGGUCGAGAACGUGAGUGAAUUAUAUUUUGUUCCUUUAGUCGGCUCCUCCGGAGGAUGUUUUGAAAUCUUAUUUGAUUGGCGUAAUCCAGAGUAUGGUGUAUUGUUUCUAUUCGCAUUUUUAAAAAAAUGGGAUAGUAACAAAUCAACGAUUUCGAUAAACCUUAACUUUAUACGAUUGACAUUAUAGUACAGCAGCAAUAUUGCCCAGUGAUGAUAUUGGUUUGGAAUCUAGCAUUCCUACAGUAAGCAAUAUAUUCUGAUAACAGAAAAAGAUAGAAUAUCGAAUCUAUUAUAUUCUGAUUAACCCAAUAAAGUAAGAUUUCUAUAUUCUAAGAUACUGUUAUGAGAUUUUUAAAAUAAAAUAUAAGAUUGUUUAGGCCGAUGAAAAUAUAAGAUUAGGGAUAUUAACAAUAUCAAUUUAUGCGGAAAAAUAAGUUGCCUUUUUUAAAAUGUGAUAGUAACAAAUCAACUGUUUCGAUAAACCUUAACUUUAUACGAUUUACAUAAGGGUAAAAAUAGCAGUUUUGUCUAGCGACAAUAUCGUGUGGCUAUCUAGCGUUUCCAUGGUGAGCAAUAUAUUCUGAUAGCAUAAAAGGAUAUUAUAUCGAAUUUAUUGUAUUCGUUUGAAUCUAAUUAGGUAAAAUUCCAACGUUAUAAGAUACUGUUAUGGCAUUUUUAAAAUAUAAUGUUAAUUUGCGUAGACCGUGAGACCAAUGAAUAUCCCUGACAUUAUUUAUUAACUAUUAACCUCCUUAUUUGGGUAUAAAUAAAGGUGCGCGUGUCCCCUAAACGAUCACCUCUUGAUCGAUUAGAUAGCAUUCUCUCUGUUUCUUCAGUCGUAAAAUGUCUCAAAAUUCCUCACACGAUAUCACAAGUGACGUAGACCAACCGGAUGUUUGUGUUGAUUUUGCUGACUUAGGCCCCGGCAUGGUUACUAUGAGGGUUAAGGUGAGAAUUAUUAGGAGGUUCGUGUGUCCUGCGUAUGGCGCUAGGUUCGUGGAAUUCGUACUGGAAGAUCCAAAGGUACAUAAUUAUAUACUAUCAUCAAAACGUUUAUACUGUAUGUAUACUAAUUAGUCCUUUAUUUGUUUCAUUAGGGUCAAAAGAUACAUGCUGUACUUGGUGGGGACGUCGCGCAACGGUUCUCAUCUAUCCUCAUAGAAGGCAAUUGCAUAAUUUUAUCCGACUUUGUUGUACGAAUGGCUCUCGGAAGGUUUAGACCGUCUUCGCAUAGAUUUCGACUUGGUUCAAACGCUCUCACUUCGGUCAAUUUAAUAAGGCCUUUCUCUCAAAGUGAUAAUUUCCAUUUCGCGAAGUUUAGUGAUAUCAAAGAAGGACACCUAAAUCCUUGCUUCUGCGUUGGUAAGUGUUGUGCGUUACAUCGUUUAAAGUAUUUUUAAUUUGGAUUGUUUAUCACCCUCUGUAUAUUGAAACGCACAGAUUUGAUUGGGCGCCUUCUGGUUACUUUUGAUUUCCGACGAUCGGAGUCGAAUCGUGUUAACCAUCGCUUUUUUUUUCAGAUGAAAGACCGAAGGUAUGAAUUAAAUUCUUUAUAAUAAUAUUAAAACGGAACGGAUGUGACUCAUUUUCUUUUUUCGUGCUUAAGUGGUGUACGUCUAAUUUUUCGAUUGCCGGAUGUCUUUGUUGAUUCGUUUAUGAAUGAACGGAAGAAAUGGAUUGGUGAUUUCCAAAUUCUCAUCGUCAGAUUCGCUAAAUUGGAAGUCGUCGAAGGUCCUACCAUUGCAUUGUUACAAAUAAUAUUUAUAUAGAUUUCCCUGUUUGUGUUAAACUUGAGUUAUUUUAUUUUAUAGGCAACGUCACUGCUACUACAGCUUGCACGUGCACUCAAUUCUUCUUCGAUCAUGAAUGUCCUGAGUUUUUGGUGAUGCGGAGGUUCUUUACCCGUAAGUGAGAACCGCUGAUAGUAUUGGUUACGGAGCUAAUGUGCUGGUUUUAUUUUUUAUGCAUUGAUACUUGCAUGUGUUUUAAUUUUUACUUGGUUUUUUAUUAUUAUACAAGUUUUGUAGGCAGAAAUGCCAAGAUUUUAAAUAUUCCAGUGACGCAAUUUAUAUAUUUUAUGUUGCCAUGUUAUAUCUAAACGUAAGUGAUUUAUUUUAGUCAACCGUCCCGAUGUGGGAUUAUAUCGUACUAUCGUUAGAUAUUUGAACGUCAACCUCAUCUAUCGUCGUUUUUGUUCACUCAUGACAGACAUAAAUUAUACAUGAUAUUGAUAAAUAUAUGUGCAUGCGUACAAGUAUAUGCAUUAAAAAUAUUGAUAUAUAUACAUAUCGUAGUUAAUAUAAUGUUACUACUGUAUACGUAUUAAAACGUACAUACACUUGAUAAAUGAAAGUUAUAACCAUAUAAUGACGUCCUUAAUAUGAUAUUUAUGAUCAAUAUUAUUGUUAUAAAUCUAUUUUCAAUAUAAGUUUGGUAUGAUUAUAGAGAUAUAUGUAAUAUUUUCCUUUUUAAUUCGGAUUUCGUUAAAAUAUGUUAAAAGUUGAAUAUAUCUAAAAAGUAAGCUUACUUUGUUUUGAUCUUUCCAAAAAAGAGAUUACCAUUAUAAAGUAGCCCUAAUUACUAUUUGCUUUCGAACUCAAAAUAGUAUAAAUUGUUGCGUCGAUAGAAAUUACGCUUCACGGUGUCUAUACUAUGGGGAGGAUAAACUUAUUUCAUGACAUGAAGCGUUAAAUUCUUGCAAGUAUGACUGGAUUCUCCGCAUAUAAACAAAUACCAAAAAAGAAGUCCAUAAUUCAUAUAAAAUGUUUUAUAUAUUAUAAUAAUAAACUUUAUAUAGAGAUACAUAGAUUCGUAAUAAUAAUUGUUUCUUCACUCUUCUAAUAUCCCAUGUGCCCGACAAGCUUCUUCGUAUGUUGGGUAAACAAUACCUCCGUGAGUCCUGACUUCUUCGUCACAUGUAGGUCCUCUUAACAUUCCUGCGAGCCUUUUCAAGUGACGAUUGUUGUUAAUCUUACGCGAAACAUACAUGACUCCUCCUCUGGGGGGUCCUCUUCUCCUUGGCCUAAAUUGUUUUUUGGUCCUAUCCCACGUGGAAUGAUUUGGUAUUUCGUUGAAUGUUAAUUGUCUAGCCAUCGAGUUGAUUUUAUUUAGAUUCAACCAUGCCUUGAACACUUGAUCUUCGUCGUGAUUAUCACCCAUGAUUCGGUGCCUUAUGAUUUGAUGUAUAGGUUUUGUUAUAUAUAUAAAUAUGCUAUAGGUUUAGGUUAGAUGUCACGCCGACGUGGUGUUAUAUAUAGGGCUCCUUAAAAUAUAAAAUCGAUAACAUUUAAAUAUAAAAUAUUUUAGAUAAUAUUAAACUUUAUAUAUAUAUGGUUUCCAUUGUGAAUAUAAAUUUUAUAUUUUUCCAUUUGGCAAUUAUCUAUAAAAUUAGUUGAUCGGAAUGUAUAUAUAUUCCUUUAUGGUAUUUUUUGAUUAAAUAGUUAUAUGUUAACAUGCCUUCAUUUUGAUAAGUUUAUAUCUUAUUGUAUCUUUCCGAUUGGCAACUACAAAAAAUAUAAAAUAUUCUUAAGGUAAGUUUAAAUUUUGAUCAAAUAUAAUGUCGUUCUAUUGUGGAUGUAAAUUUUCUGUUUUUCGUUUGGCAAUGUUAUAGAAAAGUUAAUGGAAAUAUCUAUUUUGUUUAAUAAAAAAAUGUUUUAUUCUAUUGUUAAAUGUUAAUAUUCCUUUGCUGUGAUAAGUUCAUAUCUUAUUGUAUCUUUCCGAACAAUAUCUACCAAAUUUAACGAUGGGGAUUCAUUUUGUUUAUAUAUAUAUAUAUAUAUAUAUAUAUAUAUAUAUAGUUUUGCGGUUGGUUCUGUUAUACUAAAGUGUUUCCUUGCCUUCAGAUGGCUCGUCCCCGAAGUUCCAUCUGUGUAUCUGAUCUAAUUCCUUCUAUGAAUGAAAGAAUGAUGGGAAGAUUCAUAAUAAUUAGAAGAUUUCGUUGCUCUUCACGUUUGGACACGUUGGAGCUAAUACUAGCCGAUGAAAAGGUACCACGAGGCUAUAUAUUAAAAGCAUGCAAAAUCUAUAAAUGUUUAUGAUUCGUUACUACAUGUUCUAUCUGAGUUUUGAUUUUUUAACCGUUCAUUCGGUUGUUUCUAGGGUGACAGGAUACAAGCUUCAAUUGGUUUGGAUUGUUUGGCUUAUGAUUCGAGUAGACUUGUCGAAGGAACAUGGAUAUUUAUAAAAGAUUUUGGCUUGGUCGACGCUGUUGGGUCUGUUAGGCCAACUAGGCAUGCCUAUAAAAUUCUUUGGAAUCUAUCGACUUCUUUUCAGAGAGCUGUGGUUACUGCUUCUGUUGACUAUUUUAAGUUUGUACGUUUUGAAGAUGUUCUUGCUGGUUUAGUCGAUCCAAGUGUUUGUGUUGGUAAGUUUAACUCUUUUGUUUGGUAUGUUCAGUAAAUAUUGCAUGUGAACGUGAUAUUGUCGUCGUUUGUUUUGUGUAGAUUUGAUUGGUCGUCUCAUGUGUGUUGGAAAUUAUGACGAGGAUGAGGGAAUGAAUAGUACGUGGGAGCAGAUAUAUUUGGAGUUAGAGAAUGUUAGGUGAGUUCUAAACUUGGUUUAUAUAUCUUGGCUGUGAGGGGAUUUUGUGUAGUUGAUUAUAAUGCUUUAAAUAUACCAGGGGUAUUCGUAUUCGCUGUCGCUUGCCGAAGGGGUAUGCCACGAAAUUUUUUUCUGGUCUGAAGACUUGUGCUGAUAAUAUCAUCCUGUGUGUGAUGCGAUUUGCUAGACUAGAGCUUUCUCGAGGUACUUAUUUAAACACUAAUACAUUGUGUACGUGUUUAUUCGUUUAGUCAUGAUUUGUCUAUUGAUAUAUUAGGUGAUAUGAGGGCUACUACUCUGUGUACCUGCACAGAACUUUUAUUCAAUCCUUCGUGUGAUGAAGCUUCGAGGAUGCGUCUUGCUUUUGCUUCUGUGGAGAGAAAACUAUUUUGAACCCUUGAUUUCUUAUAAUACUUAGUUGGUGUUUUGUUUUUUUUUUUUUUUUUUUCCUGAUUCAAAAAUAUCUGUUAUUCGACAAUUGUGUUUUUUUUAAAUAUCACGGUUUGCAUCUUAUUCCUUGACUAUUUAAUCGAUUUUAUAUAUAUGUGCUUAUUGUCUAAAUAUCCAGUUAGCGUCAAAUAUACAUACCAAUUAAUUGUUUUAAUGUUGUGUCUUCGGAAAAAUUUUGACAUUCAAAAUUACAUCCGAAUAUUAUCUUUUAGAUAACUACAAUAUAUAUAAGAUGCAAUAUUCGUGAAACGCGCAUAAUUUAAAAAAUAGUAUAUUUUUGUUUUGAUCGGAUUAUACGGAAUAUAUAUUGACAUAUUUUUUUACUCAUUACUUUGAUAUGAAAUAUUAAUCUUCAAAUCUAUGGGAUAUUGCUAUAUCUUAUUUUAUAUUAUCUCCAAUUUCCGACAUUAUUACACAAGGGAGAAUAUUAUGGUCUAAAUUAUUCAAGCGAACAAAACAAAGUGCCCCGUAGUGGUGGAAUUGGUCAAUGGGAAAUUAUUGUCUGAUUCUUUACAGGCUAAAAGAUGCCCUGUUGGUUUGGAUUGAUGGUACUCGAUCGGUCUUGUAUUUCUAUGCAUGGUCAAAAUCUAUGCGUGUCUCGAUAAUGUUUUUAUCAGUUUUUGUGGUUUUUCCGAUGCAAUGCAUUGUAACGAUAAAUAAACAAUGUAAUUGUGCUUGCGUUUUAAUUUGAAAAUAUGUAUUUAAAAAAAAAAACGUUCUUGUCUUUAUAUGAUUGGGAAUUUUUUGGUUCAUAUUUGCAGCACAUGAAAAAAAUCUCAGUCACAAAAAAAAAAAAUUGGAUGAGCAUGUCGACGAUUUAAAACCGAUUAAGCUUUGUUGGUCUAUCCAAGUUAAGGUUCUUAACAAAUGGCGUGAGAGAUCUGAAGCCGGUUAUCGAACUUUACGCAUGAUUUUGUGUGAUAAAAGGGUAAUAGCAUUUGUUUAAGAUUAUCGAUGUUUAUCGUAUGUUGAUGUUAUGUUCUUAUAUACAUUUGGCGUUCUGUUUUUAUCAUAGGGUUCUAUGAUUGAGGCUAAAAUCAAUUCCGAACUCAUUACUGAGUAUGAUUCCGAGUUCAAAGAUGGUGACUGGAUAUCUCUUCACCAUUUUGAAUUAGAUUUGGUAACUGGGGAUAUGAGAACUACACGUCAUGCUUAUCGGAUCAAUUUUCUUCCUUCGACAAUUUUGAAUCUGAUACCUGACAAAGACGAUCUUCACUAUACACUAUAUCCAUCCUCUUUCCUUGACGUUUUGGAUGAUAAACUCAUAAGAACUUACCUGAUAAGUAAGUAUAUAUAAUAUUCUUUGAUUUUGUUCAUGUAUUCUGCUUUUUAAUUUUUAUGUUUCUUCUCUCUUUUUACCACUAGAUUUGAUUGGAUAUGUGGUUGAUAUCGAAGACAUAAAAUACUCUGACCCAAGUAAACGAAGCGCUGGUUAUGCGAUGACGUCUUUCAAAAUUAAGGACGCAAAGUGAGACUUAUUAAUUCCACCUAUAUUCGUAUCAUUGCUACGUGUAUAGGGGGGCUAAUGUUUACAUUUGUUUGUUGUAGCAAUUAUGUACUGCCGUGUGUUGCUAUCGGAGAUCUUGCUGAGCAUUUUCACGAUGAGUGGAAAAGGACUAGGAGUUCGCGGGUUGUUUGUGUUUUGCGUUGGUGGGGAGUCUAUAAAGUUUCCGGUUUGUAUCUAAUUUAUGUUUUGUUUAUUUAUAACGGCCGUUUGUCUGUAUAGCUCCCGUAAAAUGUUUUAAGCUGUGCAAUUCUGAUAAUUUAAUAAGCUCUAUGUAACGUGUUAAUUCAGGACAUAUGGUUAUCCAAUCGGUUGGUAGAUGCAGUCGUUUGGAUCUUGAUCCUGAUAUGCCUGAGGUUGCUGAUUUCCGAGUAAAGUAAGAAAUUUGAUGUUAAUUUUAGGUAAUUCAGCAUUUGGAGUUGUUUAGGUAUGGUAAUUGAUUUAUUAUUUCCGUUGUAGGUCGUCUGCUUCUACAGGCUCUUCGCGGUAUAGAGCCUGAGAGGAAGUUCAUGUGUUCUGGAGAAGUGCUUGAAGGGGAUGAGUUUUGGAUCUCCUGUUUAACUUAAAUGUUUGUUGUUUUUAAUUUCUAUCUUUGUUGUUUCCAAUUUGCUAAAAACGAUCGGAUUUGCAUAAUGUAAAUCUUGUAUGAAAAUUAGGCUUUAUCACUAUAGCGUCAUUAUUGACUCUGACUUUCUUGCUGUUCUGUUGUGUGUAGUGCAAAAUUCACAAGCCAGUUUUAUAAAAAAAAAAGGCUGGUUCGGAGAGUGAAUAUGAGAUUGACUGGGGGAUACCAAUUCAGCGUAAUUGGUAGAUGUUUAUCGAAACAGCGUGUCAUCCAUCUGUGCUAUUACUUGCGCUAAUAUAAUUGUAAUACUCUAUGGAACUGCGAACUGGAAGGAAACUAUGUGGUUUUUUCUGUCUGAUUUACGAUUUGAAAUCGUACUGUUAUCUUUUAUAUUUUGUUCUUGCUCUUUGUUGGAUGUCGAUCAGAUAACUUUCCUCUUUGUUUUUUUUUUUGGUGGGAGGUUUAUUAUUUUUCCUUUUUCUAUUCGGUUUAUUUUGCCACCAAAUACGUUAGGAUUGUUUAGACAAAUCACAAACUGUUAUUCCGUAGUUGGGCUUUGGCCCAUGAACGUAAGAUUCAGUAAAAUGUUAAUUUUUCACAUGUAUAAAAUCUAUACAUUAUAAUGCUGAGAUAUCAAUUUCACAAAUAAACCGGAUAUUUAUCAACAAUAAGUACAUUAAUAUGUAGUAAUAUGGUCGUAUUCUUAUAGUAAACUAGCUCACAUGUUGAUUUCUGUACGCACAUCCUGAUUUCCCUUUUUAGUAACUAUAAAAUGGUAACUACCUUAACCGGUUUUGUAUAUUUUCUAUAAUACUUUCGAUUUGUCGUCGACGAUAUGGCAAAUUAUCAUUUCGUUAUUGGGCUCCGGCCCAUGCAUUUAGGGUUCUGUAAAAUGUCAACUAAUCACAUAUGUAAAAACAAAUCUAUAUAACACCGUAGAGUUAGAUUUCAUCUUUCGGGAUAUUAGUUUAUAAAAUAUUUAAUAAUCUGUAGCGAUAAAGUCGUAUUCCUUAUUUCGUAAAAAUACGAAUGUUAAUUCCCUUUUUUUUAGAACCCUAAAAUGAUAACUACCUUUAACUUAUUAUAUAGAGAUAAAAUCGAAUAAGUUUUUAAUAAUAUUUGUUAACAUUUAUUCACGGUUUGUGAUAUAUAUAUGCAUGUAUUUCCGGGUGGAGAUAUCACGGAAAAAGUAUAUAAAUACUGGCAUCGUUUUCUUUUCUUUUAUCAUCCAAGUUAUAAUAUAUCUUCGCUCUGCUUUGAAUUAGGGAUUUUGUAUUUUUACGGAUGGAGCCGUAUCCUCUUUCGAAGCUGAAUCCUGAUACCAGCGAGUGGCGUAUUCGCGCAAAGGUUCUUGCUAUUUGGCAAGAGUACUACGAUCAUUAUUCGACGGUUGACGUCGUGUUGGUCGAUGAUAAGGUAUAACUCAUGUUCUGUGGAUUGUUGUUUUUAAUAUAGUUUGCAUGUAUAAGUCGUAGUGUAAUCAUGUGUUGUGUAUAUCGUAUCUCAGGGUGGGAAAAUCCAUGGUAUCAUACCUAUGGAGCUUAUGCCACAGUUUUCAUCGAGAAUCGUUGAGAACCGAUGGAUAGUGAUAACAGAUUUUAUUUUGAGACCUGUCGUGGAUGCGUUGAAGCCUGUUGCUCAUAGAUUUGAGCUGGUAUUUCAUAAAAAAACAUUAUGCGAUACUCUGCAGGAGAGAUCGGGUGAUGGUUUCUAUGAUUUCGUGGAUUUUGGGAGAAUCCUAAAUGGGGCGCAUGAUACGUCCAUUUGUGUUGGUAUGGUUUUUAUCAGUUGAUUCUUUUUUUUUUUAUAAAUUAGUGUUACGCUUUUGUAUUUCGACCGACGCUUUUAUUCAUGCAGAUAUCAUCGGAAAGGCCAUUAACGUUAGUAAAAUAACCUCUUUUGGUUGUAACGUGUAUGAGGAUCAGGUGGAACAUAUAGUCUUUGAUCUCCAGGAUACAAGGUACAUUAUGCCACUUUGAUACACAGAAGAAGUUGAUCAUUUAUCGAUCUGAUUUAUUUAAACUAUAUAACGCAGUGAAAGAGUUUUGAGAUGUGUUUUAAGCAUUACGGAUGCUUUACCUCUUUAUCGUUUGUGGAUGACUGAUCCGUCCGAUGUUAUCAUAUGUGUACUGCGAUUUGUCCGUGUCGAGUUUAGGGAAGGUACGUAGCAUAGAAGAAAUAAUUUAUAAACAUUGAUUAAUCAUGGUUAACGUGUGGUUUCAAUUUAAUAUGUAGGCAUGUGGAUAUGCUCAGGGGUGCGCUGUUCGAAACUGCUGUUGAAUCCUUCGAUACCGGGUGUAAAAAAAAUGAAAUCAGUGUAAGUUAUAUAUUUGUUUGAGGUUUACUCAUUUGCUUAAGAUGCUGAUGGGCAUCGCUUUUUUCCUGCUGAUACAUGUUUUAUUCGAUUGUUUGUUUGCUUUUUGUAGCUUCUCGAUCAAGCACGGUCCGAUUGCGAAGAAACAGAAGAUUGAAGACUGAACGUGACAAUAGAUCUAUAUUUUAGUUUAUCUCCUUAUAGAUGUUUUUACGUUAUGUUAUCGUCUCGGUCUAUCGGUCAUACAAAUUAUUUUAUUUUGGAUAUUUAUCUUAUACGUUAUUAAAAUAAAACAGAUUUAAUUUAUAUAUUGGAUUACUCACGAACGAAAACUACAUCGUAUUAAAAAAAAAAUGUAUAGUGUCGCUAAAAUUAUACUGUGUCUGUUGUUUAUUCUUGGGAUAUUGAGAUUAGAAUUGCUUUUGCAAUGAACAAUCUUAAUGAGGUAUAUAUAUAUAAUCAUUAAAUUAAUAACGAUAUGCGUUGUUAGCAAUAUUUAUUUAGUUAAAUUUAUACCUAAAUAGAAAAUCCCCGGAAACCUUAUCGAGUUAUUUAUAAAAUUCAUAUAUAAGUAUAUAUUCGAGUUAUUCGUGGAUUAGGUAUUUUUGGUUUCAUUCAUAGCAUAUAAAUAUAUAGUCCCUUACGCGUCUAUUCGUGUUAUAAUCGUCGUCAUGUUUACCUCCAAAACAUAUGAUAGUGUUUGGCGAUUGAAUCCUUCCAAGUACGAGUGGGUUGUCGAAACCAAGGUUCUUUGUUCGUGGACACGGCGUCUAGAAAACAGUGGCAGGCGUUUAGAGUUUGUUCUCGCGGAUCGUGAGGUUUGUUUAUAUUAUACUGUUUUAUUUUUUUAUAAGAUAAUGCUCUUGGAUCUUAUUUUAUGGAUUUGUUCGUUGUAGGGUAACAAGAUACAGUGUUCUCUAUGGGGAGAGGUUUACGAUAAAUUUGUGUCUGUAAUAGUUAGCGGUAGUUGGUUUCGGAUUAAGGACUUUAAAGUUGUUCAUCAGACUGGGGAUUGCAGAGCAACCUUGCACCGCUAUAAGAUGAUUCUUUUGAAAAACACUACGAUUGUCAAGAUACCUGGUAUCGAUAACAAUCAGUUUUUUGAUUUUGUUGAUUUUGGAAGUAUCUUGGACCGAAGAUAUUCUGACGACUUUUUGGUUGGUAAGAUUUGUGGUUCUAAUUGUAUCUAAACAUGUUAUCUGUUAUAUUCACUGUUUUAUUGACGUUUCAUAUUUCCGUUGUGCAAGACUUGAUUGGAGAGGUUGUUGAUGUCCAAACUUCUAAUAUCGAAGCUGAAACCAAUGGAACGAAAUUACGUGAGGGUUCCGUUGUUUUUAAUGAUAAGGGCGUCCCUUUAUCUGAUGAAGUUAUACCAGACUAUGAUUAUUUACUAGAUAGGUCGAAGAGAUACAACGAGGGUAGAUUAGUCGUAGAAAAUAAGGAACCUACUCGCUCCUUGAAGCGUAGUAACGAGGAUGUGUAUGGAUUUUCAUCCACAAAACGUUUUCGUCCUCUUACUGGUGGUUAUAAAGAAUUACUCGAAGAAGUAGGAGGAAUAAACGAUCAAGGCCAUGGAAGACUAGGAUCCGAAUUUGGUGAAGAUGACGAAGAGGACGAUGAUGAAGAAGAAGAAGAAGACACCGAAGGAGACGAAGAAGUUGAAGAAGAUGUAGAUGCCGAUGAAGGAGAAGGGGAAUACGAAGAGGAAGAGACGUAUGGGGAAUUUGGUUAUGAUGGGGAUGAUAGCAUAUAUCGCACAGUUUCUUUCUAUCUACGUGACAGACGGUACAUUCAUUAUGUUUAUAAUAGUUAGAGGAUAAAUACUAAUUAAUAUCCUUACACAUGUACUUUUUUACGUGUGAAGGAAUGCUAUGUUGAGAUGUCGCCUGUUUGGUAAAGUCGCUUUGACUUUCUACGACACAUUUAAAGAGCAAGCUGAUGGUGCUGUUAUUUGUGUUAUAAGAUGGGGACUUAUUCGUUGUUAUGGAGGUUUGUUUUGCCUGCUUAGUAUAUAAGCUGGUCGGGUUUGUUAUAGAUGUAUGCAUGUUAAAUAGUUAGUUUGAUCGAGUGCAGGUGAUGUGGCCAUACAUGCUACAGAUUGCUCGCGUAUUGAGAUUAAUCCAGAUAUCCGUGGAGUGGAAUGCUUUGAUGAAUUGUAAGUUUAGUUUUCCGUAUAAUUAGAUUUAUGAUGUUUGGUGUCUGGACUAUAAUAUUGUUAAUUCCUACGCUUCGGUGUUAUUGUGAAGGGUCAAGGAAAACAUGUAGUUGGGUAUCUUGAAGAAGAAGGAAGGAUUUAUAGUCUCCGGUGGUGGAUGUUAAAGUUAUUAUGUUUCAAUUUCCGUUACGUUUUAACAGAGUUGUUUCAGCGAUACCUCUAUUAUGCGGAUCACUAUUAUCCCUUAGUUUUGUUUAUUUUUUAUUCUAUAGUUACGUUCUUAUUAUGGAUCAUAUAUUUACGGUGAUACGUUCGUCAGCGAGAGCAUUUAAAUUUACAUCGAAUUUGUUAUUGCGUUGGGGCUUAAAAUAAUAUUUUAUAUAUAUGUUAAAUUGACCAUUUCGUUGAGGCUGCGAACAAUAUUGAAGGAUUCUUUUCUUUAGUCAUAGGCUUCAAAGUGUAUGCGUUAUAUAAAACUGGAAAGUGAAGGAGGACUUACACCUUCGUUAGUUUAAAUUAAUAACAUAAUACAUAAAUAUUUUUGUAAUUGGAUUCCAUUGAAAGUUUACUCUUAUCGACUUUGUUUACAGAAAAUAAAAAUAUGGAUUUGUCACAAAAUUGUAAACAUGCUUAAUCUAUGAUUUAGCGAGACGAUAAAAGUAAAUAUUGCGGUUUUUAUCUACGCAUUCGAUUCGAAAAUAUCUAUAAUAACUAUUUGGUAAAGCUAUAAUAUUUCCAGAAAAUUUUAUAUACUAAUAGCGAAGAUUUACAUUUAUCUCUUAAUUCGAUUUUGUUAAUAUCCAUAAUUAUUAAAUUUUAUUCUAUAUUAGUCGAAAAGGUCGGUUAAAUCCUAAACAUUUUAUGGCUAUAUAUAGGAUCUACUACUCGCUUUCAACAUUAACGAAAUCUAUUAAGAUAUUAUACUUUUGUGCGUUAAAAAAUGUCGUCAAGCAGAAAAAGCAAAAAUUCACUAACUUUCAUCGAUGAUAUCAAUCCUAUUCACGAUCAGAAUAAGAUUAAGGUGUUAAUCUUGAGGCUGUGGAAGGCGUAUCAGAGAGAUGCGGGCAAUACAAUCGAGAUGGUUUUGGUGGAUGAAAAGGUUAUGAUUUGAUUAUUAUUUGAGAUUAUGUCUUCUAUAUCAUGUGUUUGCUUUGUUUUUGUAUCGUAUAAGUAUGCUAAGCAUAUUCUCUUUUUGGUUUUAAGUAGGGUUCAAGAAUCCAUGCAAUUGUUGAAGACAAAAAUAUCAAAAAGUUCGACAGUGUCCUGAAAGAAGGUGAUGUCGUUACCUUAAAUCCUUUCAAGCUCAUCAAGUACUCUGGCGAUUAUAAGAGCAACAGUCUUUCUUUCAAGAUUUUGUUUUACCGAACAACCCAGGUCAAACCAUGUGAUGAUUUUCCAAAGGAAGUCCCUGAGAAGUAUUUUGUGGAAUUUGGUGAUGUUUUAAAUGGUUCACGAGACACGCGUGUUUUCGUUGGUAGGUCUGGUUUAAAUAAAAUAUCUUAAUUAGUUUGAUAUUUGUUUAUCUUUAUCGCUGUCAAACUAAAUAACGAUACGUAUUGUUGUAGAUGUUAUUGGUCAGAUUGUCAACGUUGGACCGAUAGAGGAUAUAAAAAUCAGAGGAAAGAGUACUCCAAAGCUCGACGUCGAGUUGCGUGAUCGUGGGUAUGUUAAUUAUGAUUAGUCAUUAUAAGAGUUUGGUUUUCUGUAUGCUUCGUUUUUUUGACGUGUUUAUCACGUAAAUAGGAACGUACGGUUAAUAUGUACUCUAUGGGCGGAUUUUGCUAAGCAAGUUAAGGUUUAUACUGAAGCAAAUCCAGCGGCUGUUGUUUGUGUGAUUAGGUGUGCUCAGGUUAAGGAGUGGAAAGGUAUAUAUGUUGGUCGAAUAAACUUCAAAUAUUCCGAUGACUGUUCUAAUUUUAAUUGUUAACUUAUUUAGGUAAUUGGACUAUAUCUAAUGCUAUGGGCGCAACACGUGUAUUACUCGAUCCUCCAGGCGUUUUUGUUGAUGAGUUCAGAUCAGGGUAAUAGACAUAAUAUUGUUUAUUUAUUAUGUUUUGUGUUAUUGUAUAUGUCUGUAUAGAUAUUAAUAUAGAAUUUUUUUUGUAGGCUACCAACCGAUGGCGUUGUCUUGACUAAUCAUGAUAAUAGUGAAUUGUUUGCUGGAUCAACUGUAUCGAUACGUGAUCAAUUCUUGGUGAAGAAUCAUAAACGAACUGUCCGAGAUAUAGUCGAGGCGUUAGAGGUAGACACCAUAAAUUUAUGCGUUAUUCUUUAUAUUCAUGCGUUUUAAAGGGUAAAAAAAAAAUUUGUUUGUUAAUUAGAACUGGUUGGUAUUUUAAGUCUGACCUCUAAAAUCUAUAGGAGGGUAUGUGUGUGACCAUGGUCACUGUUGGAUCCGUCGAGCGAACGUCGAAAUGGUAUUACGUUUCGUGUAAGAUGUGUAAUAAGAGUGUCGAGCCUUAUCCAGAAAAUUCUGGUGAUGAUGGAAAACCACCUCUUUACUAUUGCGGCGUUUGUGACAAGGAUGUAUCUGCGGUAGUGUUCAGGUGAUCGUGUCUUUUGAAUGCCUUGUUUAUAUCGUCUUGUGCAUGUUAAUACCGUCAUACUAUGUUGGUGUGUGUAGUUUUAGAGCUCGGUUGUUCAUUAUUUGUCCUGGAAUAACUGUUUGUUUUAGGUACCGAUUGGUUCUGGAGGUUUCUGAUGCAACUAACUACAAGGCAAGGUUUUUGUUGUUUGAUGCAAUGGGUAGUACCCUCCUCCGUAGAACUGCACAGGAGCUCUAUAAUGCAGUUUCUGAGGUAAUGGAUUCGCUUUUGCUAUUGUUUGUUAUGUUGUUUAUUCUAUUUUUAACGAUUAUUUGUUCGUAUGUUUAAUCUAUUUGCAUGGUUUAAUGAUAGAAUGACCCCUCUAUACUUCCCUCGGAGAUUGGGGCAUUGGUCGGGAGGCGGUUUCUUUUUAAAGUGAGUAUAGGUGGCGAUAAUCUGAAAUCGGAUCGGUCGCAUUACGUGGUACAGUUAUUUUCUGAUGAUGAUGAGCUGAUUAAAGACUAUUCUGAUAGUCUAGACUCCGAGGUUCGUGUUUUGUAGCUUGGGUUGUUCUGUUUAUAUGAAACUGUAUGUAUGUGUUAAGUUUACUAAAUAUUCGGUGUUUUGCUUUAUAUAUACUUAAUAUUGGUGUUUCUAAGGUUUUGGUGCCUUUGCCCGUAACGCCUAUUACAAAGGAGGCCAGUGUUCGCCGUGGCGGUGUAUCCGUCGAGAAUCCGAAACCUCCUACGAAGAAAAUCAAAAUCGAGGGCAAGAAAGAAGAGAGUUUUGCCACAACUUAAAGAAGAAUUUGGUUUUUUUUAUAUAUCUAGAUUUAGCGGUUUUAUUUAUAUUUAAAUAUCAUAGCAGACUUUACAAUACAUUGUGCGACUUUAUGUUCGUUUUUUGUUGUGACUGAGUCUGGAUGUUAUUUGGUGUUUUCGUUAUUUGUUUUUUUUGUUUUUUUAUACCUUCCCAAGUGUCAUAUUUAGAUAUUGUUCGUUUUUUGUUUUCUAUGAUCGGUCUGAUGUUGUUUGGCAAACGACAAACGCGACUUUCUGCUUAUACACGUGCAAGUGUUUUCGCUAGGUCUGAAUAUAUUCUAUACGCAACUAAUACAUGCAUUUUUUAUUAUACUAAUGAUAUGUGUUAGGUGUUAUUGUUUGACGCCAAUGUAUUCACUUAGAAAUAUUGUUAUAGAUUAAGAGUCGCAUGUAGGUAACAUGUGUUUAGCAAGACGUGGAUAUUAUUAUAUAUGUAUUAUUAUAAAAUAUUGGAUUUCGUUUUAUGUCGUAUAUAACAGUUUCACGUUAUUUGUGAUAUAUUUGGUAUCUGAUUUAGCAUGCUGAUUUAUAAUUAGUUAGGGUUAUGUGAGCAUUCACGAACUCUAUAUAUUUGCACGUUUUAUAUUAUGCUUAUAUGGUCUACUAACGUAGGUUGAUAUCCCGGCCGUUUCUCUGAGCAACGCAUAAAUUGGUAGGUCUAUUGUAUUGAGAUAUGUAACAUUAACAAUUCUAAAAUAUUAAAUAUUCGACGGAAUUAGAAUGUUUCUUUUUAAUUUGACAUGCGACAUACGCAUAUAUAAAAACAUAUAUACGGAUAAAUACUGUUUGUGUAACAAUAUGUUAGAGUUAACAUUUUAGGUAUUGAUAGAUUUGAUCAUAUCUCCUAUUAAUAUAGUGGUAUGUUUGUUAUUAUCCAUAAUAGAAAAUAUUAUUUUCCUUGGUUUUAAGUCGCUCAAUAUUUUACGUAAAAAUAUAGGUCUUAUUGGGUACCCUAAUACCUAGCUUAUAUAUACGUCUAUAAAUAAUACAUGCAUUCUUGUGUUAAUCAUUGCGAACGCUCGUGUUGAAAGAUGGAGGUAGUCGUUAGUAUUUUUACUUGAUGUUGGUCUGAUAUAGUUUAUUUGUUCGGCGUUAAGUUGGCUUUCUCUUUCCGAAAAUAACAAUCAUGUUUAUUGAUUAUUAAUACGUGAAUGUUUUGAUCGGACAGGUUAACAAGCAAAACACUAACUCAACCCAUAUUAGCCAGACGGAUGAAUGCAUCGUAGCUAUCCAACAAGCGGCUUCGUGGGUGUUGUCGGUCGAUAGAUUGCGUGGUUUAUUUGUUAUGCUGAUGGAUGUUUUCUGCGAGGCAGAUCCGUUGUCGGUCUGGGAUGCUACCUGGGAUGUAUUGUUUAAAGAUGUGUUGUUUCCACAACAAAUUAUUUUUAACGAUCAUGGUAAAUGUACACCGUUAGUUUUUGCCAAUAUUUACAAAUAUCGUCAGAUGGCUAAUGUUUUAUUAUUUUGUUCUAGAGCCGGAGUAUGCCUACAAUGAAAUCCAAAACUUUGAGACAUUUAUGCGUAAGGAAAACUCUACGUUCAAUGUCUAUGCGGAAUUACGGAAGAAAGUCGCUUUAGCUGGUGGUCCUACAUGUGAUCCUUCGUUGGAAUAUAAGAUGCGUGAUCAGUUUAACAAUCUUAAGAUAGAUUAGAUUGUUUGCAUCGUUUUGAUUUAUUUUUGUUUAUUUUAGGGUUUUAUAAACUAUGUUUCUGCUUGGUUCUCUCUAUACUAUUAUAUUUGUUUCGGCAAAAUAAUAGAAUAUUUUUUUAUAGACGGUGUUUUGAUCUAUCAACGCUGCAAUGAAGAUUUUAUUUUAUUAUUCCUGUAUUGCGUUCUCUUAACUUUUUUUUUUUUUAUUGACGGUGUAUCUUUAUAAUUACGCAAUGAGUUUUAAGCACCAUAAAACGCGAUAGUUAAAACACAUGGGUUCUUCUUCGUUGACCGUCAAACAACUUAUGCUAGAUGAAACAACGUCCUAUAAUGUGAGAUCCAUGAUAGCUGCUGUAUGUUGUGUAGCUUCUUCCAUUUGCUAUAUGGUUUCUUAUGAUUUUAUACAGAUCUCACGGUUAUGUUAUCUAUUCAUUUUAUCUCCAAGUGAUAUUUUAUGACCAUAAUUAUGAGGUUUAACAAGCUAUGGAAAAUUAAAUUUCUGUCAUUAUAACUUGUAUUUAUGAGUUGAGAUUAAUUUAAAAAGUAAAAUUCGUUGUGCUCGAAUCACAUAUAUGAUUAAUACUAUAUAACAUAUCAUUAAAAUAUAAUAUUUCCAGUUUUCAGUUUACCUUUUAUAUUUAUUUCCGUGAGAUUUUCAUCUUCUCUCAAAGUUAUGUAUGGGUAUUACCAAAUGCGUUUGCUGUUAAAGUAAAUAUUUUAUAAAAUUCCUUCUUUUUUUUGGAUACAAUCAGAAUAAAAAGUAAAAUUUGAAUAUAUCUAGAAAAUAUAUUGAUUAGUAAUAUAUAUCGCAAUAUUAAAAUAUAAUAUUUCUAGUUGUUCUAUUAAAGAAUACCAUAGUAGAUUAUUGUUAUAUAUAAUUUUCCGUUAGUUUCCUCUGUGUUCACGAUCUUCUAGGUUUUGGAGACAAUGAAACGUGGUAGAGGUCAGAAAUAAGAUCGCAAAGCUUGCAUACGUUAUAUAUUUUAUAUUGUCGUAUAACCAUAAUCCUUUUUUAUAAAACAUUCUUGUCUAUCACUCUGAUUUGUUUUCAUUAUGCCCGUCCAAAGGUGAUCAUCGACGUAUACAUCGCCGUGUUUAUAAUAACAACUUCGACUAUUUGCUCGAUGUACCCAAGGAUGGUGCGAAAAAGGCAAGAAAUUAUCGUAUGGAGAAACUCAGAGCACGAAGGACUGCCUUCCGUAAUAGAUUAUCGGGUUAAGUCUAUUAUCUUUAAAAAAUUUAUUAAUUUAAUUAAUAAAAACGCCCACACACGCGUAAUUAAGUUGUAGUGACAUAUUAUAUUUUCCGUUGUGAUUAAUAUAUAUUCAUAAUUUCUAGGCAUGGAGUCGAUUAAUCGAACACGUGUUAUCGCGGCAUAUGAAAACAUGAUAUCUGAUGAAUUACGUGCGUUAUUGAAUUCACGACCUCCUAAGGAUGUUUGUUGUCGUGCGAGAGCGCGCCGUGUAGCAAUACUUAAAUCAAGACGGAUAAAAGCGAGGACAAGACAACCAGAAACCGGUACGAUAGCCUUUUAUAUUAAGUUUUUAUUCUCGAAAUUGUACGUGUGAUUAACAAAUAAAAAAAUGUUAUAUAUAAGGGUUGGUGUUGCCGAUUUACGAAGAUGAUUACGUGCAUUUCCUCGCAACCGAUUCGGAUUCUGAUCAUGGUGAUAGGGAGGACCAAACAGACGACGAUAAUGCAAUGGAUUAUGAUUUUGUUGAACAUCUCGAUAACGCCGAUGAGUGUAUUAUGGAACAGGAAGGGUUUGGAUCCAUACCGAUCAUAAAUGUGAAACCUGGAUUAACAGAAAACGGUACUUACUAUGGUUGUUUUUUUUAUAAUUUUUUAAAAAAUAUAAUUGAUAUUAUUGUGUACAUGAGUGCUUCUUGUGUCAGGUUAUUUUGAUGAUGGAGAUCCGUUUUAUACCUGUCAAAAUUGCGGUGCUUAUAUGUGGUUUGGCGAACGUAUUAACAAACGUGGAGCUAAAAAUAGGCCUAUAUUUUCUACGUGUUGCAUGAAGGGUAAAGUGGAGCUGCCUAAACUAAAAAAUCCUCCACCGGUGCUUAUGUCGAUGUUGUAUGGCAAGGAUGAGACAAGCAAAAAUUUCCGUGCUUUAAUUAGAGCAUACAAUAUGAUGUUCUCAUUCACGUCUCUUGGUGGUCAAAUUGAUAAUUCCGUGAACCAUGGGAAUGCACCGUAUGUGUUUCGCAUGCAGGGUCAAAAUUAUCAUCGCAUCGGUGAACUUUUGCCUGGCCCUUCCAGAAGUCCUGCUUUCUCGCAGCUCUAUAUUCAUGAUACCGUAAACGAAGUCUCGAAUAGGAUGGGUGUUAUGGGGUGAGUUGUUUAUUGUAAUAUAUUUUUUAUAUUAUGUCCACGAAUUAAUUUCCGUUUUUUGUUGUUUUUAAUUGUUUUAGCGAGAAAGGACCGGGUAAGCAAAUAAAGAAGAGUAUCGUUAAGACUUUGAAGGAUAUGUUAGAUGCUAACAACCCACACGUCAUCGCGUUUAGAUCAGCUAGAGAUAGAUUAGCACAGUGUGAAGAUACCAGCGGCUUUAAGUUGAUUUUGAAAAAUCAUCGAGAUAGUGACGGUAGAGUCCAAAAUAUACCUACGACUGACGAGGUUGCUGGGCUUAUCGUGGGAGAUAUAAACCCUAAACCGCGUGAUGUAGUGCUUCAGGCUAAUUCUGGAGGGUUUCAGCGUAUAAGUGAGCUGCACCCAUCCUACCUCCCUCUACAGUAUCCUUUGCUUUUUCCUUACGGCGAGGAUGGAUUUAGGUUAGGUAUCGACAUUGGAUUCAUCGAUAAAGGCGGUCUAAAAAGAACAAAGGUGACGAUGAGAGAAUUCAAUCGAGACGAGGUGAAUCUCCUACUAUUGUUAUGUCCAGGAGAUUAUAUCAGGAGAUUAUAUCAGCAGUUCCUGGUUGAUGCGUAUACGAUGAUCGAAAGCAACAGGCUUCGUUAUUUGUUUUUUAACCAGAAAAAUCUCCGCUGUGAAAACUAUUCGCAGAUUCUUAAAGUUUCUAAGAAAGGAAAUAAAAAUCUUUCCAUAGAAGGUAAUAAAAUUAUGAUACCAUCUUCUUUCACCGGAGGGCCUAGGUACAAGACGCAGCAUUAUCUUGAUGCGAUGGCUACUUGCAAGUAUUAUGGCUUUCCUGAUCUAUUUAUCACUAUAACUUGUAAUCCUGCGUGGCCCGAGAUUACUAGGUAUCUGGAAAAAUACAACUUAAAACCCGAGGAUAGGCCCGACAUCUGUUGUAGGCUUUUUAAGCUGAAACUCGAUAAUCUCAUUCAUGAUCUUACCCAUAAUAAGAAGCUGGGAACUGUCUCUUCUGGUAAGAUUGACCAAACUUUUAUAGCGAUAUUUGUGUCUCGCAUAAAUUAUGUGUUAUUAUUAUAUAUAUAGAAUUUUAGAAUCUUAAAUUUUUAACCUCUUAUUCUGUAAUUUCUUGUAUAUUUUACAGUUUUAUACACGAUUGAGUUCCAGAAAAGGGGUCUACCACACGCACAUAUGGUCCUGUUCCUAGCUCCAGGAUCAAAACUUCCAACUACUGAUGAUAUUGAUAAACAUAUUAGUGCAGAAAUUCCUGAUCCAGAGUUAGAGCCGUUUUUGUAUGAAGUUGUAGCAGAUAUGAUGGUGCAUGGUCCGUGCGGAGUUGUUAAUCCCAGCUGUCCGUGUAUGCAAAAAGGCAGAUGCACCAAAUACUACCCUAGGCCUUACAGUGAUCAGACUAAGGUUGAUGACGAGGGGUAUCCUAUUUAUAGACGGCGAGCGGAUGGCAAAUUCAUCGUGAAGCAAAAAUUUAAUGUCGAUAAUAGGUACAUCGUUCCAUAUAACGCUUAUUUAUCGAAAAGGUAUCGUGCUCAUAUUAAUGUCGAGUGGUGCAAUCAAUUACGAUCUAUCAAAUAUCUCUUCAAGUAUAUCCACAAAGGACCCGAUUAUAUCAGAGCAAAAAUACAAAAGGACGGUCAAGAAGAGGAAGUCCAUGACGAAAUAAAACAGUAUUAUACAUGCAGGUGCCAAAUGAGACUAAUUGUUUAUAAAAUGUUAUGUUAUCGUCUUAGACUAAAUACUGUUGUUGGGAGUUUUGAAAUUAUUGCCUCAUUCUCAUUAUUUUUUAUGUCGUUUCGUUUAUAGGUAUAUAUCUGCAUGCGAGGCCACUUGGAGAAUAUUAGCUUUUGCUACACAUUACCGGUCUACACCAGUAGAAAAACUUACAUUUCAUCUUCUUGGUGAAGAGGUUAUUGUUUUCGAUCCGAAUGAUCCUGUUGAUGAGGUUAUAAGUCGUAAAUCUAUCGGCCGUACAAUGUUCUUGGCUUGGAUGGAAUGUAACAAAGCGUAUCCAGAAGCCAGAGAAUUGACAUAUGCGGAUUUUCCAUCUAAGUUUGUUUGGAAAAGCAGAGAGCGUGUCUGGAAACCCCGAGUAAAAGGAUUCUCGAUAGGAAGGAUUAUGUAUGUUUCUCCUUCCCUUGGAGCCAAGUAUUAUCUAAGGCUCCUGUUAAAUUCUGUGACAGGUCCUACAUCUUACGAUGACAUCAAAACGGUAAAUGGCAUUAUAUAUCCUGAGUUUGUUGAUGCUUGCAAUGCACUGGGGUUGCUCGCAGACGACCGAAUAUUUAUAGAUGCGAUAAAAGAAGCGAGUUAUUUCGUGAAAGGUUUACCCUUGCGAAAAUUAUUUGUGAUGAUGAUCGUCGCCGGAGAUAUAGUAAAUCCUUUGCGAGUUUGGGAGGAGACUUGUGAUCUACUGUCGGAAGGUAUCUUAUUCGAACGUAGAAAAGUGUCGAGGAAUCCGGGUAGGUGGAUCAUCUCUAUUGUUUAUGAAAUAUAUAUAGCUGUCUUAUUAAUUGAAUAGUAAUAAUAGCAUGUUUCGUGUGGUUUGCAGCUUUGACGCUUUCUGAUAAACAAAUAAAAAAUUUCACGUUGGCGUCUAUUGAACUCUUGCUGCGGGAUAACGGGAAGACUCUGUCUACUAUCGAAGGAUUUCCGCAGCCGGAUGAUAUAUCUCUUGAUACGAGUACAAAUCGGCUGUUGUUGGAUGAGCUUGGUUAUAACCACGAAAAAGAAGCGAAAGAACACGUGAGACUCCUAGCCACGAUAACGGAUGAACAAAAAAUAGUUUACGAUGAAGUGAUGCAGGCAGUUUUAGAUAAAAAAGGCGGUGUCUUUUUUCUAUAUGGAUACGGGGGCACAGGCAAAACGUACGUCUGGAGUAUUUUAUCGGCUGCUUUAAGGUCUAUGGGACUUAUUGUUCUUAAUGUAGCAUCGAGCGGGAUAGCCUCUUUGCUGAUGCCUGGAGGUAGAACUGCACAUUCAAGAUUUUCGAUACCUCUAACGGCUGAUGAAUUUAGUAUGUGUGCGAUGAAACCAUCAUCCCAUCUCGGUGAGUUGGUAAAACAGGCUAGCUUAAUUGUAUGGGAUGAGGCUCCUAUGAUGAGCAGACAUUGUUUUGAGACGUUGGAUCGUAGUAUUCGGGAUGUUAUGAGAUGUAUACUGAUCGGCCGUUCGGCGGUAAACAAUUGUCUUUGANNNNNNNNNNNNNNNNNNNNNNNNNNNNNNNNNNNNNNNNNNNNNNNNNNNNNNNNNNNNNNNNNNNNNNNNNNNNNNNNNNNNNNNNNNNNNNNNNNNNNNNNNNNNNNNNNNNNNNNNNNNNNNNNNNNNNNNNNNNNNNNNNNNNNNNNNNNNNNNNNNNNNNNNNNNNNNNNNNNNNNNNNNNNNNNNNNNNNNNNNNNNNNNNNNNNNNNNNNNNNNNNNNNNNNNNNNNNNNNNNNNNNNNNNNNNNNNNNNNNNNNNNNNNNNNNNNNNNNNNNNNNNNNNNNNNNNNNNNNNNNNNNNNNNNNNNNNNNNNNNNNNNNNNNNNNNNNNNNNNNNNNNNNNNNNNNNNNNNNNNNNNNNNNNNNNNNNNNNNNNNNNUUACAGACGAUGGCGAUGCUGAUGUGGAGAUUCCUGAUGAUUUGCUGAUUUCUAAAUGUGGUGAUCCUAUCAAAGCCAUCGUACAUAAUGUUUAUGGGUCAACGUUGGUCAAGGAUAAGGAACUUUCUUUUUUCCAAGAAAGGGCUAUUCUUACUCCGAGAAAUAAUGACGUGUGCGUGAUCAACGACUAUGCGCUAUCACACAUGGAAGGUAGAAAAUUAAUGUUAAAACUUUUAUAUAUUGAUUUAGAGUAUGUUUACUAUUGUUUAUUAUUUUAGUUUGAUAGUGGAUUUAAUGUUGUUUAUUAUUUUAAUUUUCAUUCAUGUUGACGCCCCGGGGUUGUUAGGUGAAGAGAGAGUCUAUCUUAGUUGCGAUAGUAUUGAAUUAUCGGAUGCGGACAAAAGAGAUAAUAUGGUUUAUACACCCGAGUUUUUAAACAGCAUCAAAGUCUCGGGGUUGCCAAAUCACAGGCUGGUAUUGAAAGUCGGAGUUCCAAUCAUGGUUCUACGGAAUAUUGAUCCUAAGAAUGGACUUUGUAAUGGUACAAGAUUACAAGUGACUCAGUUAGCGAAUCAGGUUAUAGAAGCUAGAAUUAUUACUGGUACGAGAGUUGGAGACAUAGUUGUGAUUCCUAAAAUGUACUUGAGUCCCACCGAGACGAGGUUCCCAUUUAGAAUGAAACGUUGUCAGUUCCCGAUUGCGGUUGCUUUCGCAAUGACGAUUAAUAAAAGUCAAGGUCAGACUUUGACUAAUGUAGGUUUGUAUCUACCUAAGCCUGUCUUUUCGCACGGGCAAUUGUACGUUGCACUUUCGAGAGUCACAUCCAGGAGAGGCCUCAAGAUACUGAUAACAGAUGAUAGGGGACAGCCUCAAAAGACUACUAAAAAUGUUGUUUAUCACGAAGUAUUCCAGAACAUUCGUUAGUUUGAUUCUAGGAUUUUUCUCUCCUUUUACUACCUGUUUUGGGCUUUCAGCUUACGAUAAUUUUUUUGUUUUAAUUAUAUUUUUUAUAAUACAUUUUGGGUUUUAAAUAAAAGGAAAUUCCAUCGGAUAUUGCCAUCUUUAAAUAAAAAUGCUAAGAAAAUAAAAUGGAAAAUGUCACGCAAAAUGUUAUUAAACAAAAAAAGGGUUGCGACGGUACGUGUCUUGACAAAGGAAGGAAAAUCGAACAUAAAAACAAAAGGGCUGCGACGUUUCAUUGUCUAGGUUAGUUCCCUAUAUAUACUUAGUUGUUAAGCGUUCUUGUGGGCAGACCAUUAUCUUACGCCGCAUAACGAAUUUUCGCAUAGGAGCAGAUAUGUCUUCUCGGUUCACAUCGUCUUCUAUUGAACGUUACAACGAUUUCUCUCGGUUGAACCCUGCAAUUGUUGGAUGGCAUGUUCACGUUAAGGUUUUGCGUCGCUUCCACACCGAUGACUAUAUAUCGAAGGGUGGGCUAGGGUUACUUCUGGUUGAUGAUAAGGUAUUGGUUCGAAAUAAGAUUUGGCUUUUCUUUAGAUAUGUAUUAGCCUUUGUUGUUAUGGAUGUUUGCGGUUUCCCGACUUUUGUGAUUUUGGUUUUGUGAUGCAGGGUAAUCAGAUCGAAGCGCUUAUUUGUUCGCCGUUGACUUUUCAUUAUUCAACGUUUAUUGAAGAAGAUGAAUUCUACGCUAUUAUGAAUUUCAGAGUUGUGGAGAAUUCGGGAUUCACUAAACUAACAAGGAGUGACUUUAAGAUAAUGUUUUAUGAUGGUACUAUCGUUAAAGAAGCGUCUUCNNNNNNNNNNNNNNNNNNNNNNNNNNNNNNNNNNNNNNNNNNNNNNNNNNNNNNNNNNNNNNNNNNNNNNNNNNNNNNNNNNNNNNNNNNNNNNNNNNNNAGCUGCUGCGCAUUUACCGUGGGCAGCCCCUCACUGAGAAUACGAAGAGGAAGAGACGUAUGGGGAAUUUGGUUAUGAUGGGGAUGAUAGCAUAUAUCGCACAGUUUCUUUCUAUCUACAUGACAGACGGUACAUUCAUUAUGUUUAUAAUAGUUAGAGGAUAAAUACUAAUUAAUAUCCUUACACAUGUACUUUUUUACGUGUGAAGGAAUGCUAUGUUGAGAUGUCGCCUGUUUGGUAAAGUCGCUUUGACUUUCUACGACACAUUUAAAGAGCAAGCUGAUGGUGCUGUUAUUUGUGUUAUAAGAUGGGGACUUAUUCGUUGUUAUGGAGGUUUGUUUUGCCUGCUUAGUAUAUAAGAUGGUCGGGUUUGUUAUAGAUGUAUGCAUGUUAAAUAGUUAGUUUGAUCGAGUGCAGGUGAUGUGGCCAUACAUGCUACAGAUUGCACGCGUAUUGAGAUUAAUCCAGAUAUCCGUGGAGUGGAAUGCUUUGAUGAAUUGUAAGUUUAGUUUUCCGUAUAAUUAGAUUUAUGAUGUUUGGUGUCUGGACUAUAAUAUUGUUAAUUCCUACGCUUCGGUGUUAUUGUGAAGGGUCAAGAAAAACAUGUAGUUGGGUAUCUUGAAGAAGAAGGAAGGAUUUAUAGUCUCCGGUGGUGGAUGUUAAAGUUAUUAUGUUUCAAUUUCCGUUACGUUUUAACAGAGUUGUUUCAGCGAUACCUCUAUUAUGCGGAUCACUAUUAUCCCUUAGUUUUGUUUAUUUUUUAUUCUAUAGUUACGUUCUUAUUAUGGAUCAUAUAUUUACGGUGAUACGUUCGUCAGCGAGAACAUUUAAAUUUACAUCGAAUUUGUUAUUGCGUUGGGGCUUAAAAUAAUAUUUUAUAUAUAUGUUAAAUUGACCAUUUCGUUGAGGCUGCGAACAAUAUUGAAGGAUUCUUUUCUUUAGUCAUAGGCUUCAAAGUGUAUGCGUUAUAUAAAACUGGAAAGUGAAGGAGGACUUACACCUUCGUUAGUUUAAAUUAAUAACAUAAUACAUAAAUAUUUUUGUAAUUGGAUUCCAUUGAAAGUUUACUCUUAUCGACUUUGUUUACAGAAAAUAAAAAUAUAGAUUUGUCACAAAAAUGUAAACAUGCUUAAUCUAUGAUUUAGCGAGACGAUAAAAGUAAAUAUUGCGGUUUUUAUCUACGUAUUCGAUUCGAAAAUAUCUAUAAUAACUAUUUGGUAAAGCUAUAAUAUUUCCAGAAAAUUUUAUAUGCUAAUAUCGAAGAUUUACAUUUAUCUCUUAAUUCGAUUUUGUUAAUAUCCAUAAUUAUUAAAUUUUAUUCUAUAUUAGUCGAAAAGGUCGGUUAAAUCCUAAACAUUUUAUGGCUAUAUAUAGGAUCUACUACUCGCUUUCAACUUUAACGAAAUCUAUUAAGAUAUUAUACUUUUGUGCGUUAAAAAAUGUCGUCAAGCAGAAAAAGCAAAAAUUCACUAACUUUCAUCGAUGAUAUCAAUCCUAUUCACGAUCAGAAUAAGAUUAAGGUGUUAAUCCUGAGGCUGUGGAAGGCGUAUCAGAGAGAUGCGGGCAAUACAAUCGAGAUGGUUUUGGUGGAUGAAAAGGUUAUGAUUUGAUUAUUAUUUGAGAUUAUGUCUUCUAUAUCAUGUGUUUGCUUUGUUUUUGUAUUGUAUAAGUAUGCUAAGCAUAUUCUCUUUUUGGUUUUAAGUAGGGUUCAAGAAUCCAUGCAACUGUUGAAGACAAAAAUAUCAAAAAGUUCGACAGUGUCCUGAAAGAAGGUGAUGUCGUUACCUUAAAUCCUUUCAAGCUCAUCAAGUACUCUGGCGAUUAUAAGAGCAACAGUCUUUCUUUCAAGAUUUUGUUUUACCGAACAACCCAGGUCAAACCAUGUGAUGAUUUUCCAAAGGAAGUCCCUGAGAAGUAUUUUGUGGAAUUUGGUGAUGUUUUAAAUGGUUCACGAGACACGCGUGUUUUCGUUGGUAGGUCUGGUUUAAACAAAAUAUCUUAAUUAGUUUGAUAUUUGUUUAUCUUUACCGCUGUUAAACUAAAUAACGAUACGUAUUGUUGUAGAUGUUAUUGGUCAGAUUGUCAACGUUGGACCGAUAGAGGAUAUAAAAAUCAGAGGAAAGAGUACUCCAAAGCUCGACGUCGAGUUGCGUGAUCGUGGGUAUGUUAAUUAUGAUUAGUCAUUAUAAGAGUUUGGUUUUCUGUAUGCUUUGUUUUUUUGACGUGUUUAUCACGUAAAUAGGAACGUACGGUUGAUAUGUACUCUAUGGGCGGAUUUUGCUAAGCAAGUUAAGGUUUAUACUGAAGCAAAUCCAGCGGCUGUUGUUUGUGUGAUUAGGUGUGCUCAGGUUAAGGAGUGGAAAGGUAUAUAUGUUGGUCGAAUAAACUUCAAAUAUUCCGAUGACUGUUCUAAUUUUAAUUGUUAACUUAUUUAGGUAAUUGGACUAUAUCUAAUGCUAUGGGCGCAACACGUGUAUUACUCGAUCCUCCAGGCGUUUUUGUUGAUGAGUUCAGAUCAGGGUAAUAGACAUAAUAUUGUUUAUUUAUUAUGUUUUGUGUUAUUGUAUAUGUCUGUAUAGAUAUUAAUAUAGAAUUUUUUUUGUAGGCUACCAACCGAUGGCGUGGUCUUGACUAAUCAUGAUAAUAGUGAAUUGUUUGCUGGAUCAACUGUAUCGAUACGUGAUCAAUUCUUGGUGAAGAAUCAUAAACGAACUGUCCGAGAUAUAGUCGAGGCGUUAGAGGUAGACACCAUAAAUUUAUGCGUUGUUCUUUAUAUUCAUGCGUUUUAAAGGGUAAAAAAAAAAUUUGUUUGUUAAUUAGAACUGGUUGGUAUUUUAAGUCUGACCUCUAAAAUCUAUAGGAGGGUAUGUGUGUGACCAUGGUCACUGUUGGAUCCGUCGAGCGAACGUCGAAAUGGUAUUACGUUUCGUGUAAGAUGUGUAAUAAGAGUGUCGAGCCUUAUCCAGAAAAUUCUGGUGAUGAUGGAAAACCACCUCUUUACUAUUGCGGCGUUUGUGACAAGGAUGUAUCUGCGGUAGUGUUCAGGUGAUUGUGUCUUUUGAAUGCAUUGUUUAUGUCGUCUUGUGCAUGUUAAUACCGUCAUACUAUGUUGGUGUGUGUAGUUUUAGAGCUCGGUUGUUCAUUAUUUGUCCUGGAAUAACUGUUUGUUUUAGGUACCGAUUGGUUCUGGAGGUUUUUGAUGCAACUAACUACAAGGCAAGGUUUUUGUUGUUUGAUGCAAUGGGUAGUACCCUCCUUCGUAGAACUGCACAGGAGCUCUAUAAUGCAGUUUCUGAGGUAAUGGAUUCGCUUUUGCUAUUGUUUGUUAUGUUGUUUAUUCUAUUUUUAACGAUUAUUUGUUCGUAUGUUUAAUCUAUUUGCAUGGUUUAAUGAUAGAAUGACCCCUCUAUACUUCCCUCGGAGAUUGGGGCAUUGGUCGGGAGGCGGUUUCUUUUUAAAGUGAGUAUAGGUGGCGAUAAUCUGAAAUCGGAUCGGUCGCAUUACGUGGUACAGUUAUUUUCUGAAGAUGAUGAGCUGAUUAAAGACUAUUCUGAUGGUCUAUACUCCGAGGUUCGUGUUUUGUAGCUUGGGUUGUUCUGUUUAUAUGAAACUGUAUAUAUGUGUUAAGUUUACUAAAUAUUCGGUGUUUUGCUUUAUAUAUACUUAAUAUUGGUGUUUCUAAGGUUUUGGUGCCUUUGCCCGUAACGCCUAUUACAAAGGAGGCCAGUGUUCGCCGUGGCGGUGUAUCCGUCGAGAAUCCAAAACCUCCUGCGAAGAAAAUCAAAAUCGAGGGCAAGAAAGAAGAGAGUUUUGCCACAACUUAAAGAAGAAUUUGGUUUUAUAUAUAUCUAGAUUUAGCGGUUUUAUUUAUAUUUAAAUAUCAUAGCAGACUUUACAAUACAUUGUGCGACUUUAUGUUCGAUUUUUGUUGUGACUGAGUCUGGAUGUUAUUUGGUGUUUUCGUUAUUUGUUUUUUUUGUUUUUUUAUACCUUCCCGAGUGUCAUAUUUAGAUAUUGUUCGUUUUUUGUUUUCUAUGAUCGGUCUGAUGUUGUUUGGCAAACGACAAACGCGACGUUUCUGCUUAUACACGUGCAAGUGUUUUCGCUAGGGCUGAAUAUAUUCUAUACGCAACUAAUACAUGCAUUUUUUGUUAUACUAAUGAUAUGUGUUAGGUGUUAUUGUUUGACGCCAAUGUAUUCACUUAGAAAUAUUGUUAUAGAUUAAGAGUCGCAUGUAGGUAACAUGUGUUUAGCAAGACGUGGAUAUUAUUAUAUAUGUAUUAUUAUAAAAUAUUGGAUUUCGUUUUAUGUCGUAUAUAACAGUUUCACGUUAUUUGUGAUAUAUUUGGUAUCUGAUUUAGCAUGCUGAUUUAUAAUUAGUUAGGGUUAUGUGAGCAUUCACGAGCUCUAUAUAUUUGCACGUUUCAUAUUAUGCUUAUAUGGUCUACUAACGUAGGUUGAUAUCCCGGCCGUUUCUCUGAGCAACGCAUAAAUUGGUAGUUCUGUUGUAUUGAGAUAUGUAACAUUAACAAUUCUAAAAUAUUAAAUAUUCGACGGAAUUAGAAUGUUUCUUUUUAAGUUUACUGUUUGUGUAACAAUAUGUUAGAGUUAACAUUUUAGGUAUUGAUAGAUUUGAUCAUAUCUCCUAUUAAUAUAGUGGUAUGUUUGUUAUUAUCCAUAAUAGAAAAUAUUAUUUUCCUUGGUUUUAAGUCGCUCAAUAUUUUACGUAAAAAUAAAGGUCUUAUUGGGUACCCUAAUACCUAGCUUAUAUAUACGUCUAUAAAUAAUACAUGCAUUCUUGUGUUAAUCAUUGCGAACGCUCGUGUUGAAAAGAUGGAGGUAGUCGUUAGUAUUUUUACUUGAUGUUAGUCUGAUAUAGUUUAUUGGUUCUGCGUUAAAUUGGCUUUCUCUUUCCGAAAAUAACAAUCAUGUUGAUUGAUUAUUAAUAUGUGAAUGUUUUGAUCGGACAGGUUAACAAGCAAAACACUAACUCAACCCAUAUUAGCCAGACGGAUGAAUGUAUCGUAGCUAUCCAACAAGCGGCUUCGUGGGUGUUGUCGGUCGAUAGAUUGCGUGGUUUAUUUGUUAUGCUGAUGGAUGUUUUCUGCGAGGCAGAUCCGUUGUCGGUCUGGGAUGCUACCUGGGAUGUAUUGUUUAAAGAUGUGUUGUUUCCACAACAAAUUAUUUUUAACGAUCAUGGUAAAUGUACACCGUUAGUUUUUGCCAAUAUUUACAAAUAUCGUCAGAUGGAUAAUGUUUUAUUAUUUUGUUCUAGAGCCGGAGUAUGCCUACAAUGAAAUCCAAAACUUUGAGACAUUUAUGCGUAAGGAAAACUCUACGUUCAAUGUCUAUGCGGAAUUACGGAAGAGAGUCGCUUUAGCUGGUGGUCCUACAUGUGAUCCUUCGUUGGAAUAUAAGAUGCGUGAUCAGUUUAACAAUCUUAAGAUAGAUUAGAUUGUUUUCAUCGUUUUGAUUUAUUUCUGUUUAUUUUAGGGUUUUAUAAACUAUGUUUCUGCUUGGUUCUCUCUAUACUAUUAUAUUUGUUUCGGCAAAAUAAUAGAAUAUUUUUUUAUAGACGGUGUUUUGAACUAUUACGCUGCAAUGAAGAUUUUAUUUUAUUAUUCCUGUAUUGCGUUCUCUUAACAUUUUUUUUUUUAUUGACGGUGUGUCUUUAUAAUUACGCAAUGAGUUUUAAGCACCAUAAAACGCGAUAGUUAAAACACAUGGUUUCUUCUUCGUUGACCGUCAAACAACUUAUGCUAGAUGAAACAACGUCCUAUAAUGUGAGAUGCAUGAUAGCUGCUGUAUGUUGAGUAGCUUCUUUAAUUUGCUAUAUGGUUUCUUAUGAUUUUAUACAGAUCUCACGGUUAUGUUAUCUAUUCAUUUUAUCGCCAAGUGAUAUUUCAUUUUAUCUCCAAGUGAUAUUUUAUGACCAUAAUUAUGAGGUUUAACAAGCCAUGGAAAAUUAACUUUCUGUCAUUAUAACUUGUAUUUAUGAGUUGAGAUUAAUUUAAAAAGUAAAAUUCGUUGUGCUCGAAUCACAUAUAUGAUUAAUACUAUAUAACAUAUCAUUAAAAUAUAAUAUUUCCAGUUUUCAGUUUACCUUUUAUAUUUAUUUCCGUGAGAUUUUCAUCUUCUCUCAAAGUUAUGUAUGGGUAUUACCAAAUGCGUUUGCUGUUAAAGUAAAUAUUUUAUAAAAUUCCUUCUUUUUUUUGGAUACAAUCAGAAUAAAAAGUAAAAUUUGAAUAUAUCUAGAAAAUAUAUUGAUUAGUAAUAUAUAUCGCAAUAUUAAAAUAUAAUAUUUCUAGUUGUUCUAUUAAAGAAUACCAUAGUAGAUUAUUGUUAUAUAUAAUUUUCCGUUAGUUUCCUCUGUGUUCACGAUCUUCUAGGUUUUGGAGACAAUGAAACGUGGUAGAGGUCAGAAAUAAGAUCGCAAAGCUUGCAUACGUUAUAUAUUUUAUAUUGUCGUAUAACCAUAAUCCUUUUUUAUAAAACAUUCUUGUCUAUCACUCUGAUUUGUUUUCAUUAUGCCCGUCCAAAGGUGAUCAUCGACGUAUACAUCGCCGUGUUUAUAAUAACAACUUCGACUAUUUGCUCGAUGUACCCAAGGAUGGUGCGAAAAAGGCAAGAAAUUAUCGUAUGGAAAAACUCAGAGCACGAAGGACUGCCUUCCGUAAUAGAUUAUCGGGUUAAGUCUAUUAUCUUUAAAAAAUUUAUUAAUUUAAUUAAUAAAAACGCCCACACACGCGUAAUUAAGUUGUAGUGAUAAUAUAUAUUCAUAAUUUCUAGGCAUGGAGUCGAUUAAUCGAACACGUGUUAUCGCGGCAUAUGAAAACAUGAUAUCUGAUGAAUUACGUGCGUUAUUGAAUUCACGACCUCCUAAGGAUGUUUGUUGUCGUGCGAGAGCGCGCCGUGUAGCAAUACUUAAAUUAAGACGGAUAAAAGCGAGGACAAGACCACCAGAAACCGGUACGAUCCUUUUAUAUUAAGUUUUUAUUCUCGAAAUUGUACGUGUGAUUAACAAAUAAAAAAAUGUUAUAUAUAAGGGUUGGUGUUGCCGAUUUACGAAGAUGAUUACGUGCAUUUCCUCGCAACCGAUUCGGAUUCUGAUCAUGGUGAUAGGGAGGACCAAACAGACGACGAUAAUGCAAUGGAUUAUGAUUUUGUUGAACAUCUCGAUAACGCCGAUGAGUGUAUUAUGGAACAGGAAGGGUUUGGAUCCAUACCGAUCAUAAAUGUGAAACCUGGAUUAACAGAAAAUGGUACUUACUAUGGUUGUUUUUUUUAUAAUCUUUUAAAAAAUAUAAUUGAUAUUAUUGUGUACAUGAGUGCUUCUUGUGUCAGGUUAUUUUGAUGAUGGAGAUCCGUUUUACACCUGUCAAAAUUGCGGUGCUUAUAUGUGGUUUGGCGAGCGUAUUAACAAACGUGGAGCUAAAAAUAGGCCUAUAUUUUCUAUGUGUUGCAUGAAGGGUAAAGUGGAGCUGCCUAAACUAAAAAAUCCUCCACCGGUGCUUAUGUCGAUGUUGUAUGGCAAGGAUGAGACAAGCAAAAAUUUCCGUGCUUUAAUUAGAGCAUACAAUAUGAUGUUCUCAUUCACGUCGCUUGGUGGUCAAAUUGAUAAUUCCGUGAACCAUGGGAAUGCACCGUAUGUGUUUCGCAUGCAGGGUCAAAAUUAUCAUCGCAUCGGUGAACUUUUGCCUGGCCCUUCCAAAAGUCCUGCUUUCUCGCAGCUCUAUAUUCAUGAUACCGUAAACGAAGUCUCGAAUAGGAUGGGUGUUAUGGGGUGAGUUGUUUAUUGUAAUAUAUUUUUUAUAUUAUGUCCACGAAUUAAUUUCCGUUUUUUGUUGUUUUUAAUUGUUUUAGCGAGAAAGGACCGGGUAAGCAAAUAAAGAAGAGUAUCGUUAAGACUUUGAAGGAUAUGUUAGAUGCUAACAACCCACACGUCAUCGCGUUUAGAUCAGCUAGAGAUAGAUUAGCACAAUGUGAAGAUACCAGCGGCUUUAAGUUGAUUUUGAAAAAUCAUCGAGAUAGUGACGGUAGAGUCCAAAAUAUACCUACGACUGACGAGGUUGCUGGGCUUAUCGUGGGAGAUAUAAACCCUAAACCGCGUGAUGUAGUGCUUCAGGCUAAUUCUGGAGGGUUUCAGCGUAUAAGUGAGCUGCACCCAUCCUACCUCCCUCUACAGUAUCCUUUGCUUUUUCCUUACGGCGAGGAUGGAUUUAGGUUAGGUAUCGACAUUGGAUUCAUCGAUAAAGGCGGUCUAAAAAGAACAAAAGUGACGAUGAGAGAAUUCUUUGCGUAUCGCAUUCAAUCGAGACGAGGUGAAUCUCCUACUAUUGUUAUGUCCAGGAGAUUAUAUCAGCAGUUCCUGGUUGAUGCGUAUACGAUGAUCGAAAGCAACAGGCUUCGUUAUUUGUUUUUUAACCAGAAAAAUCUCCGCUGUGAAAGCUAUUCGCAGAUUCUUAAAGUUUCUAAGAAAGGAAAUAAAAAUCUUUCCAGAGAAGGUAAUAAAGUUAUGAUACCAUCUUCUUUCACCGGAGGGCCUAGGUACAAGACGCAGCAUUAUCUUGAUGCGAUGGCUACUUGCAAGUAUUAUGGCUUUCCUGAUCUAUUUAUCACUAUAACUUGUAAUCCUGCGUGGCCCGAGAUUACUAGGUAUCUGGAAAAAUACAACUUAAAACCCAAGGAUAGGCCCGACAUCUGUUGUAGGCUUUUUAAGCUGAAACUCGAUAAUCUCAUUCAUGAUCUUACCCAUAAUAAGAAGCUGGGAACUGUCUCUUCUGGUAAGAUUGACCAAACUUUUAUAGCGAUAUUUGUGUCUCGCAUAAAUUAUGUGUUAUUAUUAUAUAUAUAGAAUUUUAGAAUCUUAAAUUUUUAACCUCUUAUUCUGUAAUUUCUUGUAUAUUUUACAGUUUUAUACACGAUUGAGUUCCAGAAAAGGGGUCUACCACACGCACAUAUGGUCCUGUUCCUAGCUCCAGGAUCAAAACUUCCAACUACUGAUGAUAUUGAUAAACAUAUUAGUGCAGAAAUUCCUGAUCCAGAGUUAGAGCCGUUUUUGUAUGAAGUUGUAGCAGAUAUGAUGGUGCAUGGUCCGUGCGGAGUUGUUAAUCCCGGCUGUCCGUGUAUGCAAAAAGGCAGAUGCACCAAAUACUACCCUAGGCCUUACAGUGAUCAGACUAAGGUUGAUGACGAGGGGUAUCCUAUUUAUAGACGGCGAGCGGAUGGCAAAUUCAUCGUGAAGCAAAAAUUUAAUGUCGAUAAUAGGUACAUCGUUCCAUAUAACGCUUAUUUAUCGAAAAGGUAUCGUGCUCAUAUUAAUGUCGAGUGGUGCAAUCAUUACGAUCUAUCAAAUAUCUCUUCAAGUAUAUCCACAAAGGACCCGAUUAUAUCAGAGCAAAAAUACAAAAGGACGGUCAAGAAGAGGAAGUCCAUGACGAAAUAAAACAGUAUUAUACAUGCAGGUGCCAAAUGAGACUAAUUGUUUAUAAAAUGUUAUGUUAUCGUCUUAGACUAAAUACUGUUGUUGGGAGUUUUGAAAUUAUUGCCUCAUUCUCAUUAUUUUUUAUGUCGUUUCGUUUAUAGGUAUAUAUCUGCAUGCGAGGCCACUUGGAGAAUAUUAGCUUUUGCUACACAUUACCGGUCUACACCAGUAGAAAAACUUACAUUUCAUCUUCCUGGUGAAGAGGUCAUUGUUUUCGAUCCGAAUGAUCCUGUUGAUGAGGUUAUAAGUCGUAAAUCUAUCGGCCGUACAAUGUUCUUGGCUUGGAUGGAAUGUAACAAAGCGUAUCCAGAAGCCAGAGAAUUGACAUAUGCGGAUUUUCCAUCUAAGUUUGUUUGGAAAAGCAGAGAGCGUGUCUGGAAACCCCGAGUAAAAGGAUUCUCGAUAGGAAGGAUUAUGUAUGUUUCUCCUUCCCUUGGAGCCAAGUAUUAUCUAAGGCUCCUGUUAAAUUCUGUGACAGGUCCUACAUCUUACGAUGACAUCAAAACGGUAAAUGGCAUUAUAUAUCCUGAGUUUGUUGAUGCUUGCAAUGCACUGGGGUUGCUCGCAGACGACCGAAUAUUUAUAGAUGCUAUAAAAGAAGCGAGUUAUUUCGUGAAAGGUUUACCCUUGCGAAAAUUAUUUGUGAUGAUGAUCGUCGCCGGAGAUAUAGUAAAUCCUUUGCGAGUUUGGGAGGAGACUUGUGAUCUACUGUCGGAAGGUAUCUUAUUCGAACGUAGAAAAGUGUCGAGGAAUCCGGGUAGGUGGAUCAUUUCUAUUGUUUAUGAAAUAUAUAUAGCUGUCUUAUUAAUUGAAUAGUAAUAAUAACAUGUUUCGUGUGGUUUGCAGCUUUGACGCUUUCUGAUAAACAAAUAAAAAAUUUCACGUUGGCGUCUAUUGAACUCUUGCUGCGGGAUAACGGGAAGACUCUGUCUACUAUCGAAGGAUUUCCGCAGCCGGAUGAUAUAUCUCUUGAUACGAGUACAAAUCGGCUGUUGUUGGAUGAGCUUGGUUAUAACCACGAAAAAGAAGCGAAAGAACACGUGAGACUCCUAGCCACGAUAACGGAUGAACAAAAAGUAGUUUACGAUGAAGUGAUGAAGGCAGUUUUAGAUAAAAAAGGCGGUGUCUUUUUUCUAUAUGGAUACGGGGGCACAGGCAAAACGUACGUCUGGAGUAUUUUAUCGGCUGCUAUAAGGUCUAUGGGACUUAUUGUUCUUAAUGUAGCAUCGAGCGGGAUAGCCUCUUUGCUGAUGCCUGGAGGUAGAACUGCACAUUCAAGAUUUUCGAUACCUCUAACGGCUGAUGAAUUUAGUAUGUGUGCGAUGAAACCAUCAUCCCAUCUCGGUGAGUUGGUAAAACAGGCUAGCUUAAUUGUAUGGGAUGAGGCUCCUAUGAUGAGCAGACAUUGUUUUGAGACGUUGGAUCGUAGUAUUCGGGAUGUUAUGAGAUGUAAUACUGAUCGGCCGUUCGGCGGUAAAACAAUUGUCUUUGGAGGAGAUUUUAGACAAAUAUUGCCAGUAAUCAGUGGUGCAGGUAGAGAGGAAACCGUUUUGGCCACUAUUAAUUCGUCGUAUAUCUGGGAAAGUUGCAGGCUGUUGAGGCUAACCAAGAACAUGAGACUUUUAGAUGGUAAUUCGGAUGAUGCUGCACAGGAACUCAGAGAUUUUGCAAAAUGGAUUCUUGACAUAGGAGAUGGUACGAUCAACGUUACAGACGAUGGCGAUGCUGAUGUGGAGAUUCCUGAUGAUUUGCUGAUUUCUAAAUGUGGUGAUCCUAUCAAAGCCAUCGUACAUAAUGUUUAUGGGUCAACGUUGGUCAAGGAUAAGGAACUUUCUUUUUUCCAAGAAAGGGCUAUUCUUACUCCGAGAAAUAAUGACGUGUGCGUGAUCAACGACUAUGCGCUAUCACACAUGGAAGGUAGAAAAUUAAUGUUAAAACUUUUAUAUAUUGAUUUAGAGUAUGUUUACUGUUGUUUAUUAUUUUAGUUUGAUAGUGGAUUUAAUGUUGUUUAUUAUUUUAAUUUUCAUUCAUGUUGACGCCCCGGGGUUGUUAGGUGAAGAGAGAGUCUAUCUUAGUUGCGAUAGUAUUGAAUUAUCGGAUGCGGACAAAAGAGAUAAUAUGGUUUAUACACCCGAGUUUUUAAACAGCAUCAAAGUCUCGGGGUUGCCAAAUCACAGGCUGGUAUUGAAAGUCGGAGUUCCAAUCAUGGUUCUACGGAAUAUUGAUCCUAAGAAUGGACUUUGUAAUGGUACAAGAUUACAAGUGACUCAGUUAGCGAAUCAGGUUAUAGAAGCUAGAAUUAUUACUGGUACGAGAGUUGGAGACAUAGUUGUGAUUCCUAAAAUGUACUUGAGUCCCACCGAGACGAGGUUCCCAUUUAGAAUGAAACGUUGUCAGUUCCCGAUUGCGGUUGCUUUCGCAAUGACGAUUAAUAAAAGUCAAGGUCAGACUUUGACUAAUGUAGGUUUGUAUCUACCUAAGCCUGUCUUUUCGCACGGGCAAUUGUACGUUGCACUUUCGAGAGUCACAUCCAGGAGAGGCCUCAAGAUACUGAUAACAGAUGAUAGGGGACAGCCUCAAAAGACUACUAAAAAUGUUGUUUAUCACGAAGUAUUCCAGAACAUUCGUUAGUUUGAUUCUAGGAUUUUUCUCUCCUUUUACUACCUGUUUUGGGCUUUCAGCUUACGACAAUUUUUUUGUUUUAAUUAUAUUUUUUAUAAUACAUUUUGGGUUUUAAAUAAAAGGAAAUUCCAUCGGAUAUUGCCAUCUUUAAAUAAAAAUGCUAAGAAAAUAAAAUGGAAAAUGUCACGCAAAAUGUUAUUAAACAAAAAAAGGGUUGCGACGGUACGUGUCUUGACAAAGGAAGGAAAAUCGAACAUAAAAACAAAAGGGCUGCGACGUUUCAUUGUCUAGGUUAGUUCCCUAUAUAUACUUAGUUGUUAAGCGUUCUUGUGGGCAGACCAUUAUCUUACGCCGCAUAACGAAUUUUCGCAUAGGAGCAGAUAUGUCUUCUCGGUUCACAUCGUCUUCUAUUGAACGUUACAACGAUUUCUCUCGGUUGAACCCUGCAAUUGUUGGAUGGCAUGUUCACGUUAAGGUUUUGCGUCGCUUCCACACCGAUGACUAUAUAUCGAAGGGUGGGCUAGGGUUACUUCUGGUUGAUGAUAAGGUAUUGGUUCGAAAUAAGAUUUGGCUUUUCUUUAGAUAUGUAUUAGCCUUUGUUGUUAUGGAUGUUUGCGGUUUCCCGACUUUUGUGAUUUUGGUUUUGUGAUGCAGGGUAAUCAGAUCGAAGCGCUUAUUUGUUCGCCGUUGACUUUUCAUUAUUCAACGUUUAUUGAAGAAGAUGAAUUCUACGCUAUUAUGAAUUUCAGAGUUGUGGAGAAUUCGGGAUUCACUAAACUAACAAGGAGUGACUUUAAGAUAAUGUUUUAUGAUGGUACUAUCGUUAAAGAAGCGUCUUCGUUUUCUCAAGAUGACUAUAUUGUCGCUACACCUUUUGGUGCUAUUUUCAAUGGAUAUCAUGAUACUUCUUAUCUCAUAAGUAAGUUUUGUUUGUUAUGCUUUACAGAACGUUCAGCGGUUUUAGUUAUUUAUUUUCCUUAUGUAGAAAUCUUGAUAUUUGCUUGUAGCUUUGAUUGGGCGGGUCGUCGAGUCGAGUGAUCUUACGAACGUGACCGAUGAACCAUCUGUCAUAGGGGGAUACAGAUACUCAUUCACCAUUGAAGAUCAAGAGUACGAUUUCUUUCAUCGUUGGUUAUUUGAAAUUACAAUAUAAUAUAUUUAUUGAAAUCAUGAUAUAAUAUGUUUAUCGAUUCACAUACAUUUUUAUUUUGAUUAAUAAAUAGGAAGAAGACCCUCAAGUGUUGUGCAUAUGGAGGAGUGGCGAUAGAGUGCCAUGAUCGGUUUAGAAAUGUGAUUGGUACGGAUGUUACGUGUGUUCUUCGCUGGUGGAAAGUUUAUCAACUCCUUGAUGGAUGGAGGCACGUUCGUAUCUACAGCCAUCCCCCCUACUCGAAGAUUCUGGUCCAGAGCGAUGCCGAUAACGUCGAGCACUCUUGAUAAAUUAGUAUUUAUCAUAUUUAAUAUGUGCUUUAUUUGUUUCCUUAGAUUAUGCAAUGUUGCGUUUGGUUUUAAAUUAUGACAUAUUACUUAUUUUUUAUUAUUAUUAAUAGAAACUAUCUUAUUAUGAAAGAUGCACUUUGUUAUGUACCGAUACAGUGAUAUCUUUGGUAAAUAUUCACUUCUUAUACUUUAUGCAAAAAAUCCCCCCCCAAAAAUAGUAAAUAUGUUAGAUUUAGCUAAAAUUGAAAAAUCUGCAAAAUAUUUUCGAAUCUCUGUUUAAGACUUAUUACUUUUUUAUACUUCUGAUAAUUCCGAAUCUAAUGUUAAAUAAUUGGAAAAUCCGGAUCUAUAUAUAUAUAUAUAUCGAUUUAUACUUGGCUUCGGUGUUUAUAACCACCAGGAUCGAUGGAAUCGUUUAGAUGUCAUGGGUGGCCUUUUGACGUUAUGACCUAUAACAGAAAUAUGUUCACUAUAUCAUCUCUGAAUCCGUUGAUCCAUGAAUGGAGUACUUGUGUUAAGAUUUUGCAUGUUUGGCACGAACUCGACGAUGUUAGUAAUGCACUAAACCUUAUUUUGAUGGAUAAUCAGGUUGGUAAUUCUUCAAAAUAAACUGUAAUCGGUAUUUGUGUUAAGAUUUUGUAUUGAGAUGUUUUAAUGUUUUGUAAUUAAAUCAGGGUACGAAAAUCCGAGCCGUCAUUCGCGAAAGUUUGGUAACUAGGUUUUCGCCAUUACUGAUUGAGGGUCUCUGGAUGAUAUUAAGAAAAUUUUCGUUAAUCCCUGAUGUCGACUUAGUCAGAACUACUCCACAUAGAUUCAAGAUUCAGUUCUCUCCUGAUACAUGUGUCGACUAUCUUAAUUACCUCGCAUGUGAUUAUGAUUUCUUUAACUUUGCGAGAUUUCGUGAUAUUCGUACGGGUAUAAGUAACCCGUAUAUCUGUGUAGGUGGGAUUAUAUUCGUUUCUCUUCUGGUUAGAUUUUUCCCAUAACUACUCUAAUCAUUACGUUGUAUUGUUUUCUUUAGAUUUGGUCGGGGUUGAUAAUGUGAAUGACAUACAACUCGUGCAGAUGGUGGGCUCUUCGAAAGAUAUUUCUGUGGUUUAUUUUGACCUAAUUGAUACAGAGUAUUGAUUCUUAGUCUUAUACAGAUAUAUAAUUUUGUUUUCUCUCAACGAAUUUGUCAUAAUAAUGUCAACUUUGGUAUAAAUUUGUAGGCAUACGCGUUUGAGUAUCAGACUGACCGGUGAAACCGCCGUUAGAUUUCAUAGACAGUGGAAAGUUAACACCGACGAUGUCGUGAUUUGUAACAUCAGAUUUGCCAAGAUAGUGGCUACGUCUAAUCGUAUGUGGCAUUGCACAAACAUUGGUUGCUCUAAAAUUAUGGUGGAUGCUCCGCUGCCUGGUGUUGUAGAACUAAAAGAAUGUGGGCUGAUUACUGCGGGAGUCCUAGGACGGGGGUCAAAGAAGCUCGAUUGGCCUAAUUUUGUAUGAUUCUGUAUUUUUCGUUUGGGUGGUUUAUUUUCAGUUUACUGAUUACAGAGUCGGCAUUUGUAAUCGGUUUUAACAUUUCGAAAGAUUGUUAGACAUUUCGCUUUUAGUGAGUUUUGGUAAUUUAAUCUAAACUUAAUUUAUUAAUCUUAUGGAUAAAUUCUAUAUCGUUUAAUCAAUAUUCGGUUUUGUUAAUUUUCUGAUUUAGUUUUUAAUAUAAGAAUUUUCCAUUUUGUAUUUCGGACCGUUAGAUCGAGCUAAAAACAACCAGAUAAAAACUACAACCAUCCGAUCUUAACUUUGACACUUACCUCUGCCUUCCCUAUUAUAAUAAUCAACUUUAUUUACGAGCGUCAAAUUAACAUCUUAUUAGACGCGAGUAAUAUUGGCCGUCCGAUCAACACGUGUCUAUAAAAAACAUGGGCCAGUCCAUUAAUCUCUUUGAAAUCAUGGUCCAUUCGUUUAUAUAGUCGGGCUUUGGGAUCAAUUAGUUCGGGCUUUGAUACAUUUGAUCCCCGUCGCCGUCCGAUUGAGAUCUCCUCUCAUUCUCUACCGUCUGAUUUGGUUACUAACAUGGUCAAACCUUAUUAAAGAAUGUACUACUUUCCAAAAUACAAAAUAAGAUAAUAAGUAUAUUUCUAUAUUUAUAUAAAAUAGUAUGUAGAUCCAUAGUAUAAAAUCGUAAAUUUUCUUCUUACAAAUGUAUAUAUAUAGUGUUAUUUCGUUUUUGUAUUAGCGAUGAUAUCGUAUAAUAUCGUUGUUAGACGUAUCCAUUUAGGUAUAUUUAACUUAUAUUAUGCGAUAAAUACAGAAAUAUUCCAAACAAUUUUGAUUUGUAAUUGUCUAGAUAAUGGCAGAUCUCUAUAUUUUUCUUAAACCAUAACAAACUGUACAACAUGCUCUUCUUCUAUAAAUACUGAUUGUGUCAUGGUCGAAAAUUGUAGACAUUCGUUUAUAGUUGUUGUAAAAGUUCUACAAUGAAAUAUACGGUUAUAAUUUAUGCUCUGUUUACUGUGUAGUAUUGUUUCUGUGUGAUUUGUUUUUUAUUGUUCGUAUGAUUGGUAUCUAAUAUGGUUAAUUUAAUUACUGGAAUAGGGAUCCGGAUACGGUGAUGGGGUCCUUUCUCAAUUUCUGGUACGUAUUGAUUGUUUAAAACUAACUGUUUCUUAUGAGUUUAUAUACUAAUUAUUAUUUCUUAUCUAACAUUAAUUGAUAAUUGUAUUAUUAUCUUAUUUACAAGGAUGUUACAUCCGAUUCUUCGUGUAUCUCUGACGUCGAGGUAUAUAUUCCUUUGAUCAUGUGUGUUAGUUUUUUCUUUUUGUUUAUUCUUUUAAUCUUUUAAAUCUAACUUUUAUAUUUGACGUUUAUACACAGGAAAACGUCAAAGAGGUAGGCUACAAACAUGUUUGUUUCGUCUCCAUGUUGAUAGCGAAUUCGUAUUCUCAUACAAAUAGUUUUAAUACAUUGUUUCUUUCUUAUGUAGUAUCUCGAUGAUGUGUCUGCUGCAGUUGAUCUUUCUUCUGUCCUGGUAAAUAUCUGACACGGUCGUUAAUUAGUAACGUUUUUAUCGUCUCUAUAUAUUGAUGUUAACAACACAAUGUUGAAUUUUAUAUUUAUUUGAAUUCCUAGCAUGUCGAGGCCAGUGCUGCAGUUCUAUCGUUAGAUGAGGUAAUUAUUGAAUUACUUGGUUACUAUGUAGUUGUAUAUUAUUAAUAUAUAAUGUAUGAUUCAACUACUUUAUCUUUAUCUAACGCUAUACUGUUUGUAAAUAACAAGUUCAAGGAUGUGCUUUCGGAUCUAGGUGCAUUGUCGGCCGAUAAAGAUUACGUUUUGGCUGUACUUUACCUGGUAUAUUAUUAUUGGGUUUUUAUUUAUAAUAUUACGCAUUUUAUUCCUAUUUAUACUCUAUAUAUAUUGACAAAUUAUAAUCCGUAAAUAUUGACAAAUAUACUAUAGGAAUCUCGGACACAGUUGAAGUCUCUAUACUUGAGAUAUCUUUUGUCCAGAUAUCUACAGGUUGGUAUAUGUUGUCAAUUUUUAUAUUCGAUAUGUAUGUUUCGAAGCUUAAACAGAAAAAUAAAAAGAAAAAAACUUAUAUCUUCGUUGAUUUGUAUAGGAGGCAAAAUCAUUGGACCCUCUGAUGCAGACUAAAAAGGUUAAUUGGUAACUCUAUAUAGUGUGCAGUUUGAUUUAUUAUUUGGUAACAUUCGUUCCGAUUUACGUGUUUGAUAAAUGUUGGUAAUAUAAGUUAUAUUGCUUAUACUUUAUUUUGUAUAUCUUCCAGAAUUAUGCUGACUUGCGCAUGAAGUAUUUUGGUGAUGGGGUGAGAUAAUUUAUAUCUAUCUUACUAAUAGUUGAUGUACAUAUAUUAUAUAUAUAGUCAGUUUGUAUUCAUGUAAUAAGAUACUAAUGUGUUGUCUAUUAUUAUCUUGAAGCGUUUUGUUGCUGCUGGUAUGAAGCCAUACCCGUCUGACGGUCUUGAGUGUGAUGAGAUUUUAAUGAAUACCAAUGAAGAUACUCUUGAGUGUAUUAAUGAUAUUGUCAUCAGUAGUUGGCGUUUAUGCCCGGCGUAUCUACGCCUUCGUUUUGUUGAAUCGUUGAUACUCUAUAAAAGCAUUAAUGUCCACACGGUAUGGGACGCUUGCUAUCGAGUUUUGAGUGGUGAUGUGUUGGCUGAACAGAAAAUCGCGCGUAAUAAUCCUGGUAUUAAUCUAUCAUCAAUACUAAAUACUUAUAGAUGUUGUUUGACUUGAUAGUUGUGUCUCAAAAAGGUGUUGCUUUUUAUUACACUAGGGUUGGAGUUAUCCGAUGUGCAAUUAGAGUGGUAUGGUUUUCGUGUUAUGCGUAAGGUGAUGGGUGAUCUUGGAUUCCAUCAUGCCGGUUUUGAAGGUGUGCGUCUUGGUAUAGUUCGCCGACUCUUAACUUACAAAUGUGAUGACAUGUCAAUGUGAUAUUGGCCUAGAUUUGUUAUCGUUGUCUUGGUUUUGCUUUAUCGGUGUUAUAGUUUCGGUAUUGGUUUAUUAUUCCACCUAAUACUAUCAAUAUAAUAGUGUCUUGGUGUUAUUUAUUUUAUCAUUUUAUCGUUAUGGGAAUUAUUAACCUUUCUGAUUUAUUAUUUAUGAAUUUGUUAUUUUAAUUGGGUUUGUUCUUUCUUGUGUAUUUAAUAUGAUUAUCGACUAUAUCAUGUUCGUAAUGCGAAUUAUAUACGAAGUACCGCGUAAUCCAUAAUUUUUAACUACAUGUAUUUGUUGCUGUAUCACUUUUUCUAAGAUAUUCAUUUAUAACUUUUUCUAGAAUAUUUCUGUUUAUGCGUAAUUUUCUUUGAUAGUUGAACAAUAAUGCGUCUGUGUUUGCUAUCAUUGUUACAAAGACUUAGAACUUCCGACGACUGUUAUCAUGUUUCUCGACACAUAGACGAUGCGUGUAGGUUAUCAUCGCUUAUCUCUUCUGUAAUUUUUUUUAUUAUGUUCGUAUCCGGUAAAAAUUGAAUGGGAUUAACUGUACUGUUUUGUAGUAAUAACUAGAAAAUAACCAGUUGCGAUUUGACGUCGUCUGUACCGUAUUUUAUAGUUCGAUAUAUCUACUUGCUUUUAGAUAUUCCGUUUCAUUUUAAUAUAUACUCUCUCCUCUGUUUUAUUAUUAUUAUUCACGCUAUUAUAUAUAAGCAAACCAAACAAAAAGAACAAAAAAAAAAAAAAAAAAAAAAACAACUACUACAUCAACACGCCCGAAAAGAAAGAAAAAAAUAUUAUUUUAUCGCGAUUGUUAUGGAAAUCGCGUGUAAUAAUAAACAAAAUCUCUACAAUUAGGGAUACUGUUAUGAUAUGCAUCGAUUGUGAUAAAUACUAAAUUGACACUUUUAAUAGUUACAAUUUUAUUUAUAUAGUAUAGUUUCUGGAUAUGCGUUAUAGUUCUAUAUAUAUUUCGCUUUAGUGAGUUUUUGUAAUUUAGUCUGAAAGAUGUUAUAUGAUAUUAGUUAAAAACUCUGUUGAGGUGACAUACAUGAUACAUAACUUGUCAUUGGUUAUAGUUUUUUUGUAUUACUCAUUCAAAAAAGUUGUUUCUCAAAAUGCAUCGUGUGGUUUUGGUUUCCGUCGUUAGGUAAAAUGGAACUUUAUUUGCGUCCCUAAUAACUUACACCAUUUGUAUAUAUUAUUAUUAUGGUGUUGAUAAUGGGGUUAUUACGAGAAUGAGCAUUUAUUAGGUCAAAAGUUUGAUUUUAGGUUUUUCUAUCCCGACUUGCAUAUUUAGGUAUUUUUGGAUUUAGUUAAAUGACAUUUUUGCCCCUACUGAAUUAAAUGGAAUUUUGGAAAAAUUUAAAAAUUUGACAAUUCUUCUCCGGUGGAAUUAAGAAGAAAAGCGUCUUGGACACCUACAGUCGCUGGGCUGAGCUACCGGAGAAUCCGCCUCCAACCGCCGCAUGCUUCCUCCUUCCAGAUCUAUCCCACCGUCUCGCUAUUUACCCUAUGGCAACUUCGAUUUUUACUUUCACGACACACAGUCCACCGCCCGUCGAUGUGGAGUGGAAGCCAUUGGGUUUGCGGAGGUCUUGGGUUGCUCACUUGUGGCGGAUCUGUUGCCGCUUGAAGACGACGGCACGAUCUGCUCUCCGAUUCGCCGCCAACAUCAUCUCCGAUCCGAAACACAAAACCUCUCCUCCGCCAACACCAUCUCCAAUGAGUUGGAUUCAACUAAUUCUUUUUGAAUAACAAAAAAUAAACCCUAAGGGGAUAGUAUCCUCUAAACCCAAGGGCUCCAAUUGAAAUAAUUGUCAAAAUUAGGAUCUGGGUUUCCAUAAUCUUCAUGUUGGUAAGUGAAGGAGAAAGCUUAAAGUUUUUGUCGUUCACAAAAAAAAAAACAAUUAUUUUUGCUUCAAUUGGUGACAAGGGUAAAAACGACUUUUCCGAUGUUUGAGGAAUGCUUAAAACAGAAGUAUGGGCAAAUAAACCCAAACUGAUAAGUUUGACUGAAAAAAGUACCGAUCCGGUAAUUAACUCUGUUGAUAAUAGAGUGAUAUUUUUUACCCUUAAGUUUCGUUAGUAUAUAUUUCAGUUUAACUGUUGAGAUUUGGUUUCUUUUUUAAAAACUUAAUUUAUUAAUUUUAUGGAUAAAUUCUAUAUCGUUUAAUCAAUAGUCGUUUUUGUUAAUUUUCUGAUUUAGUUUUUAAUAUAUAUUUUCCAUUUUUAUGUUCUUUCCAAAUAAUCGUUAGGUCUACAUAUAUGUAUCCCGCAUUUAUACCUCAUUGGAAUAUUUACCCGCGUAAUCUUUUGUUAUGGGUUCUACAAUGAUACCUUUUACAUCUGAUUCAUGUGAUGGUGGUUAUUUUCGUAUUGCGUCUCUUAACCCUAACAUAGGUGAGUGGUCUGUCUCGGUGAAGAUUUUGAAUUGUUGGUCUGUUUCGCGUGGCACGGGUAGAGAGCUCAAUAUGAUUUUGGGUGACGAGCAUGUUAGUUUUUUGAUAACUUACCUGCUAUACAUGUUUUCGAUAUUAAAUUGAAUUGGUUUUGUCUUUGACAUUUUAUUUGCAGUUCACACAAAUCCAAGCCGUUGUUCGUGAUGAAUUAAUUGAUAAUUAUCUUUCAAGAUUGAUAAUCGAUGAGUGGGUGAGCAUUAAAAAUUUUGAUGUAUCACGGGUUAACAGCAUAUUGAGACCAGUACCGCAUAGAUUCAAGAUUGUGUUUCGUUCGGACACUUUAGUGCAAAGUAUUAAUAUGUGCUCCAGUAGGACCUAUUUCAAUCUAACUGAGUUUGUGAGUAUAUUGAGUGGUAUUGUUAAUCCGAAUAUUUGCGUUGGUAAGCCUAAUUUAUAAAUUUAUUUGUGCUUUUGGAGUUUAUUUGCGGUUCAUGUUCUGACUGUAUUAUUCAUGUGUGUGUUUCAUAGAUGUUGUUGGCAAAAUUGUCAACGUGAGAGAGUUGGUUUUUGUUCCUUCCGUGGAACAUUCUCAAGGAGGAUAUUUUGAGCUGUACUUUGGUUUACGUGAUACUGAGUAAGUCACUAUUCUUUUAAAGAUUUAAACCAGAAUAUAAUGUCUUAUGACUUCUUCAAAUCUUAAAAUUAGGUGUAUCCAUCUAGAGUGUCGUUUAACGGGUGACCUUGCAGUCGAGUUCUAUGACUUAUGGAAGCAUCGUUCACGUAACACAGUGAUAUGUAUUAUCAAGUUUGUGAAAUUAGAACUAUCACAGGAACAUAGGUGGAGAUGUACCAAUGUUACCGGAAGUACGAGGAUUAUGUUGAAUCUGGAUCUCAGUAUUACCGACGAGAUGCUUUGUUGGUAAGUAUUUUUUUUUCCGUUUACAAUCAAAACUCUAAAGUUGGCGACUGGACAUUCACUGUUUAUGGUGUUCUUAAUCGGAUGUCAGGAAUCCUGAAAAUGACCAAGUACCAAUCAUCACACGGAAGGAGAAUGCCAUGGAGUGAUGAUGUUCGUUGAUUUCUUAUUUUGUUGGUAAAUGAUUUUAAAAGAUGAUUUAUUAUUAUUUUUUAGCAUUUAUAAUAUUAUUGAAUUUUUUAAAUUUCAUCAUUUUCCAUAAUUUUACCACACUAAAUCCUAAACAAUUUACCAUUUUUUUCUUACACUACCAAGUAACACCUAAACAAUCCCUUAUUUCACAUGAUUUUACCAUUUAUACAACAUUCUUCCCGCGCAUGCGCGCGGGCAAUCACCUAGUUAAAUCAUAUUUAUGUAGAAAGAAUCUCACUUUGAUAGUCAAUCACUUUGUGCGCGAAGAAAUUUGACGAAAAGGGUUACAAAAAAAUGGAUUUUUGACGGUUUUUUUUUUUUUUUUGGUAGGAAUGGAUUUUUGACGAUUGAUUAUAAACGUUUAAUUUUUUAGUAAUAUUUUUGAGUUCUCACUUCUUCUUCUUCUUCUUCUUCUUCUUCUUCUUCUUCUUCUUCUCGUAAAACCCUAAUUCUUGAUUUGGCUAUGGAGUCCGUCGAAUUGAACAAUCCCAACCCCAAUUCGCAAACCCUACAUCAACCUCCUCCUUCCUCCAACGGAGACACUGCUCCACUCGCAUCGGAUCAUAUGAAUCCUCAGAAUUCGGAUUCUGUGGCUUUAAACGGUUCGUCUACUCCUACACCCGAUACUAAUGGUUCAUCAGCAAAGCCUGAGUUCUUGCGUCCUUUGCUAUCGGAGAACGAUAAGGAUCAGUCUGGUGGAGAGGAAGAAACUACGAGCAGGAGGAAGCGUCGGAGCCGGUGGGAUCCUCCGCCUUCUGAAGGGGGUACUGAUUCCGAACCUGGAAUUAGGAAGCGUAAGUCGCGAUGGGCAGAUGAUGAGCCCAAGCCGCAGAUUCAGUUACCUGAUUUCAUGAAGGAUUUCACCGGAGGUAUUGAGUUCGAUCCUGAGAUUCAGGCUUUGAAUAGUAGGUUACUUGAGAUUAGUAGGAUGUUGCAGUCUGGUAUGCCUUUGGAUGAUAGACCGGAAGGACAGAGGUCUCCUUCACCAGAGCCUGUGUAUGAUAAUAUGGGAAUUAGGAUUAACACUAGAGAGUAUAGAGCAAGGGAGAGAUUGAAUAGAGAAAGACAAGAAAUCAUUGCUCAGAUUAUCAAAAAGAAUCCGGCUUUUAAACCUCCAGCAGAUUAUAGGCCUCCUAAGCUCCACAAGAAGCUUUUCAUUCCAAUGAAGGAGUUUCCUGGUUACAAUUUUAUUGGUCUCAUUAUUGGCCCCAGAGGUAAUACUCAGAAGAGAAUGGAGAGGGAGACGGGUGCUAAAAUUGUUAUUCGGGGUAAAGGAUCUGUAAAAGAAGGUAGGCAUCAGCAGAAAAAGGAUUUGAAAUAUGACCCUGCUGAGAAUGAAGACUUGCAUGUUUUAGUUGAGGCUGAGACUCAGGAUGCUCUUGAAGCUGCUGCUGGUAUGGUUGAGAAGCUUUUGCAACCUGUUGAUGAAGUGUUGAACGAGCACAAGAGGCAACAGCUCAGGGAACUUGCUACCUUGAAUGGAACAAUAAGGGAUGAAGAAUUCUGUAGACUGUGUGGUGAGCCAGGACAUAGACAGUAUGCAUGUCCUUCUCGUACCAAUACCUUUAAGAGUGAUGUUCUUUGCAAGAUUUGUGGUGAUGGUGGACACCCUACUAUUGAUUGCCCGGUGAAGGGUACUACUGGGAAGAAAAUGGAUGAUGAAUAUCAGAACUUCUUAGCAGAGUUGGGAGGAACUGUACCUGAAUCUUCUCUCAAACAGAGUGCUACCCUGGCUCUUGGUCCGGGAAGUAAUCCUCCAUGGGCUAAUAAUGCAGGGAAUGGUGCAAGUGCGCAUCCUGGCUUAGGGUCAACUCCGACCAAACCCCCCUCCAAAGAAUAUGACGAAACAAAUCUGUACAUUGGGUUCUUACCUCCGAUGCUUGAGGACGAUGGUUUGAUUAAUCUUUUUUCAUCCUUCGGUGAAAUUGUGAUGGCAAAGGUAAUCAAGGACCGUGUGACUGGGCUGAGCAAAGGCUAUGGUUUUGUGAAGUACGCUGAUGUGCAGAUGGCUAAUACUGCUGUUCAGGCAAUGAAUGGCUAUCGGUUCGAAGGCCGAACACUCGCUGUCAGGAUUGCAGGCAAAUUGCCACCGCCUACUGCACCUCCAGGACCUCCAGCACCAACUCAAGGUUAUCCUCCCUCAAACCAGCCUCCUGGUGCCUAUCCUUCUCAACAGUAUGCAACUGGUGGUCAACUGCCAAAUCCUCCUGUAGGUUAUUCGACAGCUCCAGUUCCUUGGGGUCCUCCUGUUCCCUCCUAUUCUCCAUAUGCUCCUCCCCCUCCACCUCCUGGUUCUUACCAUCCUGUCCAUGGUCAACAUAUGUCUCCUUAUGGAAUGCAAUACCCACCACCACCACCUCAUGUGACACAAGCACCUCCACCUGGCACUACUCAAAACCCAUCUUCUAGUGAACCCCAGCAAAGCUUCCCACCAGGAGUACAAGCUGACAGUGGUGCUGCUACGUCUGUACCACCAAAUGUCUAUGGUAGCUCAGUCACGGCUAUGCCUGGACAGCCUCCAUAUAUGAGUUAUACGUCUUACUACAAUGCUGUUCCCCCUCCACCACCUCCAGCACCGGCCUCGUCUACUGAUCAUUCCCAAAACAUGGGUAACAUGCCAUGGGCCAACAAUCCUCCUGUCUCAACACCUGAGCACUCACAAGGUCUUGGUAAUGCAUCUUGGGCACCUAAUCCUCCUAUGCCGCCCACUGUUGGUUAUUCACAGAGCAUGGGGAACGUACCCUGGGCUCCCAAACCUCCAGUACAGCCCCCUGCAGAGAAUCCAUCCACUGUUGGAGAUUCUGAGUAUGAGAAGUUCAUGGCUGAGAUGAAGUAGCAUGUGUGUUCUGAUGAGAAACUCCGUAGUGAAGAGGUAAAAUGUCCUCAUUUGAUGUUAUUGUUUGUUCUCCAUACAGGUUUUGAAAUUAAAAUUUGAAAUCGAAUCAAGUGGCUUUCAACAUAGGAUAAAACUUUACUUUCAAAAACCCAGUUAAGAAAGGAAAGAUAUAGCUAUCAAGCUGAAACUUGAACAGGAAUUUCCCUCAACUUUUCCAACGUUUUCAAAUUGCUUUUUUCUUUUAACAUCAUUUUUGCAACAUCAUCAGUUGCAGGAUGAACCAUUUUGUCCAUUAUUUUGUUCUUGAAAGCCUUCCUGCUUAUGUAAUUUAUCUGUUCCUAGUUUUAUCACAUGAUAACUAACUGCUCUAGCUCAUAAUUUGGUCACUGAUGUGUUUGUGAGCAUGCCACAGCUAAAGGAGUCCUGGUAUUCGAUUCUGAAACAUAGAAUCUGGGAGUUGGAUGUUCGAAUUUUGUCAGUUACCCUUUUUGCUCUAUGUUUUGUUCAGUAAACUACUAAUGUGUUUUCUGUCCCACAUGGAAAGCAUUUGUUUUCACUUCUAAGUUUUUCCAUCUGACAACAUCAAAACUGCCACUAGCAUAGAUUCCAAAAGUUUGUUAUUAUAUACGGCUCAUUAACACGAAUUUUUGUUUUGUUGAUAUUGUUAAUUUUUUCAGGUGUGAUGUUUCUUGGAGGUCUUGUACCCUGAUUUCUUACAUCUUUCUUGUUGGAAGUUUGGGACUCACAUCUUAACCCUUGCUAUGCUGUUGUGAAAUAUGCAGAGAUACAGGCUGGAAGCUCCCGGUUCAGACAAUCAGAAAGGCCAUAAGAAUUUUAUUAACGUUACUGAUAAUAUUGCUGCUCUUUUGUAGGACUAUAUUUAUGUCUGGGGUUCUUGUUUCAUUUCAUAAUACUCAUAUUUACCGUUGAUCAGUGUGUUAAGUCUAGUCUGCUUCAGCUCUCACAAUUUUUUAUGUACUGUUUCAAUUUGGGAGUAAAAAACUUUUGGUGGUAUUGUAGUGCGAAAAAUAUCCGUUAUUCUUUGUGAUGCAAGAUAUGAUCCUCUUACUCUUGAGGUCAUCUCUUUCGUUUAUCUUGUCUCUUGUGUGCAUAGGGAAUUCAUCAGUUCUCGCAGGAACCUGAAGGCAACAGGGGUAUGUUGAACUACAUUGGACAUAUUUACCACUGAUACUUGAUGGUUAUUCUCCACCUUGAUUCAGACUUGUAUUACUGAUAUAAUAAUAUCUUUCAAGCUUCCAUGUGGCAGGUGUGAUUUCUGGCUAGUGAUCCAGAUUUUAACUUUAAUAACUUUGUUCUUGUUUUCAAGCUUGAUCUAUAUCUGUCUAAAUGAUGACAUGCGUGCAUGUUCCAGGAAUCAUGAUAUUACUGCAAAGAAAUCAGCCUAUGUGUCAAACUUAUGCACAGUUUAUGUUGUCUCAAAAGGAGUAUAUAUUCUUUCAAGAGAUAAAUUAUCAUCAACACGGAGACACAGUUUAUGUUGUUUUGAUCUUAGUCUUUCUCUUUGUAAACAUCAUUAUGAUGUAAUAAUAUAAGUCUACCUUUUUUACAUAAAAAUAAAAUAGUGCAUUGAAAAUGUAUUUUCAAUGCAACCCAACGGUGUAAAGGGGCACUAGUAACAAUAACAUCAGAAAGAAGAGACUAUGCAAAAUGAACAACUAAGCAAAAGCAACCAUUAUUGCAUAGGGAUGCAAUGAGAGUACAUAAUUUAAGUUCAAGAAUCCGACCAUAUAUUUUAACUAAGAAAUAUAGUCAGAAUUUAGUUCAAGACAAGAUGGAACAUAAAUUAACAUCACAAGUAACAGCUAAGAUGAGAUAACUUGCAAAGGGAUCAAAACAAGAUUGGAAUACAAGAUUAUAUUUCUCCUCUAUAGCCACCAGAGCCAAAAUAGUCUUUUCUAGAGUUAGAUAUGGCCACACUCUUCUGGUGCUCAAGUUUUGGACAGUCUCGAAUACGAUGUCCAAGACCACCACAAUACGCACAACCCUUGACACCACUUGCAUUCGCAAUGGUCUCUGCUUCUUCCAUUGGAUCAUUCAGUUCAGCAAGGACAGGUGGAAUCCUCUGUUUAGCUUCUUGCAACAAGUGUUUCAAAUCGAGCAGCGUGGUUUCGCUUUGGUUCUUGUUUAUAAAUGUAGUUGCUAUCCCAGUUUUCCCACACCGACCUGUUCGUCCUAUCCUAUGCACAUAGUUCUCAAUCUCUGCUGGCAUGUCGUAGUUGAUUACGUGUUGUAUAUCAGGGAAAUCUAGACCCUUUGAAGCAACAUCAGUCGCGACCAACACAUCUUUUUUCCCAGCUUUAAACGAAGAGAUUGCGUACUCUCUGUCUUCUUGAUCUUUCCCUCCAUGGAUGGCCACUGCUUCCACUCCUUUCAGUAACAAGUACUCGUGAAUAUCAUCAACAUCAGCUUUGUUCUCACAGAAUAUUAAAACCGGUGGAGAUGUUUUCUGUAGACACUCGAGGAGGUAAACAAUCUUUGCUUCUUGUUUGACAUAUUCUACCUCCUGGAUCACAUCGAGAUUCGCAGCUCCAGCUCUUCCUACAUUAACAGUCACAGGUUUCACCAGAGCACUUCUGGCAAAGAUUUGAAUCUUUGUGGGCAUUGUGGCUGAAAACAAAAGUGUUUGACGUUGAGACUUAAAGUGGUCAAAGACUUCCCUUAUGUCAUCUUCGAAACCCAAAUCAACCAACCUAUCUGCCUCAUCUAGUGUCAGGUACCUAUAAUAAGGAAAAAAGGAAGGUAAAUAUUAUUGCCAUCUAACAUUCUCAAGAUUUUGAAAUUAAAUGGCACAACCUCAAGACUCCAAAGACAAGAAAGAUGCAUUCAGAAAGGAACACAAGUGCGGAAAAUUUAUUCAUGAGAGAAAAAACCCUAUCGAAUCAUACAAUAGAGAACAUAUAGAGCAAAGAAGCUCUAAGCCACUAACAGACCCUAGACAAUUCUAUUGAUCUCUCCCGUUUCCUAGGCACAAUAAACCAAAAAGAAACAGAUAUCCUCAAGAAUCUAGCCAAGUGCAAAAGGUCAGAAAACGAGAAUAUAAGAUCAAACAAGGCAGCACAGAGAGAAGACGCAAACAUAUAUUACAAUCAGGUUGAUUAAUCAUAUUGAAAAGAACCAAAGAAGACGAACUAGAGUCAUACCUGCAAGCAUCUAAGCUCAUCUUUUUCUUGGCGAGCAUAUCCUUUAACCUCCCAGGGGUUGCAACAACGAUGUGGACACCUCUCUUGACAACCUCCAACUGGGAUCUCAUAUCAAUUCCACCAAUACAUAGCAACGACCUCAAUGGCGGGUAUCCAGCCUCGACCAAAGGAGCCACAAACUGCUCAACCACUUCAUAAGUCUGCCUAGCAAGCUCUCUAGAAGGGCAAACAAUAAGCCCAAUGGGACCUUCUCCCGCAGCAAUAGGCAUCAUCAUCUCUUCUUGGAGAGCAAUCAUGAUCAUGGGAAGCACGAAAACCAAAGUCUUUCCAGAACCAGUAAACGCAAUCCCAAUCAUAUCCCUCCCAGCCAAAAUCACAGGAAGACCCUGAACUUGAAUAGGAGUAGGCUGCACAAUUCCUUUCUCCUUAAGGGUAUCAAGAACAGGUCUAGGAAACUUCAUAUCCUUAAAGUUCUUGAUAGGAGGAGGAAUAUCAUCACCAUUAACAAUAAUAUGCCAUUGCUUCCUAAUCAAAUCUCUCUGCUUAUUCGACAUCCUCCUAAUAUGCAAAGGAGGUUUCCACCCGGUUAAGAGAGGCUCUGUAUAAGUGAUACCUUUGGCCAAUUCACGAACAGACAUAAGCGUCUUCUUAUCAGAUAAAUGCUCCAUCAUCUCUUUCUCUUGUAAGAUGAUUUGCUCAGUAGCACUAACUUGAGGAACAUCUCGCUUGAGCUGAGUUGCUUGAACGAGUAAACUAGGUUUAGCUUCAGCGAGCUUUUCCUUGUCAGCUUCUUCCUCCAAUUCCGAAGCUUUUCCCUUCCGUUGAAGUAUCUUCUGCGCUUCCAUUGCUCUCCGCUCCGCCACUGAAACAUACUCAACGUAACUAUCGUCGUCUUCCAUGAUGGAUUCAAUAUCGAGAAUUCAGCAACCUAGUAGAAGAGCCUCAAAGCCUGAAAUCAACAAAUUUUUGCAGAUCUCUCGAAUCAAUCGCUAAUACGGGUGACACAGAGGCUCAAAGACAAACUUCAAGACAGAAGCUAAUUAACAAUCAUCAUAAUUUAUGAAAGAACUUCAAGACAAAUUUAAUGUAGAUGUCAAAAAGAGAGUAGCUCUAGCUUAAUUAUUUACCUGCUGAAGUAGCUCUAGGUUUGUCAAACUCCACAGUCUGAAGUAGCUCUGAGAAAAUCAUACUCUGAUUGGUCUCCUGAUAUAGAAGAUGGACUUCUUUCUUUAGAAUCUGAAACAAAAAAAACAAAUCAAUCACAUGAAUAAACCAGAAGUGUCAGGUAAUAAGUUCCAAUUAUUAUCAAUGGGCUAAGUGAAAUACUAAACUGAACACAGACUUCAAAAUUUUCCAAUUCUCAUCAAAGUACCAAACGAGAUAAUUAUUAGAUUCAGACCAAACCACAGAAGAAGAAUAGAGUUCACUCAUAAAAAGAAUAACAAUGCCAAUAAGAAGAAUAACACAGAAGAAAAAGAGCAUUCAAAUGAGAGUCUCUGAAACUAAGCUAUCACAUGGAGUAACUUUGCUAAUUAGAGUAAAAGAAGACGCAGGAACUUGCAAAAGAAUUGUUACCAAAAAAAAAAAAUUACAAAAGAAGACACAGAUAUCUGCUUGAAUAUUUGCAGAGAGAAACCAAACAUAUCACAUGAUUAAAGAAUAUCUAUACUAACGUUCAUGAUACUAAUCUCAUUUCCAUACUAACGAUGAACUAUAUUUUACACAUAUCUUCUUCCUUCAUAUAUAUACUAAUCUCUAUACUAUUCUAAACUAAAGAUGAACUAAGCCAAUUUUGCUCACAAACCCAGAAAACCCAAAACCAAGCUCAAAGAGCAACGAUUUGAUGCAGAACAUGAAGAACCAAGUUCAAAAUGUAAGAAAUUAAAACCUUGGAAAGAAGAAGGGCUUAUUAAGAUAUGAGUAGGAACUAGCUUGGAGUUGUUGAUGUGUUCCGAGGUUAAACUCUGAAUCUCAUUCUUCUGAAAUUUAACAAAGAAUCAGCCAUAAGCCAAAACUCAAAAAACCCACAAUAGAGAUUAGAGAGAAAAACCCAGAAAGCAAAACCUUAGAAAUCAAUUUUGAUAUUGCAAAAGGGAAAAUUAGAGAAAUUACUUCGACUUUGGCUGGAGGAGGAGUAGAGGUUUCCGGUGAUGGAUCUUCGGCUUGGAGUGAUGAUUCCGGAAAAGAAAGAGGAAGUUCCGGUGGAGUUUGUACUGUGACGAAUCGGAGAAAGCAUGCGACGAAUCGGAGAAAGGUUCUCUUUUGCCUCCGACGACGAAUCUGUGAUGGAGGAGUAAACAAAACUAGCGUUACGAAUUUGGUAAUUAUUAACAAAACAUAAGGGCAUGGACGAGUAAACAAAACGUUUCCAAUCGCAUCACCAAUUUACCCUGCGAUCACAAAUUUCAGUCGCGGAUCACAGCGAUUGAUCGCAGCGUUUAGUUGCAGGUUCCUGCGACUGCUAAACGAACAACUUUCAAUUGCAGUUGCAGUGAGUGCCAAACGAACAGCCCCUACAAGCCCAAAUAGUUCUUACUUGUCGGGCCGUUCCGCGUUUUUGUGGGUGACUGGCAGGUACUUUUAGAAAAAAAAAAAGUAUAUUUUUUAUUUUUUCGAAAACAUCUAUGUAUUCACCUGUCAGAAAAAAAAAAAAGAGAAUAAUUGCUUUUCUACUGAAAAGUCAAAAAGCAUAGUAAAAAUGAAAAUUUUAUCCCUCUUCAAAAUAACUAAAGUAAUGUUUUCAUCUAAAGUAACGUUUUCUUCUCUAUUUCUUCUUUAGAAUUCUACUCAUUUCUUCUCAUUUUUUUACCAGUCAAACCUAAUAUAUUUUAGUAAUAUUUUUGAGAAAGUUUUUUAGAACAAAACUCAUUUUAGAAGUAUUUAUGAGAUUAAAAAAAAAAAAAGGUAUUUAUGAGAAUUGCCCACAAAUUUACUCAAUUUUUGGGUUUUACUUUAAUAUUAUUUCACUUUAGGGAAAAGUUAAUUAACAACGGUCUUCAAUUCGUGCAAAGUCUUCGACCGUGUCCCCAACCUUCUCGAACUUCUCUUUGAACCUCAAAUAAUCUCCACAUUUAAAAGACCGAAAUAUCCUCAUAUCCUCACAACCUCCCACCACUUCCUCAGGGUCAAAUACGACUUCACCGACGAGGGGCACGGUGAAUUUUGUUGAGCAUAUCGGCGAUUCUCCCUGAACCAAUCAGCGACUCUCUUUCACUCGAUCUGAGUCUUUUCUUCACCAAAUCGGCGUGUCUCUUUCACCAAGUAUUUCUGAUGGUACGCAUGUCUUUAUCAUACUACGAAUUCUUGUGUAUUUGAAUAUAUAAGAAAUUAGGGUUUCUGUGAUUUUAGGUAAAUUAGGGUUCUUUGUUGUUAGUAAAAUUAGGGUCCUUUGAAGACAAAUAGGGCAUGAUUGUGGUUACUUUUAGUCGAUUUUAGGCAUAGAUUGUUUGUGUCGAUUCAUCUUUUAGUUCGUUUAUGGAAGCCCUUUUCCUCUUCUGUCAUUUUUGUUGUUAAUUGGAAAUUAUAUCUACUUUAGGAAGAUCCUCCUGCUAAUAGCUAAAAAUGUAGCAUCUUAUUAUAUAAAGUAUGAUUUUCAAAGUUAGUAAUUCAUAGGAUCGUGACACGUGUCAAUUUCAUCGAUCUCAGAUUUUGAUAUGUGUUAAACAAAAAUUUCUUCUUUUCUUAAAAAUAUAUAUAAACAAACUAUACGCGCAUGUCAAAUUUAUUGAUAUCAGAUUUUAACACGUGUAAAACUAAAUUUUUAUUUAUUUAGAAAAAAUAUAAGAAAAUAAUACGUAUACAUCUUAUAUAAAAUAAUUCUAAAAAUCUAAAGAAGAUCAUUAUUAGGAAACUAGAUGUAUCUUAUUAAAUAAAAAUAGAAAUCUAAGACAAAAAAAUAUAAGGCAACCAUACAUACAUAUCUUAUAUGAAAUAAUUUUUAAAAAGUAAAGAAGAUAAUUAUAAGGAAACUAUAUGUAUCUUAUUAAAUAAAAAUAGAAAUUAAAAAAUCAUUUACUAAUUCUAAUUUAAAGCUACUAAAGAUUGAUUUUCAAGGGUUUUAAAUUUAAAUUUUUAGGUUUGGGUUGAUUAUUUUAGAUUAAAGGCAUAGUUUUAGGAGGUAGGGUUUACCUUUAAAGGUUGAAAGUUUAAUUUUAGUUUUGUGGUAUUUGGUUUACAAAAAAAAAAAAAAAAAAAAAAAAGUUUUUUGGUAUUUUUGGGAAAACCAGAAAUUAAAUGAAUUAUUGGGAAUAUUAAACUAAUAAUGAUAGUUUUGAAAACCAAAACUUAAGUGUUUUAUUUUUUAGAAUUGUACUAUACUUUUUAUUCGAAAUAUUAUUUUAGUUAAACAAUUCUAAUUGUUAAACAAACUAUGUAAAAGUGAAAGUAAAGAAACAUGAGAAGAAACAUACACUUUGUUUAUUGUGUUCAUAGAGAUAUUUUUUAGGUGGUAGCAAAUAGCAGAUUUCAACAGUAAAAUAUGAUUGAGUCUAAAAAAGAUAUUUUGAGUGGUAAGCUAUUAAAUUGUAAAUAGAUGUAAAUAAGAUGAAGGUUUGACCUGUGGUUUAUAUGUAAAAUAUUUUCUGCAAAAUUUUUGGAUUCAUAUUCUAGGUCUUGGCAAAAUUUUUGGUGAAUGGUAAUUUAAAGUUACUUUAUUAUUAUAAUAAAUGUACCAAGAAAUUCAAACUAUAAUAAUGCAAAUAAGUGUAUUAAGGCAAAAGAUGAAUAUAUAAACAAAUCUUCUAUCUAAUUGAAAAUUUAUCUUCUUAUUUCUUAAAAUAGUUUCUAUUUUUUUUUUAACGUCGUGCAUUGAAUAUCAAAAUGAAACCGAGUUUGAUGACAGAGAAAGAAAAAGCUCAAAAACAGAGCAAAACGAGAAGUAAAAACAGAGCAAGACAAUAGCGUGAAUAAAAACUCGACUAAGAUACCGUCGGUGCAAGAUAGACGAAGGAUUGAGACUCCGUGAAAUGGUUACGUGCAGCGUCUCCGUUCCUCCUCAAUUAUGUUAUGAAGCCAAGCUGGUCCUCCUAUCGCCAUGUAAGAGUUGAAUCGACCUUCUCGUGUGACACUACAGGCAAUAUCCCUGGCCAAGGAAUUGGCUUUCGGUGAAGAGAUGUGAAAAGAAAUAUCCCGCAUCACCUGUACUACCUGAGUAAUUUUGCUGAGAAUAGAUCGAUAUUUUGGCCAAUCUUUCGGUGUAGCUAACGCCCGUAUCGCUGCUGUGCAAUCUGACCAAAUCUCACACGAUUCCACAUGGACUUGAUGUAGACUUUGUAGACACCAUAAGAUGCAAUGUAACUCCGCAGCCACCCUGUUAAACAUGGGAAGAAAAGCAUCUCUAGCGUGUAAGACCGCAUCACCAUUAUGAUUACGUAAUAACCAUGCUCCUCCGCAAUGAAAAAUAUCUUUUAUCCAGGAGGCAUGCACGUUACACUUUAGCUUUCCACUCGCUGGUCUACUCCAUCUUGUUGCGAAAAAUAGUUUCUAUUCACAAUAAAAAAAAUUAAAUAUAUCUAGUUUUUGUUAAAUUUAAUUUUAUUUAAAAUUUUAAAAUCCGCACAUCGGGCGGAUCCUUAUCUAGUUUAUUAUAUAUCACUGACUUGAACUAACUUUUUCUAUCUUUUUUUGGUGGGCAGUGUCUUCGAACGCUUCAUCUCCUCGUCAUGGUAGCCAGUUACCUGACUGAAGCAUGCUUCUUUCUGGUAAAAUAUUAUUAUUUUUGAUAAAAUUUUACUAUUUUUGGAUUAAAAGUUAAUUUUUAUAUAUUUUAAUUAUUUUUAAAUAUAUAUUUAACGGAUUAGAUAUCCGACAAAUAGUCUGGAUUUUUACGGAUAUUCGAACAGCCGGAUAUCCGAUCACUAACGAAGCAAAUACGGAUCAGAAAACUAAUUAUUCGGAUAAAGCAAAUCGGAUCACGAAUACCACCAAAAUUUCGGAUAUCCGUUUUGUGCCCAAUCCCUACGAACCAUGACUAAUUUAAUACAAGUGAUGAUGAUUAUAUAUAUAUAUAUUUUUUGGUGCAUGCAUACAUUAGUUAUUUUUAUUUUAUAAAUUUAAUUUUUAUUUGGGAUAUAUAUUUAACCAUAUAAUGAAUCAUACUUGAUGUACCUGCAAAACAAAUUUCAUAGUUUCUGAAACGGAGCAACGUUGACAUUGCAAAUGUUUCGGCUUCUCUCUUUCCCUCUUUUAUGUCUAAGUGCAUUUUCACAUAUGUAAAUGAUCACUUUAUUUGUUAGUAUUCAUUGGAUUGUGUUGUUGCCAAAAAACGGACAUUGUCACAUAUCCCUUUAUAUUAUAAGGAAGACAAAGGACGUGAGGACAAGAUAUAGAGUCCGAGGCUAUAUCAUGCGACCAACUAAAGUCAAAAAUCAAGAGAAAUUGGAAAUUUGUGUAUCUCAUUAUAUUUUAGCAAGGGCAAAAAAAAAAACAAUUGAAAAUAUGGAAAAAUGGAUAGAAAAACCCUUACCUUUUCUUAAAAACAUAUAAAAAACCUUAACUUUUUUUGUGGGUUUUUAAACCCCCACCUUUUUAUAAAUGGUAAUAUAAACCCUAUUAUUCAUAAAGUCAAUUUAAAUUCAAACAAAUCAUUAUAUUAUAAUAUAAAUAUAUAUAAAUAAUUUGAUUUAGGAUUUUCUAUUCUAAUGUUUACAAUCUUUUUUUUAAUUGAAAUUUUUUAAAAUCAUGAUGUAAGAAAGUUAAUUAAUGAAGUUUUAUUCGGCUGUAUUACAAAAAUUCAUCAACAUGAAACUAAACAAAUUUUGUUACGAGUGACAUAUACAUUCUUUUACCUAACCGAAUAUGAAUUUAUUUUAAUAAAUAUUUAUUCGGUUCGAUCACACAAAUUGCUAACGUGAAACCAAAACAAAUUUUAUAAUACUACGAGAAAAGUAUAAGAAUUUCCACAUGAAAAUAUUUUCAUCAGACAAAGAAAAUAAAUAAACAUUUAUUAGCAGUUAAUAUUUCUAUAUAAAUUAUGAUUUAUUUAAAAUAGAAUUGAAAUAAUUUUAGUUAAUCAUUAUUUAACUAUAUUUUUCUCCAAAAUUGAACCUCCAACUGAAUUUUGUUAUAAUUUUGACUAUUUCUUAAAAUAAAAGAUGAACAUCUCAAACAAACAAAAAAAAAAUCAAAUGUGGUAUCCUAUAAAUUUUUGUAAUUUAUAUAACAUAACUUCUAAUGGUAACAAAACUGAUUUACCUAAUCUCAACUAUAUGGUGAAUGAACUUUUAUAUCGCAAAAACCCUAAUUUUAGAAAGAAAAAUAGCGAACUCGAAUUUGAAAAGAAUAAAUGAUAAAUUAAAUUAUUUUCCUUUAUUGUUAUUUCAGUAUAACGAUUUUAUUUAAAUUUAAGUUGAGUUUAUGAAUAUUAGGUUUUAUUUUACCACUUAUGAAAAGGUGAGGGUUUAAAAACCCACAAAAAAAGUUGAGGGUUUUUGAUAUGUUUUAGGAAAGGUGAGGGUUUUUCUACCCAUUUUUCCUGAAAAUAUAGAUCAUUUAUAUGAAUCUCAUUAUAUUUUAGUAAUCUUUAGAAUUAAUUCGUAAACUAACACCAAAAAUCAAGUGAAAUACUAUUACAUGUCUAGUUAAAAGAUGAAAAAUCCAUUAAAAUAUAGGGAGAGUUUACAAAAUAUACUCAAAUUUUAAUAUCAUAAAUCCCUAGUUACAUGUAAGAAAUAUUUUGCAUAAAUAAUAAUAAUUUCCAUAUGUUUAAAUAAUUUUUUUUAUUUAAAUGUUAGAUUUAUCACUAAAUUUUGUUUUCCAUGAGAAAAUUAUUUUGUAUUCCUAGAUGAUAUCUUAUUAUAUAAAAUAUGAUUUUCAAAGUUAGUAACUCAUAUGAUCGUACCACGUGUCAAAUUUAUCGAUCUCAGAUUUUGACAUGUGUAAAUAAAAAAUUUCCUUUUAUUUAGUUUUUAAAAAAGGAAAGUAUAAAUAUAUAUCUUAUAUCAAACAAUUCCAAGAAUCUAAAGAAGACAUUUAUAAGAAAAUUAUACGUAUAUCUUAUUAUAUAAAAAUAGAAAUUAUAAAAUUAUUUACUAAUUCUAAUUUAAGUUACUAAUUCUAAAAGAAAAAUACUAUUUUCUUAAAAAUAAAAAAGUAUUUAAGAACAUACUAAUUAUAAAAUUAAUUAAUAAAAUACGAUAAUUAAGAAAAUUAUACAAAAAAUUAUUAAUCUUAAAAGAAAAAUUAUACUCAUCUCUAAACAAAUAGAUUGUCUCCUAAUUUUUCACCAAACAAAAUAGUUUCUUCAAAAACACCACAACUGCUCCUAUUUAUUUAGUUCUUUUUUUUUUUUUUUUUUAUAUAAAUACAUCAUCAAUUAUUGAUAUGUGAUAUUUUUUUGAGAAAUUUCUUAAAAUACCACGCUUUCAAUUUUUUUUUUUUUACGAAAAAUACCACUAUUAGUUUAAUGUUCGAAAAAUAUCACACAAUUUUUUGUUUUUUUUUUUAAAAUACCACAAACACAAAAAUUGAUUUUCAAGGGUUCAAAUUUAAGUUUUUAUGUUUGGGUUGAUUAUUUUAGAUUUAAUGUAUAGUUUAUAUGGGGUUUGGUUUAGUAUUUAGGGUUUAGCUUUGAAGGUUAAAUUCUAAUUUUAUUUUUGUGGUAUUUUUGGGAAACCCAGAAAUUAAGUGGUAUUUUACAAUAUUAUAUUAUUAAGUGUGUAUUUUUGAGAAUUGUCAUAUAUUUUCAUUAUAAAUACUUUUUGAGUUAAACAAUUUUAAUGGUUAAAGAAACUAUGUAAAAGUGAAAGUAAAGAAACAUAUCAUUGGCUUAAUAUGUUAAUAGAGACAUUUUUUAAGUGGUGGUAAACUCAUGCAACACUAAAAUAUGAUUGAGUGUUGAAAAUACAUUUUGAGUGGUAAAUGUGGAUGUCGGAUUCACACACUCAAGUAUUUUUAUUAUAUAGGAAAGAUUAUUCUUGAGGGACAAAAAAUAAGAAUGUAAAAGGCUUAUGAAUUGCUACAAAAAUUGCUAUAGUAUUUCUCGCUCAAGAGAACCCUCCCUUUUUACAUGGCCAUUGGCCUUUAUAUUUAUACAUAGAAGAAUGACAUUUAAUGGGCUAAUUAAGUAUAAUUAUUCUCUCUUAAACGUGACCGUUUUGGUCUUUGACUUUAAUGAUAAACGUUCGAAUUUGAAUUGAUUCUGAUCUUCAUGGGCCUCGCCUUUUGGCCCAAAUGUCCUUGGACCGAUUUGACCAUGACUUCGUCUCCGGAGUGGUGUUGAGGUGCAGUCACUUCGGAUUCUCCUUAUAGUGAUAACCACUUCGACUGUUCUUUUGACUUGUGGAUCUAAUGGGCUUUAUCCUUUAUUGGCCGUUAUCCUGACUAGGUGGCAAUCUUUGGUUGGUUCCGAACAUUUGGUGCGGGAUCCGACACCAACAGUAAACUAUUAAAUUUUUAAAUAAAUGUAAAUAAAAUGACGGUUUGAUAUGUGGUUUAUAUGUGAAAUAUUUCAUGAAAAAGUUAUGGAAUCAUAUUUUAAGCGAAAUUGCAAACCAUGUUUCUUGAGAUUUAACAAUAAUAAUAACUAAUAUUUUGGCAAGUAUUUUGGUGAUUGGUAAUUUAAAUUAACUUGAUUAUUAUAAUAAAUGCACUAAUAAAAUUAAAAUAUAGAAAUGCAAAUAAGGGUAUUAAAGCAAAAAGAUGAAUAUAUAAACAAAUUUUCUCUUUAGUUAAUAAUUUAUCUUCUUAUUUCUAAAAAAUAUUUUCUAUUCACAAUAAAAAUUUAAUAUACAUUUUUUGUUAAAUUUAAUUUUAUUUCAUAAAUUUAAACCCGUACAUCGGGCGGAUCCUAAUCUAGUAUUAUAUAUUAUAGAAUAUAGUAUAUCUUGGAAUUGGGAUAUAUAUAUAUAUAUAUAUUGUUGGAAUAAGCUUGAAGAAAUAACUUGUGCGACAAGUUAUUUAUUAAAAGAAGAGAAAUGUUUAAGUCUUUAGGAUUUAUCUUGAAAUAUUGUUUAGGAGUUAUGUAAACAAUUGUUAGUUUGUAAGGUUUGAGAGAUUGAGAGAACUUGAGGGCUUAGUUUUGAGCAAGUUUCUAAAGCAUAAUAAGAAGAGAGUAAUUCUUAAUCCUUGAGUUCAUAUAUAAUCGUCUUAAACACUUGAUAUUUAUUCCAAGUUUUAUGUUUUGAACUUGAUUCAUGAUUUCAUGGUCUCCCUUCAAUAUUCUCAUUUGAAGUUCCAUGCAGAAGAAUUAUAUAUGCAUGGCAGAAUUAUGCGAGAACUUUACACUAUAUAUGAAGCAAGGUAUGGAAGAAUGAACAAAGAUCAAACAACCAACCGGCUGACAUCUUAGCACGAAGUGACAUUACAGAUAAUGCUUCUUUCUAUUAUCAUUACUACGUUCCUCAUAUAAUAUGUAAUGCUUUACAUUCAAACAAUGUAUCAAUUUACUACAAGAAAAAAUGAAUUUAGCGACUACACAAAACGUAACUAAAGAGUCGCUAAACCCAUAAUUACGACUGAUUGACGACUAAAACACGUUGUCGCUGAACACUGCGUCGCUAAAAUUAGUGGUAGGAAAACAGUCGCUAUUUAGCGACCAUUCCGCGACCACUGUUGGUCGUCGCUAGUCGAUCGCCAAACAGUCGCUAAUUUAGCUACUGGUUUGCGAUAAACAAGCCACUAAAUGGCGACUGGUUUGGCGACUGAAUUGGUGACUGAACUGCAGUCACUUUGCGACUGAUUAGAGGUUUAUUUAUCGUUUUAGCCUGCUAUUUUCGAUUCCAGUUACGCAUUUAUAAUCAAAACCAAACAUACAAAAAAUAACCUUGGAAUUAAAACAGAAAACAUAACAAACAUAAAAAUAAUACUUGUUCAAAACAAAACAUUAGUAGCAAGAGUACUUGUACCAUCACCACCAACAAACUUAACCAAAUAUCAAGUUCAAGUUUUUAAGUUGAGAGGAGAGAAAGCUAAGGGACAUUAGUAGCAGGAGUAGUAGCAGAAGUAGUAGGAGGGACCUCUGAAUGAUCAUCCGCAGGAGUUGAUUGAGACUUGAGGAAGGCCAAAAAAUUUGGGCCAGUUUCACUCAAGUACUUCUUCACCAUCGUCAAGUUUUUGAUCUCAGCUGUAACCCGCAAUGCCUCUGCUUCACGUUCUGCUUGUAGAGCUGCUUGUUCCUCUAUCUUGCGGUUAGCAUCCUCAAGCUGUGAUUGCAGGGUUGUGAAAGAAGAAGUGCUUCAUGGGUACUUACGCUUCCCGUUGAUGUAAACCCCUAAGCUUCCAACUCCAAAGUAUUCCCCUCUAUCAUUUGUGACAGUAGACGGCAUAACAAAAGAAAGAGUAUUAGUCCUUAACAUGAGAAAAAAACAACCAUAAAUAACCACAUAAUUACUUGAAGGAAGAUCUCAUCCUCCUCCUCUUGAGAUAGCUUAGAGCGACGUGAAGUACCAUCAGAUUGUUCAUCAUUCUCAUGAAGGGCAACCAACUUAGCUGCCUUGUUCUUAAGAUAUGCCUCACAGAUUUCAUGCGGCUUCCUAUCCACAAAUGUCCCAUCCUUCUUGGUAUGAGUCCUGAUGAACACUUCACCAAUAGUAGGCGGUUUUCCCAAUUCAACUUCCUCAAAUGUUGUAACAUAGAUGUCACAAUGUAACUAAACAAAACAAAUUUAAAACAGAUUUGUAACUUACCAUCUCUUGCUCUACUUGUAAGAAGGACUUCGGACCAAAUACAUGCUUGUGAGGACCAAGGCCAUUAUGGUCAGACAUUCUAGCUGCGGAUGUGGUUGAACUCUUUUCUAUGGCUUCUUCAGUGUCCCAAUAGUCACACAUCUCUUUCCACAGUUUUUUCUCAAUCUAAUACGGCUUCUCUCUUCUUGUCGCUGCCUUACUAACCAUGUCUUUCAUACGAAGUUGAAUGAUCUUAUAGAAUUUGGCUUCAACCACAAAUGAUCUUAUAAAAUUUGGCUUCAAUCACACAUGUUAGUGAGGGAUGCCAGGUGUGUUGUUUCUACAAAACAAGAGGAGAGUGAAGCAGAUUUUAGUGAUCAGAAAACCAAAACUGAAGUAUAAAUACAGUAGUAGAAGAGGGAUAGAAAUUUAAUGCAAAUUCGAGGAAGUCUCUUUCUCUUAUUCUAGUUUGCACACAGCUCCAACUGUAGUAUGAUCCAUCAAACUUGUUUGUAAAACACUUGGUGAUCUUCCGGGUCAGUUUACCAUUAUCCUAUCAGUGUUUUUUUAGUUUUCCUCGAAUAUUUGAGAAAGUUCUUUUUAGAAUUCGAAUCAGUCAUCAACCACACUGUCCAGCUUGCCAUCAAUACAAAAAUAUAUUAAAAAACUGGUCGUUACUAUAAAUAAUUAUUAUAUGUUUUGGAUAUUCUCAAUUUUUGAAUUUUAUGUUUAUCUGAGGUUAUUAAUCAGUUACCAACCAUUUAUUCUAUAUGUUAGACUUAUACGGAACUUGAAAUUGAUCACUAAGUAGAGUAAAGUUCAACAUGCCUCUUUGUUGGAAAAACGGCUUUUCAUACCUUAAUCUAAUAAGUAUGUUCAAUUCAUACAUUAACUAUACCUCUGUACAGAUACAUAUCUCAACUAAGAAAAAAUUCAAAUUUGCUAUAUGCCACCAUUUAUUUACUUCUUCUUCGUUUUUCCUCUCUACUGGAAUUACUAUUUGAGGAUUUUCCAAAGUCCAAGAUCCUUUAAUGGCGCCAUCAGCUUGUUCAUAUUAGCAUUUUAAUUUUCUUAAAGUUUCUAAAUUGUAGUUAGUUUAAUAGAUUUCGAACUUGAACAAUUGAAAUUCCAACUUGAACAAAUUCAUGAUGUAAUUGUAGAACUCUAGAUUUCUAUAAAUCUACAUAUUGUGAUUCCAGUAGAGAUAAAGAAGAAGGAGAAAUAAAUAAAUGUUGGAAACGUCGUUUUGUCUCAAAUUUUAGGUGUUUAAUUUGGUUAAGAUUUAAACGGUAUAGUUAAUGAUAUUAGCAUCUACGUAUGUUACAAUAGACAUAAUGUUAACCACAUCUCAGGAUAUGCAUGUUAUUGCACGAAACAAAAAGAUUAGGUAGUGAAUUUAAAUUUUUGCUUAGUUUGGGUAUGUAUCUGCACAAAAGUAUAGUUAAGGUAUGAAUUGAACAUACCUAUUGAGUUGAGGUAUGAAAAAGUCGUUCUUCCCCUCUUUGCCACUCUGAUUUUUGGCAGAGUAAUGAAGGAAAAAAAAAAGUAAUCUGGAAAUUAAAAAAUACAAUGAAUUAUACCAAUAUAACUUACAUUUUCUGAGGAUCUACGUCUUCGAGGAAACAAACACUCCCUCAAACCGGGCCUUGUGGCCUAGUGGUAAAGGGGUCACAGCUGUGACUUCCGCCACCGGGGUUCAAGGCACGGCCACUGGCAGGUUUACAUAGGGGAAUUGCCAGCCUCGUGGGAUUAGUCUUUGGGCCUAGGAAGCCUUUGGGAGACCCGCGGUUAUUCAAAAAAAAAACACUCCCUCAAGCUAUUGAUAUUCAUCAAAUUACAAGAGCUAACAAAGAAGCUUUGUUUAAUACCGAACUAUUUAAUACUUUUUUUAAUUAAUAAACUUGUAAAUAUCAUAUAGAAUGAAAUGUUUAGGCUUUACAAAAUAUAGACCUUAACCUUACUACUGUGGCAAAAAAAAGAAAUAAAAAAACAAGAGAGUUAAAGAACUCAUUCUAACCACAGUUGCAUUAAAUUAGAGAAUUUGUUGAGAUGUCUUCUAGCAGUAAUCGAGUUACGAACUACAUAAUUUAUUAGAAGACAAAAGUGCCAUUAAUCUACUUAAUGUAUUAAUCCUCUUAAUGGUCCAUAUUUUCUUGAAGUUCACUAACAACCCGUUUGCAAGUGACUCCCUCGUAAUCUACUUAAUGUAUUAAUCCUCUUAAUGGUCCAUAUUUUCUUGAAGUUCCAUUUGAGUAAAGCUUGAACCUCUCCACCAGCAAGAGUAUUGCCCACACAAGGGCUAUUUAACCCCAUGAUAUAAUCUGAAUUACGUAAUGAAAAUAAAAUAUGAAAAUUCAGUAACAAAAUUUAAAUAAUGAAUUAAAAAAUUACAUAUAAUAUUUAAAUGAUUAAAAUCGUACAAAAACGAUAUAUGGAACAAUAGAAAAGUACAUACAUAAUAAACAGAAAUCUAAAUUUACUAGUCUGGCAUCCGCAAGCUGAAGAAGAAUUUUUAAAUAACCUCGAAAUCUUUAGAUCGACUGUCAUCCUCCUCCUUCAUAUGCGUCAUCUUCUCAUUGCUUCACGGGAUCCUUCGUCGCUUGAAGCAAUUCUUGAGUCAUGGACAAGGUCGGCCCUGUCAUAAAGCAACUAAAGCACAAGCUUUAGGCCACUGAAUAUAAACUAAAUUUUAGGGCCACAUUUUUCUAAAUGUUAUAUUUGCUCAGUGGUUAUAUAGUCCAAAAGUUUAUUGUAGGUAUAGAAUUCGAAUCCCUUUGAAGUCACGGUUCCUUCUUUUUUGGGGUAAUAUUUCCAGCUUCUCUCUUUAAUUAUCUCUUUAUUCUUCUCUUCCCUCCAGUUUUUUUUAAUAGAUUUUAUUUGCUAAAGUGCUCAUGCUAAUCAUUUUCGUAAGAACAACAGAACUAAUUACUAUCGUCACUGUGAUAUUCAAUAUCAUAUAUAACUGUGAGAUUCAAUAUCUAUGUUUACGAAUCACGAACACGAAAAUGACAACAAUUACAUUUCUGUAUAUAUAUUUCUGAUUUAAUCUAUUAUUACUCGACUAUGAAAACCUAAUUAAUUACUGAAUUUGUUGAAGAAAAAAUUAGAAAAGUUUAUUUUUGUGAACGGAAAUAAAUUAGAUUGUCUUACGUUGUUAAUAUAUUUAAUGUUUUUUUUCAUCAACUAUAUCUGAUGAUUUACAAAAAAAAAUUAUAGUGUUUUAAUGUUAAUUUUUUAAUCAUUAGUAUAUAAGAAGUCCACAUAGUUUAAGCAUGCUUUAGGCCACAUAAUGUCAAGGACCGGCCCUGGUCAUGGAGCUUGCUGGAGUAAACGAGAAUGAUGUUACACAGCCCUCUGGAAUGAAGUCUAAGCCGUGUCGACGUCCUUCUUCUUUACAAAAACAUUCUAAUAUUGAAAACUAAUAAUUAAAACUAGUUACUUACAGAGAUAGAGAAAAUGUACUUACUGAUUGGUAGAGCUUCUCCAUAUCAGUUUUUGACACCUCCCUGGACUAGAUGGAGAAUGCAUGCGCCGCGCCCUUAGAGAGGAAAACCUAAGAUAACUGCUUGCCAACCUUCUUCUUGACAACCUCGAAGAUGGUCUACUAAAUCUUCUUGUCGAAGAUAGUACUAUUGGAAUUACCUCCUUAAAGUUACCUCUAUAAGGGUUUUAUGAGGAAAAAGUUCUCCAAAUUCAAACAAUUUUGGAUUGAUGUAUGUUUGGAGAUCUCUAUAUAUACCGCCUUCAUUGAUGUUGAAGCCAUUUGCUUUUCGUGAUGUGAUAUGUUCUUGUCUAAUGGGCCAAGUGUGUGGUUCAAAUUUUGUCACCCAUCUAAAAAGAAUGCACUCCUUGAUAAACAAAGCAAGCUAUGUAAGGAUAUAAUAGUACUCUGAUCGAUGAGCUCCUUUUCAUAAUUAUCGUAGAGUGACGGUAGAUUUAUCUCUUCGGACAAGUUUAUUUGGUUAAGGCCACAUUUCCAUCCUAACUUGUUUUUGGAGUUUAAUUUUUUUUUCGAAUAUUCCUUUUUGUUUUCAGUUUUAUAUUUGUAAAUUAAAGUUUCAUAAAAGAAAAAAGAUAAACACACAAUAUUAGUGGUUUUGUGUGGAUCAUCUACUCCGUUUUAGGAGUGUUAGAGCAUCUCCAACCCACAUCUAUAUUUAUCUCUAAAAUAGAGAUUUCUAUUUUUUUCUCUAUAUAUAGAGGUGGGAAUAGAGAAUCUCUAUUUUUUUCUCUAUAAAUAGAGUUAAAUUUUUUAGAGGAAAAAAUAGAGGAACACAUUGGAGUAAAAAUAGAGAAAAUUUAUCUCUAUUAUAGAAAUAGAGCUAAAAAUAGGGAAAUACAUUGGAGAUGGUCUUAACCAUCUUUUAUGAAUUAACUAGGUCCGGACCCGCACAUACGUGCGGGGUUUUAUAUUUUGAAAGAUGCGGGUUGAAUAUUUUUUGUAUAACGUAUAGUGAAAACGGGUCUAACAUUUAGUGUUGGAAAACGUAUGUAUGGGGUUUUUUGUUUGAUUGGUUAAAAAGAUUGGAAAGAAUAAUUAGUAAGAAUUUAGUAAUUUUGAUUGGUGAAUGAUUGGAUAUCUUGGUUUGGUUUUGUUGAAUUAUUGAGAAAGUUGCAAAAUUGGUUGUAAUAUUUGUGAAACGAAAUUAUUAUUCUGAGUUUUAUUGUAUAUUUUUAUUUCUUAAACUAAAAAAUGAUUUGUUUGGUGAAAUAAAAUUAUUGUUUGUAAUUUGAUGCAUAUUUCAUAAAUAUAAAUGAUUAUAAUUCAGAUAAAGGCCCGUUAAUGAUUCCCCUUUUAAUUAGGAUUGGGCUGGAUUUUUGAUAGACCCAUUUAGAGAUCCAUGGUUUCGUUUUUGUUUUUUAAUACAGAAUCAAAUGUUUUUUUUUUCUUUUGGACAGAAGUGAUUAUAGCACGAUUCUUUGUCUUAUGGUCUUCAAAGAAUGAAUCCCUAAAAAUCAGAAGCUUUUCCGAUUUCUCAAUCAAUGUCAAAAGUUUCGAUCAUCAAUCGAGUCUCUGUACAUAUAAUUUCCAUAUCAGAUUCGGAAUUUCUCCAAAGAGGUAAGGUUUUUAGAGAUUCUUCUUCAAUCAAUCUAUUUUUAUAAUCUGUUGAUUCAUUUACAAUCUUUGUAAUUCUGUGUUUCAACAGAGAUCUUGGGCUAUUACUGUGGGUAUACGAACUUGCAUGAGUAAGUAUUUUCAAUUAUAUUUGUUGUUUAGAUCCGUAAUUGCAUGUCUAUAAUUUUUGUGUUUAUUCGGGUAACUCUAUCUAUUAUCAAAAUCUUCUAUGCGUUGGAGUGAAAAGAGGCUAUAAUUUGAUUUUGUAUAGAUUUAGGCAAUAGAUUUUGUUUCCUAAUAUUUAAUUUGUUCCUAAAUUGAUUUUAGAUAAUGAUUGGAUGAUGAUUUUGUCUGAGGAAGACGAUUUACAAAGUUAAGCUUUCUAUUACAGCUCUUACAUAACAAAACAAUGUCUUAAUAUAUAUGGUUCUGAUUUUACCAAAUACAAUGUUUACAGAGAAGGCAAAAUAUUCGAGUUGAUUUCAAUCUGAGAAGACAAAUUUGAUGUCCUUUAGUAGCCAUAACGGAAUCUGGAAGCUAUUUUAAAGGUUAGAUUAUGUAAUCUCUUUCUGAAAUUGUAGAGUUGUUAUAUAAAACAUAUAGUUGUCAAUCUAUACUUUUAAAUAUUGAUAUUGCGUAGCUUAACAAUUAUGAGUACAAUAUAGUUUUUAGAAAACUUACUUAAAUUUAGGGAAUAUACUAAUUAAACUUUUUAUGGAAAACAGAGUAAAAUAGAGAUUAAAUACAAAAGAAACAAAUAGGGUAGGUUUAAGUCGAUUACAAAAGGAGUUUUCCAUACCUCCAAGGAAGUUUUUAAAAAGACAGAGUUCAUCUCCUCUAAAAAUGUAAAAAGAAACAACAUAAACUAAGAGAAACUGAAGUAACCUUGCAAAUCCAAUCCCUCCUUCCUUCACAUGUUAGUUCUCAUCAACCAUCUCCAUCAUCACAUCCUCUUCGUCACUUGAUCCAUCGUCGAAUGAUCGCCUGCAAAAAAACAUAUGCUUUAUGUUUACCUAGGCUAUGAAUCUCAACCAAAAUAUAAGCCAAUUAUAAGAGAAUUUUUAACUUACAGAUAACUUGGAAUGUCAAGUUCAUAAAAGAUUGGAUCAAUGUAUAGACGUGAACAGCCAUAUUCACUCAUUAAAACAUUGUUUCCUAUAGGAAAAAAAAAGAUUCAGUCAAUGUAACUAAUAAAAUUGUAAAGUCAGUUCAUAAAACUAUAAUAAGAACCAACCACAGUAAGAAGUUAUUCUCCAGAAACGCAAGACUGCAACAAUCUUAUCAUAGUUGUAGUUUAUUCCGCUUAUUUUCUGAGACCAAGUGUUCACAAAGAACUCACACCACUUUCCCACAGCUACGCAUUUUAUUGUCUCCCCCCUAGAUUAAAAGUUUAAUUUCCAAACAAAAGAACAGUCAAUCCAAUUUCUUAAAGUAAUUUAAGAACAACCAUUGAAAUUCUGUUAUAGAGGGUAAACUAAACUUACACAUUAUUUUUAAUUUUGAAGCAGACAUAGCGAGAUUCAUAGUCUGUUUCUCCUCUGCGACACACAUAUGGAAACCUUCCUAUGGUGGAAACAGCAGAGAUAACUCCCAUAGCAUCUAAGUAAAAAUUAAAGGAAAAUGGUCAUAUAAGUCUUCAUAUAUAAUAAAUCUUGGUAUAAAACAUUUAAUUUCACAAAUUAUUACCAAAGACAGAGUUUUUAUCAUCUUCAUGAGCAUUUCUGACAGUAUCAGGCCAAACAAAGUUCCAGUAAUUGUUCCAAGACUUAGAUCUAACAGGCCACAUGGUAGUUCCACUCAAAAACUUAACCUGAAGUGGCAUAGUUGAAUAUCUGACUUGGUUUUUAGGUAUGAUGACUUGAAAGUCAGUCAUGUAGUACCAAACGUCUUGUUUGAGUCCUCGCUGAAAGUUCCAGAGGUAGUAACCUUGUGGAAUUGUUGCGUCCAUUAAAUUCCCCUAUACAAAGGAAAGAAACAAAUUAGAUAAGUAGUUUUUCAACCCUAGAACAUGAUUUUAAAAAGGUGUAAAACAGAACAAUAGAAUUAGAAACAAACCUUCUCAUCUGCGAGAAUCAUUGUAGUUAGAUCACCAUUGAAAGGAGGAUUAUGAUGCCAGAUACUCAUUAUCUUAACACAAACCCUCCACUUUGUGGAAUGUCUUCGCAAAUCAGAGAGAAGGUGCAUUUUCUCCAUAGUUUCUAAAAGAUUUUGUUUUGCUUUCAACUGGGAAGAUAUCUCUGUAAAUCUAAAAUCUCUCAACGCAUAUAUAUAGAUAUAGAUAUAUUGGUUAAGAGACGCAAAGGAUUAAAAUAAAAAGAAAAGGAAACUGAAUCGUUAAUAGAAUAUAUAAAAUAUAAAAAUUUGAAAAGACUGAUGCAAAUCAUUGCUAAUUAUUACAAAAGGAUACAGUUUACAUUUUUCAAGAUACACCCAACGAUUUAGAUUUGCCUAGAUUGUAUAAACCGUCAAAUAUGGAAGUUUCUUUAGUUUUUGUUAUUCAUGAUAGAUUUUUUAUAUAAUAGAUUAUAUAUAAGUAAAAUAUAUAAGUAAAUAUGUACUUAAAUAAUAGUAUCGAUUUUUUGUAACAGGAUCUAGAUUUGCCUAGAUUGUAUAAACCGUCAAAUAUGGAAGUUUCUUUAGUUUUUGUUAUUCAUGAUAGAUUUUUUAUAUAAUAGAUUAUAUAUAAGUAAAAUAUAUAAGUAAAUAUGUACUUAAAUAAUAGUAUCGAUUUUUUGUAACAGGAUCUAGUUUUUGCUAUUUGUUAGUUACAAUUAUAAUGGUACUGAUGCUAGAUAAUUCUAUGUUUACAGACCAGGCAACAUCUUUAAAGAAGGCAAAUGUGAAAGCAAUGAUAAAGCUAGUCCAGCUUCUGAAAGCACUGAUAAAGGUUAGUGAGGUCUAAAUGAUUCAAGAAGUAUUUAGAUCCACAAUUAAAUAUGAAGUUGUCGUGAUGUGUUAAUUGUUUUUCGAAAAUGAUUUUACUAUAUUCUCUGUUGACAUGUAUGUUAAAUUCUGCAAUUGGUUGAUAAGAUAUUAAAGUAAUACUACUUGUUUAUAUGAAUUAACAGAAUAUUUAGAUUCUGUAUAUGUUUUUGGAAUUAGUAAACUUUUAAUAGUUUACCUUUUUGUACUUAAUAUGAUUUAAAUGUAAAUGAAAAAUUAUUUAAAACAAAGUUAUGCUGAUAUUAAUAAUCAAAAUUUCUGAAUCUAUAUUAUUAAAAGAGAAUUGAGAGAAUAACAGACCAAGUUUGGUAAAAUAAUCUCUUCAAUGGAAGUCGUAGAUUGAAGAGAUUACUACCAAAUUUCCAUUUCCAUACCAGCUUCUACCUGUUCAGACAACCAAUAAGAAAUUAGUAAAGUGUAACAGGUGAAAAUAAUAAUCAGUUUUUAUUGAUUGUUACCUCUUAAACCAAAUGUCUUUUGCAAUGUGUAAGCUUAUAGGUUCUGAAAGACUUCCUUAAACACCACAUUCAACGUUUCCUUGUGCGGCUUUCCUUCUUUGUCCACUAUGAGUAUCUUCAGUCCUUUUUUUGAAGUUACCCUUGAGAUAGCUACAUAGAGUUGGCCAUGAGAAAAGCAUGGCCUUGGUAGAUAGAUGCCAACCUUAUUCAACGAUUGUCCCUGGCUUUUAUUAAUGGUCAUAGCAAAAGCAACUGCUAUUGGAAGUUGUCUUCGACGCAUUUUAAACGGAAGUUUAGUAUCAGAUGGAGAUAUCAAUAUCCUGGGAAGGAGGACUUUAUCUCCGACUCUAUCACCUGUAAUAAUGACAGCCUCAAUGACUUUAUCACCCAUUUGUGUUAUUUGCAGUCUAGUGCCAUUCAUUAGCCCUCCUCUUGGAUCUAAAUUUCGUAGUAACAUCACAGGACAACCAACUUUCAACCUUAUACCAUGAUUUGGCAAUCCAGAUAUCUUUAGACCGUUCAAAAACUCUGAUGUCAACACGGGAUUAUUUGUACCUCCAAUAUCAGAAGGAUCAACAGAAUCUGAACUUAGGUAUAGUUGUUCAUCACCUACAAAUAAUUUAAAAUGUCUUUAUAAUACAUCAUAUCUCAAUGAAAUGCCUAAAAUAUUAAGAGUAGUGGAGACUAACCUUCGAGUUGAUCAAGCAUAUAAUCGUUGACAAUACCCACAUCUUCAUUGGUAGGACAUAAAAUAGCCCUUUGUUGGAAAAAUACAGGAUCGGUUUCAUCCUUCAAUAACUUAGGAUCUCCAUAAACUUCCCUGCUUAUUGCCUCAAUUGGAUUAUCAGCGUUUGUGAUCAAAAACUCUUUUGGAAUUUCUAUCAUCACUUCUCCAUCAUUAGGCUGUGCUAUCUUACCAUCACCAACUGCUAGAAUCCACUCUGAAAAUUCUUUUAUAUCCUUAGCCUCACUUGGACUCAAAUCCUUUGAAAGUAGCCUCAUAUUUUUCGUGAGUUUCAGAACUUUGCAAUGAUUCCAAAGAUAAGAAGCAUUAAGUGCAGCCAUACAAAUUUCUGCUCUCGAAGCACCAUGUAUCACAGGUAGUACUUGUCUGAAAUCUCCACCAAAAACAACUACUUUGCCACCAAACGGUUUGUUUCCACCACCUUUAAUAAUGUCUUUGAAACUCCUAUCCAUAGAUUCAAAACAAUGCUUACUCAUCAUUGGAGCUUCAUCCCAAAUUAUCAAAGACGCUUCUUCUAUUAAUUCUGCCUGAUUUGAACCUUUCUCAAUAUUACAUACAGUGAAGUCGUCUGGAUUUAUUGGAAUACCAAACCGAGAGUGCGCUGUUCUCCCACCAGGUAACAAUAGAGAAGCAAUGCCGCUGGAAGCCACAUUUAGCACAAUAGAACCUCUAGAUCUUACAGAAGCUGAGAGUGUCGUAUAUAUAAAAGUUUUACCAGUUCCACCAAAGCCAUAGACAAAGAAGACACCUCCCUUGUCAUUAUCAACAGCAUCGAUGAUCUCUAAAUAAACACUCUUCUGCUCAUCUGUCAUUUUCUGCAACGAUUCUUCAAGUUUUUCCUUCUGUUCAUUGCUAUCGUAGCUUUUUUCAUCAAGUAUCAAGACAUUACUAUCAUCAAUUUCCUCAUCAGGUAACUGUGGCAUUGUUCUGAAAGCUGUUAGAGAUGUUCCAUUGCUUCGUAAGAUGCUGUUGAUUUCUUUUAAAGCCAACAUCUGUUUUUGCUCGUCCGUAAGUGUUAGUUCUGUGUCCCAAAAAUAUGUAAAAAAACAGUGUUAUUUGUAAGACAGAAUAAUCAUGACAAAAACUACUUAAAAUUGCAAAGUAACAACUCUUUAAACCAACCAAAGAGACUAAAUUAUUUGAUCAAAAAUUACCUGGUCUUUUAAAGUACUCUCUCCUUUUUCUUUCGAUGUCUUCUGAUAGAAGUUCCCAUGUUUUUUCCCAAACAACUUCUGGUUGAGAUAAGCUGGUAGACUGGAGCAUUACAACAAACAUACAACGCAAGUAGUUUCCAGUAGCCCAAAAACUGGUUGUCUUUAUUGUAUCAAUAUACUCCUGGUCAUCGUCAAGCAAACCCAGAGCAUAACAUGCCUCCUUGAACGAUUUGUACACCACGCCAUUCACUGUUUUGAUGUCUUCGAAACUUUCAGGUCCAGUUUGAUGAUUUAGAAGCACUCUUAAAUAAUAACCUUCCUCAUAAAUAAGUGGGACAUAAUUAAUCCUUCCGAUUGUUUUCCCUGGUCGCUUCCUCAUAUUGAAAGUUCUUGUUUUACCAUCCCAAGUAUAAUAUUCCGGAAUCUGAGUAUAUGUUAGAUCUUUGGCUUUAGGACACCGCUUGUUCAAUUCAAACCAAGCAAGAAACAUCGAAUUCUGUAAUUCUGAUUUUUUCAAAACUGUUUUCACCUCAUCAUCACCUUUAAAAUAUAAUAGUUGUUUGCCUGGUAGAUGGAAGGAUAAUCUUUGAACAGACGUUGACCUAUAAUGUAUAGGAUUUUUCAAGAUUCUCCAUCCAGCUUCACAUGCUGAUACAUAUCUGAUACAAUAUCAUAAAACAUGUAUUAGUUAGAAAUGAGUUAAGCAUCUAAACUAUUUACCUAAAUCCAAGUAGAUUUUAUACCUGCAAUUAAAGAAGUCUUGUAUUUCAUUUUUACUUGUGCCCCCACUGUUUGAACUAUCAGACUUCUCUGUAGUAGUUGUAGUCUUUGUAGACUUUUCAUUAGGCUCAACAACUACUGAAACUCUGUCCAUCCCUUUAGUGAUAUACUUGAAUAAAUACUUGAUAGAGCCAGUUUGGUUACACCACUCAACAUUAAUAUGAGCUCUGUAGCGAAGCAGCAACUUCUUGUUAUAGGGUAUAACAUAUCCGUUGUCACACCUAAAUCCACACUUCUCCACAAACAGCUUUGUCUUUCUUCUUCUGUACAAAGGGAAACCUUCUUUAUCAACUUUAGUAUGUUCUCUAAGUUUUUUUGGGAAAAACUUAGAACAUUUCCCUUCAAGCAUACAUGGUGAAUUCUGGUUGACGACGCCACAUGGUCCAUGAAUCAUCAUGUCUUUUACGACCUCAUAAAGUUCUGGUUCUUUAGUCUUGUCAGGAAUUUCCGCAGAAAUGAUUUUAUCAAUGUCUUCUGGUUUUGGAAACUUAGAACUUGGAUGCAUCCAUAUCAAUAUAUGUGCAUGAGGAAGACCUCUUUUCUGGAACUCAAUUGUAUACAUUGCUGCGAGAACAACAUGAGAUAAUAAUAUUAGUUAAACGACAUUUAGAAAAAUAGCAGAAACAGAUAAUUAAAUUAUAGACUGUUAACGCAACUAUUAAAAUAAAUCACUUACAUGAAACAGUCUUCCCCAAUAUAUGUUUCUUCGUUAAAUCAUCCAUUAGAGAAUUCAGCUUCAUUUUGAACAUUCUGCUUAUGAUCUCUGGCCUAUCAUCGGAAUUACAAUUUCUAUCAGUACAAAAGCUUACCAGCUCAGUCCAUUUUGGAUUGCAUGUGAACGUAAUGAAUAGGUCAGGAAAUCCAUAAUGAUUACAUGUAGACAUUGCAUCCAUGUACAUGUUCUUCAUGUAUCUUGGCCCACCAACAAAAGUAGCUGGUAGAUAAAAUGCUUUUCCUUCUUCAUUCAUAUCUGUCUUUCCUGCUGUUGCCGCCUCUUUAACUGAAUCAUAGUUAGUAGCUCGUAAACUUGACUGAUUCAGUUUAAUAUAUUUGAGCCUAUUAGCUUCAAUGGUGGUAUAAGCAUCAACCAAGAACUGCUGGUACAACCGUUUGGACCUUAGCAGGAUACUUUGUUCAUUCUUUCUCUCUUGUAUACGAUACGCAUACCAUUGACGCAAACUUAUGCAAUCAUUCUCCUCAGUUCCUUCGGGCUUGUUUUUCUUUUUACCAUGGUUAUUCCCUUUCUGAAUACCUGUCCUAUAACCAUCUUCACCCUUUGGAAACAAUAGAGGGUAUUGUAGAGCAAGAUAACAUGGUUCUAUUUCACUGAUUCUUUGUAAAUACCCAGAUUUUUCUUCAAUAAUAAUGUCACGACUUGGCAUACCAAUGUGAAAAUCACCUGGAAUCAGCGCUGCGACCUCCGAAGCUGUUGGCACUGCAUAUGUUCUUCCAUCUUUGACACGGUCACUCACUAUUUUCAUAUGAAAGCUCUGUUCAGGAUUGGUAUUAAACCUAUCACGAGCUUGUCUAAAAUGAGCAACGUAUGGAUUAACUUCAUUUAGCAGCUUUAUUAUCGCCUCAAUUAUUUCUUUUCUCAACUCUGACUUCUUCUUAUAUUUCCCAGCAGAUUUUCCUUUGCUGAAAUAUUAAUUUAGUUAGCAACGACACUAAUACUUACAGAAAAAAACACAAAGUCUGGAUACUGUGAUGGCUUGUUUUGAGUUAGAAAAUGUACCUUAAAAUUCCUGCUCUGUUUUCAACUUCAUUCUCUGUGUCAACUAUAUAUAGCUGACUAAACUUAGGAAAUUCACCUUCUCCAGGUUUCAAACUUCCCAUCUGGUGGUAAUUCUCUCCUUGUAUCUGAAACAUAUUAGGACCCCUUCCCGCUGUAACAGAAUUAUCACACUUACCCCCAAGAGAAGUAAAUGAAAAAAUCAUGUUAUAUGCUCGGAUGUUCUCUCUAAAGUGUCUACUCAUGUCAUCAUCAUUGGUUAGCAAAGCAAAUAACAGUUCUGGUUGAUUAUGGAGGAAAGGCAGUUUCACAGAUCCUUGCAGACAACAUUGAGUAAAAAUUGGUUUACGAACUUUCUUAUGUCUGUUGAUGCGUUCGCCAUACCACAUAAUAGCACCGCAGUAGGAACAUGAGUAGACAGGAUCUCCAUGAUCUAGAUACUCUACAAUAACGGGAAUAAGUUUAGCAUAAGUAAAGUUUGUGUAAGAAAAGAAUUAGAAAUAAACCAAUGAUGUAGUACCUGUGUUUUUGUUCUUUCUGAUAGAAACAUUAGGAGUUUUUAUUUCUCCAAAAGCUUUGGUCAAACUUUCAUCUAACAUUGAUAAAAACUCAUAUCUUUGUUUGACUUCGAUUGGGAUAUCGUCUAUGGUUUCAUAAUCUUCAGAUGUUUCUGAAUCAUUUUCAUCGAUGGUACUCACUAUUUAAUUGAAACACGAUCCAGCCCUUUAGUGAUAAACUUGAAUAACUUUUUGAUAGAUUGAUUUUGGUUGCACCUACUAACAUUACCUGAUCAAUAGAGAGGUCAUUACGUUGGUCAGUCUGCUGGUCAGAAUCUUCAAUAGUAUCUAGAUUGUCAGAUUCAUUACCCAGCCAAACGGUUGAAACCUUGUAGGUAUCAUCAGUUUCAUUGAUGUUUUCCUUUCCAACAGUCACCAGAAACUGGAAAGUCUUUCCAACCAAAUCUCUGAUUGGCUGAGGCAAGUUUGUAGGAUCCUGAAUCUGUUAUGAUAGAUUGAAAAAAGUAUAUAAGAUAUUUGAAUAAUAUGGUCUAUAUACAUAUUAACAAUAAAUUUGUUUACCUCAUCCCACUUCCCUUCCAGCAAAUCCUCUGCAGACACACCGAUUAUCUCUUGUGCACUUUUAUCAAAGAUAAGACAUUUAGUGUCUCCAGUGCUAUCCAUCACUCCAACGUUUAAAAGAUACCUACAUAUCAAAGGAACAGGAAAGUAGAUUAUGUACCUAGUUAUUAUCUGACAAAUGUAGAUAUAUAUUAGCAAAUCUCAAAGUCUUACCUUGGUAUCACCUUAGGAGUGUCUUCCUUACAUGUUGGACACCAAAACAUUUCUUUCUUGCCUUUCUUGACAAUCUCAUUUUCAACCUUUGGAAUCUUAUAGGCAGUUUUGCUACACUUGAGGCAACUAAAGAAAUACCAAGAAUAGUCUGUGUCGAUAUUCAUUAUGGUACAAAUUAUGUUGCACUUUCCAGUCUAUUACAAAAAAAUAGAUAAUUAGUAGUAUAGACAGAGAAUUUAAUAGUUUCUAGAAAAAAUAAUAUUAUCCAAUACAAAUACCUCAGCAAAACAAAAGAGUCCAGAGAUGGUUUUCCUUGGAAAACGAUCAUAGUAAUCCUUUUUUCUCUGUUCUGCAUUCACUUGUUUUGCCUUCGAGUCUUCGAUAGUCAGUGGAAUAACAUCCGGUGGUAAACUAUUUUUAACAAAUAAAAGAACACGAAAUCAACUUUAGAUAUUAUAAAAAGGAUUAACAGUUAUCUAUAUUAGUAAAAGAAAUGUGAUGUUUAAACAUAUCUUACUUGGCCACAAAAUCAAGAACAGCAGGGUAGGUAGCAUUGAUUUCCAAUAGAGACAUAUCAAAUGAAUUUGAAACAGCUCUUUCACCUACAAACAGCAUGAUAUUAGUAUUUUCACAUAUGUUCUGAUUUCAUUUCGAUUUCAAAAUCAUCCAUUAUUCCCAGUAACAACAUUCUAUACCUUUAAAUGAGUUGAUCUUUGCAAGCCGAAGUAAGCAUAUCACUCUCUCAGUCCCUGCAUUUUGACAUGCAUUAUACAUUGCCUCAGCAAAUCUCCCCCAAAGAGUGCAUUUCAGCCUUUCAUCACUACAAUACAACAAAAAUAUUGAGAAAGUUUUAAGUUUAGAUGUAUGUAAGAUUAAAUAAAAAAGGUAGAUUCAUGAUAAAACUUACUUUGUGUCUCUGAGUUCACACUCAAGUCUCUUUGUGAUCUUGUUAUUAACAUCAUGAAUUUUCAUUUCAUUGAAACUAACUACCUGUCCAAGUACAUCUGCAAAAUAAGAGAGUAAUAUAUUAUAUUUUCAUGAAGAAGUUCCUAUUAUAAUAGAAAAAGAAAAUAUACAAUGGAAAGUAAGAUAGAUAUAGUACCAAUUAAGAUGUUUUCACUCAAUCCUGCUUCAUUCAAAAUAUCUGGAAAGUUUGCCAGAUCCACAUAAAUGUCAUCAGAAACAGAAGGAGUGCGACUUAUCACAGUUUUUUCCAUCAUGGACAUUUUGAAACCAUGUUUUGUGGCUCGAUACUUUCCUGUUGAUUUGGUUAGCGUAAAAUGCUCGAUAAUACGCCAUUCUCCAGAAACUAUGAACCUUUGCAGUUUGCUCACUUGUGGCUUCUUAACAGUAGCAUGAAUCAAAGUACCCUGGCAACAGAUAAAAAGAACUCAUGUUAAUCAUCCAGUGAUAUUGAUGAUUGAUAAAUGUUUAAUAUGUUUCAAAAUGAUAGUUCUUAUACUUACAGCUGUAUCAGCAAGAACCAUUUCAACUGUCUCCCCGGUGAAUUGAGUGUAUUGUGUCCACGAAUGCACAAUCUUAACUUGAAUUUUCCAAUGUGUUUUGAAGGGCUUAAUGUCAGCAAGAGGGGUGAAUGCUUGAAUAGCUGCCAUUUUAUUAGAGAAAUAGUGAAGUGGUAAUGGUAAAGCUUUGAAAGGUGAGUUCUUUCUAAUGCAGGUCCCUAUAUUUAUAGUAAUCAUAUGGAGCAUUUAGUUUUAUUAGGUUUUAGAGAAUAUAGGCCGUAUAAUAUAUUUUGGGAUUAGGAUCUUAAAGAUAUAUGCUUGAUUUAGGGAGAUUUAUUUGUUUGGUAUAUCAAUAUCGAACUGAAUAUGGAUAUUGUAGAGAUUGUGUGAGUUUGAAUACCAACUACUAAGGGAAAUAUAAUAAGUUAGAAUUAUAUAUCUUUCAAUAUAGAGAAAUUUGAAUGAUUGAGUUUUGCAUGUAAAGAAAUUUUUUAAAAUUGGCAUUGAUAGUUUGUGUUGAUAUGGAAAGAUCUUUGCGAGAUUUGGGCGAUAAUUAUCGAAUAGGUUACAAUAUUGUAUCUUUCCUAUUAAUAUAGGGUAAUAGGAAUUAAUAAGUUUUGCAUUUAAUUUGCCGUCUAAAUAUAUAUUUUUACAUUGGAAUGAACUGUUUCCGGUGAUAUGGUAAGAUUUUUGCGAGAUUUGAGUGUAAUUAAUCAAAAAAUUAAUUGCUAACUUAUUCCCGAUUUAGAAUAAGUAAAGAAUAUGCUUGAUUUGUUAUUAUAUGGAAUAGAAAUAAAUACGUUUUAUUUUAGGAAGUGUAAAUUAUGAGAUUUGUUUGUUAAAGCAAUAUACAGAGUAGUUGAUUGAUCCGGAAAAAUAGUUAUGGUAUUGUUUGAUUUGUGUUGCUAAUGUUUUUAUUUCGUAUUAUCUAUACAGAUUCGGAAAUUUGAAGUAAAAGGGAUUAACGAUGGGCCUGUAGGAAAUAUCUAAGCCCAAUAGGAAAUAUAGAAUCUCAUCGGGUCAGAUUCACAGACGCAAAAGAUCCGAGUGUAGGAUCCGGGAUCCGCGUCUCGCGUGCGGGAAUUUUACAAUUUUACCCCUCCACGCAAAUUUUUAUUUUGUCUUUGAAAUUUUAAUUGUAAUGGCAUUCUCUUGUAAUUAUUUACACUUGGUAAGGUUAUUUUUCAUGUAAUCCUUCCCAAUUAAUAGUAUAGAUAAUUAUGACUUGUGUGAAAUGAUUGUACGGUUUGAUAUAAGUUAAUGUUUUAGUUUAAUAGUUGAAUUAGUCAAACUAACUAUUAGAGGCAACGUACUAUGUACACGCAACAGUAAAUAAACAAGAAAAAUACCUUUUUCGUCAAAAUUUUAAAAAAUAGUUUAAAUCAUAUUGUUGACUCUAAAUUAAUUUUACACCAAUAAAUUGCAUGGAUUGAUAAUUUCUUAAUAAAUAAGAUAUGACUUUAAUUUCUUAUAAGCGAGAGGUUGCCAUUCAAACUUACCUUCAUUUGUUAAAUAUAGACUUGGCAAUAAAAAAUUGCAUGAACAGAAAAAUCCUCCAAUAUUAUUGCGAGGAAGAAAAUGACGUCUCUAUGACUCUAUAUAUGUACAUAUAUGGUACGUUAGACUAGGUACACAUGCAGCUUGAUAGAGAAGACGAAGAAGAAUGGGUUCGAAAAUAUUGAGUAUUGGUCUUAUUCUAUCUCUGUUUCUUCUUUGCUUCUCAUCUGAAAUUGGAGUCAUUGAGGCUACUAGCCGAAAAUUAGGUGAGUAAUUGAUUUCUAAAUCUUCUUUUAAUAUUAUCUUAGCUUCAUUUAUGUAUACACUUGUAAAGUUUGUGUUCAAACUUAAUAUAGAGAAAGCAAAAAUUGGCACUCCACCAUCUAAAACAUGCCGAGGUAAAACACGAGGAGGAGGAUCAUCUUCUCGAGGGUGGAGGAAGAGACCGUGUCCACGUCUUGCUUGAACAUCCACAAUAAACCCUUGAAUAAGAAGAAAAAAAAAAGAUCACUCGUUCAUGUUACGUUACCAGUGAAACUGUUGUGCACCUGCAGUGACUUUGAGUUAUCUCACACUGUUGUCCAUUUAUAUAUAUAGACCAAAUAUUCAUACAAUAAAUCUUCAAACUUUGAGUUAAAAUUAAACGAAAGAUACAGAUUUUUGUUUUGUUGUUUAUGUUGAACAAAAAUUAAAUGAAUGAUAAAUUAAAAAAAUAAAAUAAAAUAAAAAAUGUAACAAUGAAUAAAAGCAUUAGACACCAAAAAAUCUCGAGGUUAUCAUAAAUUGUCUAAAGCGGAUAAACUAUAUAGAAAAUUUUUCGAAUAAUCGAUCUAGAACUCUAACCACUAAAUAUGAUUGAGUAACUAUAAUUAAUGAUAUCAACGACGAGAUCUAAAAAUCAAGAAACUUAACCAUUGUACGUUUUAGUUCUAAGAGAUAAUCUACAUAAUUGUUCGAGUUAAUAUGUUGGGAUGACGAUGUAUUUCCCCCCCAUAACUUUCGUAUAGCACCACUUCCACCCAAAGUUUCACUCUCUCUCUCUUUCUCCCCAGAAUCAAAGUUCAAAAAUUAUUUCUCCCCAAAUCUAAAAUUCGAUACAUAUCUUCACAUAAUGGUUGGUUUACUGGGUUGACGACGUAAACCCGAUACGAAACCAAAAAACCCAUAGGCCAAACCGAAUUGAAAACCAGAAUCGAGUUAAUACCCGACCCGUAACCCGUGAUAUCAACAAUUGUUCAUAAAUCCCCAAAUUGAGAAAUCACAGAACCCUAAAAAAGCUUUGAAUUCAAAUCACCACAUCAAAGCUCCGAUAUCAAAUCAUCACAUCGAAGCUCUGAUUUCUUGCAUCACAUUGAAGAUUUCAAAGUAAUUUCAAUGACGCCUUGAUACACUUACGUAUUAACCGUCUUCCUCCUCGUUUGAAGUCAAAUCAUUAGGUGUCACAAGCGAAGACAAUAAAGGAAGAGAAGAAUCUCCCAAAAUGUAACGAGGAACCAAUACUCCAUUCCCAAGUUUGGUCGGAGCUCCAUUGAGAAUUAAACCCGAAUCUGUGAACAAGAGACUUGUAAAAAGCAUCGUGAGCGAGACAGAACAUUGUGACCAAGUUUGAAGAAAUGGAUGAUUGUUGUUAUUCUAUGUUGUAAGAUCUUGAUUGGUUAAAAAAAUGCUUGGUUGAUUCGAUUGUGAUCUAAUGAUGUUACUGAAAAAAAUGCAUUCAACAGAAAGAAAAAAAAAGAGAAAAUGGAAGUUAAAAUUGCAUUCAAUAUGCAUAUUUUGUCUCAGACCAAUAACAUAACAAAAAAUAGUUGAGAAGAAUGAAAAAUAGACCCUUAAAACAGACCAAAAGCUUUUACAAAAAAAUAGACCAAAAGCUUCUUCUACCCUCCCUCCAAGCUCAGUUCAAGCUCAUUUCCUGCGUGACAGUUCCUUGAGAAGGUUCACCUUGAGGAACCUGUAGUAACAACACAAAUAAAAUAAGUUAAACAAAGCAUAUAAAACAUAGUAUAUAGACACAUUAGAUAAUGAAACACAAACCUCUUUCUUCUUCUUAUGAAACCUAGAGUUGUGAUUAGCCGCACCACAUACCCCACAAUGCAUAACUCGUUUCAGAAGCUUUGGUUGCUUCUUUAAAGGAGACUCAUUUUUUCCUUUCUUUCUUUUCACCUUCUUACUCUUUUUUUUCCUGCCAGGCUGUGGAGGCUCAGGAGGUGGAUGCACUGGAGGAGCUGUUCUAACAGGCCAAAACCUUGCACCUCUUAAUGGAACUAGACCCUCUGUGUAGUUCCUCUUCCACUGGGCUGUACGAAACCAGUGGCAGACGUAAUCCUCGGCUUUAAGUUUCAACUUAAGGAUAACACCAUAUGCAUGUACACAUGGGAUUCCUGUGAUCUCCCAUUUCCUACAGCUACAAGUCCUCUGAUUCAAACUCACACGGUAAGAACAACCAGACAACAUAGCUAAAAACAUUUUAUUUGUACUUCUGUGAACCUUAACUUCUGCAGCAUCUUCAAGCUCUUUUGCAAGAUAUGCUUCCACAUAUGGUGUACAUAAACCCUUGUGAUCAUGAGAUUUAACACUUCUUUUGGCAAUACGUACCAUUGCAAGUCGAGCAAUCAUUUCUAACAUAGGCACCAGUGGCUUCUCUCUUGCUUUGACUAUCGUAUUGUUAAAUGAUUCUGUGGAGUUGUUCUCAACAUCUUCAACAUAGUGGCCAAUUUUGUAGAAAGCUCUACACCAACUCAUUGGGUUCUACUUCAUCACAUCCUCAUAAACACCCAUAUCAUAUUGCUUCAAUUUCUCUAGGUUUUCUCUAUACUCAGCCUCAUUGUAACUCCAUGCUAGAUUCCAGAUAAAAGGCUUCAUCUGUGAUUUCUUACCAUGAUUUGCCUUUAAAUUUCCAUAUAUGUGUCUCACACACAUCCUAUGUUCAAUAUGGGGUAACUCUAUCUCCACAGCUCUAAUCAAUCCCUGUCACUGUCGGGAAUGACAUCGUGACGAAUACACGGCUCAUCAAUGAAUUCGAUUACUGCUUGCUCGAUGUUGAAAUCAUUUCGUGCGGUUUGGUCUUCUAGAUUUUCAUCAUCGGGUUCCUCAUCAAUAGGAACAUCGUUCAUCUCGCUCUCUAGAACUGACAUCGAUGAAGAUCAAUGAACUUGCAGGUUUUGGUUUCGUGAGGAAGGGUUUUUGAUAUGGGGACAUUUAUAAGUUGAGGGAUUUUAUGAUUUGGGUAUUUAAUCGGGUUUGGGUUUCGAGUUAAAUUUGUUUAGGUUUGGUUUAAGUUUGUUUAUGCUGGUUAAAACAAGAUUAGUCUACAGUAAACCAACAUUAACCCAACUUUAUGUGAAAAUUAGUUUUGAACUUUCAUUUUAUGUUGAAAUAGGUUUUUAACUUUAUAUCUAGGGAGAAAUAAUUGUAGAACUAUGAUUCUGGGGAAAAAUAGAGAGAGUGUAAAACUUUGGGUGGAAGUGAUGUUAUACGAAAGUUUUGGGGGGGAAUUACCUUGUCGUUCCUAAUAUGUUUACAAACUGUCUUAGAAAUAUAUAAAGCCCUUUUAGAGAAGUUUUGCUCAUCUAUGUUAUUUUCGAAAAUUUAUCUAACACAUUUAGUGCGUUAAUUCACGUAAAACCAUAACCUAGCUACCAACCCCGGUUCUAAAUAUAUUUGGACAUUUGGGCAAAAAAAAUUUUUUUGGAUUUUUUUGAAUUUUUGGUUAAAAUCGGGACUAUUUUGUAAAUAACUUUUGUCUUAUUUUAAAUUUUCAAAAAAAUAUACAGGCCUUUUUAUGUAAAAGAAUAUAAUUUUGAAAAUUUUGGGCCUAUUUAUUAGAAAAUUUCAUGUCUAUUUGCAAUUGUUUUUCAAAUAUGGGCCUUUUUCAUAAAUGUUUUUAACAAAAAUCUAUGGUCCCCUCGGCCACUGCCCCUCUGUCCACUCUUUUUGGUCCGGGCCUACUAGCUACUUACUUUAAUUUUUGCAUUGUGAUUUACUAGUGACAAAAAAUUCUUAAGAGUAAUGUUGUAAAUCCUAUCUUUAAUAUAUUCGAUUUUCUCUGAUUGUUUGCUCAGAUCUCACAAAUCGAUUUAGAACCUCAGCUCAAGAACACGAUUAAACAAGAAACAAUAAAGAACCUGAAACUCAAUUUGUUAACCCGAUUCAGCGAGAUCGUUGUGAUCACGCCUACAUCCGGAGCCGAAUCAAUCCGGCAAAUUCACUAGAAUAAGAAGGAAUCAGCUCAAAUCCGACCUUACAAUAGUCAAACAAUGGUGGUUCUCUUUGCUCUCUCUCACUCGAUACAAGAACAAAGAAAUAUGAAAGUGAUUAUGAAGUUAAUGAAGAAGAAACUUAUAUCAUGUAUGAUGUAUCUCUGUAUAAAACAUAAGACCCUCCAGGGGCGGAUUUAGAACUAUAUUUAGUAUAGGGCAUUGUUAUAACUAAUAAUUAAAUUAUAGAGCAUUUAAAUAAAUUUUACACUAGUUAUUCAAGAAAAUUAAAAAUUUAGAGUGGGGCAUAUGCCACACCUAGUCUCUUCUUGCAUCCGCCUUCACUGCAGUUUAAGAUUUCUCUUGACUUUAUCACAUUUGUCGGUUUAAUCAGCAAUCUCCAAAACCGGAAAUAACCACAUGGUUCAACUCUUAUUGAUCCAAUCAGACCGACGAGACCAACCUGAAAUUGAAUCAGACAUAUAAACCAUGACACUCCACCUUGAUUCAAUUUCCUUCCUUCUAUAGCAAAUUUGCACUGACCAUGGAUUUAACCUCCGGCAAAGACGACUUCUCGUUAUAUUUAGAAUUUGAAUCAGUCAUAUGCCACUGCCAGCUUGCCACUCAAUACAAAAUUAUAGUAAAAACUGGUCGUUACUAUAAAUAAUUAUUAUCUUGGAUUUUCUUCGCGAUAUUCGAUUUUUAUGUUUAUUUGAGUUUAUUAGGCUUUAUUGUAUAUAUUGUUAGAACUUAUUUUGAUUAGUUGCGCUGGACUAUUUUUUCAGGUAAUUUUCAAAAUUGAAGUUCGUUUGAAUGAGAAAUGGAGAUCCAAAAUAAUUAGCUUGAAAAGCUUAAGAUUUUGACUAAAGGUCAAAGUGAUUAUUUUGGAUGUUAGAGGAGAAACCCAAAUACACAUGGGCUGGAUUUGGGUUUGAGACAUGGGGUUUUGACUUGUGUUAGUCAAACACAAUUGUCUUCUCCUUUAAUUUGAUUUUGUAACAUUUGUGUUAAUGACAAAAUCAAUUAGAAAUGUGUAACCUAUGAGCAUUGAUCAUGAGAUUAAUGGUGGAAGAUUUCCUCUCUCCAAGCAAGACAUUAAAUGUCUUGACCUAGUCUCCAAAUCUUUUGUAGACUAUAAAAGAGAGAGUCUUGGGUCUCAUUCAUAUGAUGGAUCAAAAAGAUCACAAUCUCUUUCCUCAUCUUUUCUCUAGUUAUCGAGUCUGAGAGUAUACACAUCACUAGAGUUCGUUAGCCUUCUGAUUUUGAGUGUUGCAAAUCAGAAGAUGGUGCGGUUGUAUCCUGAGAUUCUGAUUGCAUCAAACCGUCACAUUAUGGACAAUUAAAGAAUUAAGGAAAGACUGUCUCGCCUCCAUACAAACUGUUCUUUUUUAUCAAAUAUUGAUAUCGUUGCUGUAUUUUUAUUAUGGUUUUUAUCAUCAUCUAUUACAAUCAUUCAGUUUUGCCACAUCGUAGAAAUCGUUGUCUUACUUAUGUUGGUUGGAUUUAUACGGAAUUUGAAUUGAUCACGAACUAGAGUAAAAUUCAACACGCCUUCUUUUUCAUAUCGAUUUUGUUUUGCGGAAUAACGAAGGGAGAAAAAAAAAAGUAAUCUGGAAAUUAGAAAAAAUACAUUGAAUACCAAUAUAACUACUUUUUCUUGUGAUCUACGUCUUUGAGGAGACAACAUUCCCAUAAUAUAUUUAUCAAAGUACAAGAGCUUACAAAAAACAACACUGAUGAAUUUCAAUAUAUAUAACCGCGAAGGAGAUGAAGCUUUAAUUUGUUUAAUAUUAGAAGAAAAAAGUGCCAUUAUUCUAAAACGGUUCCUAAAUCCUAACAACCCGUUUGCAAGUGACUCCCUCGUAAGCUACUUAAUGCCCCAAUUCUGUUAAUGCUCUAUAAAGUCUCUGAGUUCCAUUUGGGUAAAACUUGACCUCUCCUCCAGCAAGAGUAUUCUCCACACAAGGGCUAUUUAAUCCAAUGAUACAAUUUGAAUUACGUAAUGAAAAUAAAAAUAUGAAAAUUAAUUAACAAAAUAUAAAUAAUGAAUUGAAAAGUUACAUAUUAUAUAAAAAUGAUUAAAAUCAUACAAAAAUGAUAUCUGGACAUUAGAAAAGUAACAUACAUAAUAACCAAAUAGCUAAAUCUACUAGUCUGGCAUCUGCAAUAUGAAGAAAAAUUCGUAAAUAGCCUCAAUUUUUUUUUUUUUUUUUUUGACGAAAAAUUACCUCAAAAUCUUUAUAUUGAACAUCAUUAUCCUCCUUCAUUUCCGUCAUCACCUCAUUGCUUUACGAGAUGUUUCGUCCCUUGAUGCUUUUCUUGUCAGAUGAAUUUUCCCCAAAACGUUCCAAUCAUGGAACUCGGAGUGAUCGAGGAUGAAGUGGCACCGCCUUCGGAAUGAAUUCUAAGUCGUACCGACGGCCUUAUUCACUAAAACACUCUUUACAAAAAGUUAUAAUAGGGAGAAUUAAUAGUUAGAAACUAGUUAACUCACCAAGAUAGAAAAAAUUUACUUACUGAUUGGUAGACCUUGUCCAAAUUGGUUUUUGAUAUCUUUCGGGAUUGGAUUAACUUGACUGCAUGAAUCCUCAGAGAGCGAAAGCUUAGAUAAUUUCUUGUUAACCUUCUUCUUGACAACCUUGAUGAUGGUGUACUAAUUAAACCUUCUCGUUGACAAUUGUUCUGUUGGACUUCCUCUUAGAAGUCACCUUUAGAAGGGUGAUAUGAGGUAAUCUUUAGAAGCGUGGUAUGAGGAAGAAGUUCUCUUCUUCUUCUUCAAUCUCGAGCCAAUCCGCAUUUUCUCCCGCGAGCCCGAGUUGCUCGUGUGCGGCCAAAGCAUCCGCCGGGUCCAGACUUGUGAGCCCUAGCCGCUCGUCUCUGAUCAGUCGUCGUUCACUUUCUCCGCUUCUUCCUUGCUUCGCUGCCAGUGUGUGUGUGAGGAGAUAUAGAUAUCCAAGCUUCUAGUGUCUGAGAGAUGGAUCCAUAAUCUAGAUCUAAACCCUAAAGUUCCUAAAUCUUACAUCUCUGAAACCUUAGUUGUCAAAACUACUAGAUUUAAAAAAUGUGGUACAUUUGGCAAAAAUCCAUUUUUAUAAAACCAUUUGAUAUUAAUUUUAUAAUAAUAAGUUACAUGAUUUUGUGAUAAAAGAAAGUAUAUGUUGCAUACAAACGAUUUAAACAUUAAGCUAAUACAUUUCCAUUUUUUAUGAUUCAAGCUAACCAUAAGUUAAAAUUUUGUCUGAUUAAUAUUGUAUCAAUUAUAGUUUGCUUUUGUAUGUCAAACAAUAUUUUAGAAUUAAGCAACCUGGUUUGGUUUGAUCUUUGCAAUUUUCCAAUAUUAAAAACUUGGCACAAAAGCAUUUGAUAUUAAUUUUAUGGUAAUAUGUUGCAUACAAAUGAUAUGAUUAUGUGCUAAAAGAUAUGUAGAAUACAAAUUAUUUCAAAUAAGAUAAAUACAUUUCCAAAUUUUUUUAUGGAAAUUGUUUUAGUGUAUAAAAAGAAAAUAUGAUUAUUGGUCCAAAAAGAUAUGUGAUAAAAUAUUGUAUAAAUAUUUUACUUUUAUAUGUCAAAUAAAGUUCUCAUUUAUGAUCAUAUUAAAGUUCGUCAAAUCUUGAACUGAAAUAUCAUUAGAUUUUUUACAUUUUAAAUUUCAAUGAUGGCAAAAAGAAGUCCUCCAAUCUCACAUUUGCUUUUUGCGGAUGAUAGUCUCUUUUUCUGUAAAGCAGAUACAGAGCAGUGUAAAACGGUGAUGGAUAUUAUUGGAAAUUAUGGCAAAGCUUCAGGGCAAGAGAUAAAUUUCAAUAAAUCUUCGGUCAUAUUUGGUAAGCGUGUAGCACACCAAAAGAAAGAUGAACUAAAACAUUUCCUUGGUAUUACUAAGGAAGGUGGAAUGGAUACUUAUUUGGGUAUACCAGAGAGCCUAGGGGGCUCAAAAAAUAAAAUCUUUAAUUACGUUCGGGAAAGACUUAAUGAACGGAUUAAUGGUUGGUCAGCUAAAUAUCUGUCAAAAGGUGGGAAAGAGACUAUGAUCAAGUCUGUUGCUUUGGCUCUCCCAACAUAUGUUAUGUCUUGUUUUAAACUUCCUCAAGAGUUAACAUCUAAGUUAACAAGUGCUAUUUCUAAUUAUUGGUGGAGUUCUAAUGGGAAAGACCGUGGAAUUCAUUGGAUAGCAUGGGAAAAAAUGUGUAUGGAUAAAGAAGAAGGAGGUUUGAGUUUUCAUUCUCUAGAUACAUUUAAUGAUGCCAUGUUGGCUAAACAGUAUUAGAGGUUAAUCCAGUAUCCAAACUCAUUAGUAGCUCGAGUGUUAAAAGGUAGAUAUUUUAGGAAUGUUCAUCCUUUAAAUGCUAAAAAGCCAAACUCUCCAUCGUUUGGAUGGAAGAGUUUUUUUUCUACUAAAAGACUCGUUGAAAUGGGUGCAAGAUGGUCUCUUGGUUCGGGUUUUAACAUAUCGGUAUGGAGAGAUCCUUGGAUUCCCGAUGUUAAUCCACGCCCCGCAAAUGGCAGAGGGAAUUUGUUGCUUCCAAGCCUAAUGGUUAACCAUUUAAUUAAUCCGGUUACUAAAGAAUGGCACCUCCCAAUUUUAUAAGAAUUCUUGGAUCCGGUGGAUAUUCAAAUUAUUAGUGGACUAGCUAUUAGUCAAGUUUAUAAACCAGAUAGGCUUAUUUGGCAUUAUACAAAAUCAGGAAAAUAUACAGUAAAAUCAGGAUAUCGGCUUGCUCGAAGUUUGACAGAAACGACCGAAUGGGGUCCAAAUUAUAGAAAAUUACAAGCACAAGUUUGGAAAGUCAAAGCUCCACCAAAAAUAAAACAUUUCUUAUGGCAAAUUGCUUCGGGAUCCUUGGCAGUUACCUCAAAAUUAGCACAACGAGGGAUUCAUUGUGAUAUUAUCUGUAAAAGGUGUGAGACGGCAGAGGAAACAAUAAAUCAUGUUUUAUUUGAAUGUUCUCAUUCUAAAAAAAUAUGGGAAUUAUCCACAAUACCUAUGGUUUCAGGUUCUUUUCCUCUAAGCUCGGAAUUUUCAAAUCUAGAUUAUCUUUACUGGAGGUUACCACCUCCUCUAGAUGGGGGAGAAAGAACUAAUUGUUUUGCUUGGAUUUUGUGGUUCAUAUGGAAAGACAGGAAUAAAAAAGUUUUCAAAGGAAUUCAAUCUGAUCCCACAGAUAUUUUAAAUCACGCUUUGAACGAAAAAUUAAUGUGGGAAGAUGCUCAAUUGGAACCGAUCGAAACUAGUAUUGAUACGGAAAUUUUGGAAAGCCCUAUCCAAUCUAUAAGAUGUCGGAUUGAUGGCUCUUGGAAAUCUUCGGAUCCAACUAUGGGUAUAGGAUGGUGGUGUUUUCAAGGAAAUGAUCAAACGAUACUACUUGGUGCAAAGUGCCUCCGGAGAUCCCCCUCCCCCCUUCACUCGGAGAUGGAAGCGUUAAUUUGGGCCAUGAAGAAUGUCUUUUCAAGAAGGAUUGAUUGUCAGGCGUUUGAAACAGAUUGUUCAGAGUUAGUCUCGAUGGUACAAUCACCUGAAAAAUGGCCCGCUUUCUCUAAUCUGCUAGAUGCUUUUGGACUGCUCCGUGACUCUUUCCCCUUAUUCUCGCUUUCUCUUAUACCUCGUUUAUGUAAUGUUAAGGCGGACUGCUUAGCCCGUUCUUCUAGACUUUUAUUUUCCGAAGUUACUUUUGUAAACACUACUCCUCCUAAUUGGGCAACCAAUCAAGGUGUUAUUUAAUAAUUAAUGUGUGGUUGACAAAAAAAAAAAAAAAAUUCAAUUAAUAAUAUAUUAUUAUAGUUAAAAAAAUAAAAAUAUCCAGCAGAGAUACACUACUCAUUAAAGUAUUAUAAAAGAAUGAAAGUCUAUAUAUAUGCUUAUGACGCAAUUUCUUACAAUAUCUGUAAUUGGAGACUCAAACAUCUCUGACGGUUGAUUAAUUUUUUUUCUCUCUCUCGCUUCUACCUGUUCGCCCUAGCCGUCAAAGCCAUUUUCUUCCUCUCUUGGCCGGCGAUUGGUGGCUUCCAUAGCACGGUCGCCCGUCCCGUUCACCGUAGUUUCAGCUUCUUCUCAUUAGUUCAUCUUUGUUGUUAAUUUUGCUUCUCAAACCCUAGUUUCGCCGUCUCCUCCCAUUGUCCUUUCCUCCCUUCUUUGGUGGUUCCGACGUGGUGACUAUCAUGGAGGAUGGGUGGCGUAUUGGUGAUCUUCGUAGACGGAUCUGUUCCCCGGUGGAACUGUCUCGUUUUCUCCGAUCUGGUUAUAGAGGUCUGUGUUUUCCGAUCUGUUUCUAGUGUCUCAACAUUCAGCUCUGUUCUCGUUGGUUGGGGAAUCGGGAGUUGAUUUGUUGCAUGUUCCGGCUGGUUCCGAGGUGGAUCUGAAGAGUUCAAGUCCUGGAUUUUGUUGGCUUUGCGGUGGUGCUGUCUCUUGUGAGGCGUGUAUUUAGCCGGCGUUUCGUUUCCAUGACUUGUUUCUGAACAUCCUUUUGGUGUUGCAGCAACGGCCUCUUUGUGUGCGGAUUCUUCCUCUGUUAGUGAGUUUGGAUGACUUCUAGGGUUUGUGUUAUGCUGUGUUUUUCGAUUUGUUGUGAUUUGAAGCCUUAGGUUCAGCUUUUGGGUUGGCUUGUUUGACUCCUUGCUCUGCCUCUCUCUCUGUCCUCCUCUUGGUUUUCGGUGUGGUGAUUUGGCGAUAGGUUCUGUUUUGUGGGUUCUCCAUUCAGAUGCUAGCUUUCUACAAUGGCAUCUACUAGCUCUCUGUUGGAACCUCGUUUGGUUUCUCGGCUGAGUUCUGGACGUUGUGGUGGGUCGAUCCCUUGUCCUUCUCUUUGCGUGGCGUAACCAGUUUUUAGUCUGUAGGUGGCUUUGGCUGGGUCUACGAAGGUCCGUGUGUAAGGAUGGUUGGUCCUAUUUGGCGUUUCCCCUCUCGGAUCUCAAGGUUUUCCUUGAUCCUCCGCUUUCUCAUUCUCAUUGGCUCUAAAGUGGUGGUGGUGGUUAGGUUCUGUGUUCUGAUCUUCUUGCUUCGUCGUCUUCGUUUCUGCUGUGGAGAUGGUUGUGUGAGCUCGUUUAGUUUCCUUCUCGAGGCUCCUGUCUGUUGUCUCUCCAUGGCGUAAAACUGUUCUAUGGAAGUGUUAGUCGACUGCUUGUAGGGAAGAGUUGUCAGUGUUGUGGCUUUGGAGGCUUUAGCUAUUAUUCCUUUAGUUGUAAUCUUUGUAUCGUUAGGCUUGAUAUGUUUGUCUGCCUCUUAUGGCCUUAUGUCUCUGGGGGUUUCUAUGUACCUGCCGGCUUUGUCUCCGAAAGGUUUCCGUUCCUUAUCGGCUUUGUAUACCUUAAAAUCGCAUUCUAUCAAUGAAAUCCUUUAGACGAAAAAAAAAAAAAAAAGACUCAAACAUCUCUAAUCUUCUUUGUGCUCCCUUCAACAUUAGAGAAUUAUGACUCACCAUAAAUCUUGUUGCAUUAGGUUGAGGCUUGUCCUCAAAGAGCCUGCGUUGGUGGUCCCAGUUUGUGUUUUUUUGUUUUUGAUAAUAUGUGAAUUUAUAUACCAAAAAGGAACGAAUGUUGUUUACUACAGCUUGGCGAAGCUAAAUGGUUUCUAAAGGCCCAAAAAAGAAUAAAAAAGCCUAAUCGAAACAAGAAAAAUAAUAACCAUAACCACUUAACCAAUUACUCAAAAGAGAACCAGAGGGAGAGAAGAUUCCUGAAUCUUUUCCGUUGAAUGCGGGCAAGAAUGAUGUCUCUUAUGCAUCGGUCAAUUUUCUUGAACAAUUGAGAGUCAGAAGUAACGGUGCCGUUGUGGAGCCGGUUGUUUCGCUCUUUCCAGAUGAAGAAGAUUGUUUCUUGCGUUGUUAUACACUUCAGAGUUGUUGCUUGAGACGCUGGUGAUGACAGCCAAGAAAUGAGACAGGACCAGUCCGUUAUGUUGUAACCGGGCUGGCCGAGACGUGUAAGAAUCUGAUUCCAAAUCUGAAUACUAUAAUCACAGUGAAGCAAAAGAUGAUCACGUGUCUCCGAUUGCUGGUUGCAAAGGCAACAAGAUAUAUCUGUAGUAAUACCCCACUUUGCCAAUCUAGAUCGGACCGGUAGCCUGUCAAGAUGAGACACCCAAAACGUGAAAGCAUGUUUGGGAAUGUAGCCUUGGAACCAAACUAUUUUUGCCCAUGGUUGAUAUUGACUCGUUGGACGGAGCCCCAGUUUGUGUUUUAUUAUUCACCGUCUUGUAUAUUUGGGGUGUCUUAUAUAUGACUCGGCCAAAAGUUAUAAUAGCUUCUAUGAAUUUUACUAUAACAGAGAAUCCUACUAGUGCGAUGUGGGAUUUACUUAUCAGAACUCCCCAAAAUCUUCCUGGUUACUACAUCUGUCUCGAAGGAGACCUUCAAGCUUUUUUAAUUUACAAACAUGUUGUCGUUGCUACUUCAGUCCCUCAAAGGUUACAAUAACUUUUCUGUUAAGCCGAUUUAUCUUAGUUUGUUGUUUCUUUAUUCUCAAAAGCAGAAUCAUUUAGGGAAUUUAUAAACUCUAUUAAGCCGAUCCCGAUACCUGAGGAGACCAGGAUCCGAUACGAUCCCUGUUGAUGAGGAUCUAGAUACCAUGUUCAUUCCAGAUCUGAAGAAGGAUGUGAUAUGUGGACUCUCUACAUGCUUUUAGAGCUAAGUGUAUCGGAAGACUAAGAAAGUGUGUAGAUAGCUAGAUUGCAUGUUACCAAGGUUGGUAGAUGUUGGGGCAUGGUUGUUGAUAAUUGAUGAUUGUUUGAUUGUUAAGGUCAUGUAUGAUAUUUCUAGGUUGUUAGAUUCCAUGUAGCUGGUCUUUUUUUUUUUUUUAUGGGAAGGAACACUGGGACUAAUGAAUGUUUAGGGUUAUGUGGACAGAUAUAAUCAUUCUACUGAGUAAACUCACACAUCUCAAAAUUAAAUGUAAAUAAGAUUUCUAAAGAAUUAUGUAUCAAAAUAGUCGGUAGUGAUGAUGAGCAUUAAAAUAGUCGGUAGUGAUGAUGGGAAGUACAUGUAUUAUACUUGAUUCGGUGGGAAAGGCCGAAAGGGUGUCACAGUCAUCAUCUUCGUUAGUAACUUAGUAUUAAUUCAUGAACAAACUCAGGAAAGAAAAUAUUACUAUAACAUUUCGAUACAAACCAUAAAAUCAAUACUUAAAAAUGAAAACGUAUUGCCAAAGAAAAAUAUCAGAGAUGAAAAGAUAUUACUACUUGAAAAAGAAAGAAAAUAUAAUGAUCGCGUUAUUGUCUAUAUUUUUUCUAUAAUAAAAAGUCAAUUUUCAAAGUUUUGAAAACAUGAAUUGUUUUUAAAAAUAUAAGAAAUUACUAGAUUAUUUUACAAAAUCUCCCUUAACAAUUCAACUAAAAACAUUUGACCUAUAUAUUUUCUUUUGUUUGAAAAAUAAUUUGACCUGAAUAUGACGGAAACUUAAAUUGAUUAGAUACAAUAAUGGCAUAUUGGCCAAAAUCAAUAGCAAAUGAAUUUUAAAUUUACAAUUCAAUCUAGGAUAAAAUUCAAUAUCCUUUCAUAAUGAUAUACGGUCAGAAUUUCGAAACAAAUUGUGCAGUUAUUUUCAAUGGUAUAGUCUUUUGAAAACUUGCAUGCUUUCUCCAAUCUACUAGAUGAGUUGGUCUGCUUCGUUCCUAAUUUGUUAAUUUUCCAUAGUUGUUAUCUACAAGACAACUGCUUAACCAAGUCUUGUCGAUUUAUUUUUUUCUGAUAUAUCCUUUAUAGCUACUUAUCCUCCUAAUUAGCCCACCAAUUAAGAAAUAGUUUUCUAAUGAAUAUGUUUGGAAAAAGAAAAUCUAGUAUGAAGUGGCAGUUUAGAUGGAAAUAACUAAUUUUAUUAUUAUAUAUUUGAUAUUUAUCUCUGACCCGUAAAAAGUAGUUUUAGUUGCCUUUUUAAUAAACUACAAAAAUUUAUAAGCCCACGGAAGCAAAACUUUUGUUUUUAUGUUUUCAGAUGUAAAUUAUGUUCAUUCUUAGCGUUGUAUUAAAUAAGAUAUUAACUCUUGAGUUGAAUUAGUCGUUUCUUUUGAUUCAUAUAUAAUAACAUUGACGGUGGAAACACUCUUCUUCGUCCAUAAACUAUAUAUCGAUGUCGACAUGUUCCCUAUUAUACUCUAUAUGAUAAUUUAUACAACGUAAUAACCAAGAAAUUGCAUAUUGCAAAGAAAGUCAUAAUCCCUUAUAUAUUAAUUGAGAAGCAUUUUUAAAAAAUAACCUUACCCUCAUGUGUGAUUAACGAAAAUGCCAUGCUGACGUGUCGUUCUCACAGAGCUUCUCAAUCCAUUUAAUUAAAGACCCAACAUUUAUUAGGAUAUUUACAGAUUUUGCCAUUAGUUUUAGUUAUGUUUAUUUUUCUAAUUAAUUUAUGCUUUUUAUUUAGCUCAAUUAAUUAAAACGAAAAUACAAUUAAAAUAUGUAAUGAAGAGAUACAAAUCUAUACAAAAUGGAGUACCUAAUAUUUUGUGUAUCUAUUAAUAUAACAAGAUAUAUAUCAUGAAUCAUGAUAAACACAAAACAUUAAUACAUAAAUAAAAAAUUUCACUAAUCUUGAUAAUUAUUAAUACACUAUUGUUUAUCUAAUAAUAUAAAAUUCGAACACCUUCAAUAUAAUUAAUACAUUAAAAUAUAUCUAAUAAUCGUUUUGUCCCGCACAUAGUGCGGGUUAUUAUCUAGUUGGAUUAUUAUUGUAAGAAGUCUAUCUUUUGUUCAAUAGCUUAUAUAUAAACCGGUCUAGUACUACUGCUAAGAAAACAUAAAUCGCCUUAAUAUACAUGCAAAGUUACAUGACAUAUACAAGAAGAAUGAGUUUAAAAAUGUCAAGCAAUACUCUUCUUCUAUCUUUGUUCCUUUUACUUCUCUGUCUCUUUUCAGAAACUGGAGGGAGAGAGACCAGUCACCGGAGAUUAGGUCAGUGCCUCUUAUAUAUGUUUUUAUUUCUAUUCACUUGUUUUAUAUAUCACUAUAGCUCAAGUUUUCACUGAAUUCGUUUUCACCUGUAAAGAAGAUGUUCCCUUUAUAAUAGCAAACUAGAUUUUAACCCGCGGUACACCGCGGGAUGAUUUAAUUUUAAAGUUAGUAUAAAAUAUUUUGUAAAUUGUAUCUCCUUAUAACAUAUUUAUUUAUAUUAUAGUUUACAAUUGUUAUUAAGUAACGGUAUAUCACGAGUCCACGAGAUAAUUAUUAAAAAACUGAGGAUUUAACCCGUAUUAAAGCGGUAUAUAAAUAUUGAUUCAAAUUUGGCCGCCAUAUAAAUCAUUUCCGAAAUAUAACCUUUUCUGUAAUUUCUUAACCCGUCCUGUGAUUUGUAUUAAAAAAUAAGGAUUAAACCCGUAUUGAAGCGGCGGAUUAAUGAUAUUUUAAUCUUUUUAUUAUUGUUGAUUCAAAAACCCGUCCCGCCAAACCCAUCCCGCCAAAAAACUCAUUUAUUUUAUUAAUGUUCUUAUUUAUGAUAUGAUUCUGAAUCAUUGUCUAAAUAUUUUAAUCGAUGUAGAACGUUGAACACACAUUUUUGUCAAUUGGAUAAUAUAUGUCCGUUUUUUAAAAUUUCGAAUCACAGUAUAUGCAGAAAAAAAAUUGAUUUUUUUUUUUACUUUAUGUAUUAUAUGAUGAUUCAAAACAGUUAAAAACAAAUCAAACAAAGAUGAUAGGAGAAUCAUAAUUAUAAAUCUUAAUCAAAUCUUCUAAAAAUCUAAAUUAUUAAAUAUGGAAUAUCCGGUGUAUGAGUUGGGUUAAAUAUAACCUGACCCAACAAAUGUUUUGUGAAGGAAUUUUUAAAAUGGGUCGGAUAUCCGAUAUACCCGAAAGUUUUUUUAUCCACCCGUCACAAAAAGUGCUGCGAUUAUACUAGUAUAGAUGAUCAAUUAUUAUCUAUAUAUAAAAUAGAUGUACGAAAUUAAUGUAAACCAAUUAUAGAGAUAAUUGUAUUAAAGUUAUUCGACAAUUAUGCGUCAAUUUGAAAGUACCAAUUUUAUAUACUUUUAAAAUACAAUUUCUCUUCUGUAGAAUUAUAUCAGCCAAAUAGAAACUUAAGUUUAUUUAUUUUUUUGUACAAUCAAUAAUCAAUAAAAAUGAAAUUAAAAAAAUUCACAUAUAUUUAAAAAAAUUAAUGUAGAAUAUAAAUGUAUAUCAUAAUUUGUCAGUCAUAGUUGCAUGUAAAUGAUAUAUGUGGUUUGCAUUCAUUUUCAUUCAAUUAUAAAGUUGUUCUAUGAUGCUUCAAAAUGCUCUUUAAUGAAAUUAUAACCUUUUGAGUACUUUUCCAUUAUUUUCUAAUAACUAUGAGGUUAUGGGCAUAGGCGUGUAAAUCCUCUCACGUGAGAGAUGAGAGCAUUUAAUAUAGUUCUCUCUCAAGUGCCACUGGAACCAAAGAUUUUUAGGUUUUGUAAUCGAUACUGUAGGGGUUAUUAUCAAUUUGGGGCUUUGUUGGGCUCAAACUUUCAGUUUGAGAAUUUAUUACACAGCCUUUCAAUUUGAGUAUUUUUGAGCUAAAGAAAAAGACAUUUUUACCCAUGUCUUCUUCAUCUCUUUCUCCUUCUUCUCCCAACCACAAUCACAACCACCGUAAUUCUUUUCUUCUCCGACGAGACUACUCGAUUUCCGACAACAAUCAUCACUAGUCUUGCUCCGUUGAAUCCAUCACCGUCAUCAUUUUCAACGCCAUCAACACCAUCUCCUUCUUCUCCUCCGAUUUCCUCCGUCACUAACACCGAUCUCCUCCGAUAAACUCAUUCAAUUGAUUUUGUUUUGAAUAAAGGGAGCUAAACCCUAAGGGAAUCAUGUCUACUAAACCCAAGGGCUCUCAUCAUAGAGAUUGAUGGAAUCAAAACUUCCAAUUUAUUAUCAAAUGUAAACCAAAAUUGAAAAAUCCAAAACACAAAACAUCUCUGCUACCAACACCAUUUCAAUCCGAUGAGUUCAAAUUGAUUACGUUUUAAAUAAAAGAAUCUAAACCCUAAGAGGAUUGUAUCUAAUUAACCCAAGGGCUCCAAUUGAAAACAUCAACCCAAUCAAAAAUUUCAAUUCUAUCUUUAAAUCUAAACAAAUUUGGGCAUCAAAUCUUAUCAUCUCAUCAGCGUCACCACCAUCUCGUUCACCAUAGCUCAUCAUUCUCAUUGGAUCUCAACAUCUUCACCACCAUCUCCUUGGAUUUCAUCAUCACCACCAUCUCUUUUCGUCAUAUCGUCCACAGAGAGGAAAAAACAAAAAAAAUUCUUCAGCUAUUGGUAAGGGUACAUGAGGAGCGUAAGCGUGAGGGCAAGAUGGACAUUUCCUCGCAGGUAGAAAUGCUUAAAACGAAAGUCCCGGCACACGUACCGGAUUUCGUAAGUUUGGCUGAAAAAAGGCCCAAUCCGGUAAUUUAAUCGAUACUUUAUUUGUUGAGCUAUUGACACUUGGGUAAUUUAUCAUUAAUAUUAGUAGAUAAAGUUUUUAGUAUACUAUUAUAAUUAAAAAAUUAGAAAGAGUAUUGAAAUAUAUAUUAUUCUUUUUGACUAAAUCAAAGUUAUAUAUUCAAUAAAUUUAAAACAAAAUUUAUAAAUACUUUUUAAAACCAUUGAGUUAACUUGGUUAUAAUAUUUUUAAUAAUAUUUUUUGUUUUUUUUUGUAGUGCUUUAUAAGCUAGAACAUAUUUAUCAUGUUAUGGUUUAUAUCUAUGAUAUUAUUAUUUAUAUUUGUAUUAUAAUAUUCGAAAUUAGUUGUAUAUAUUUGACUUAUUUUAUCUAAUUAAUAUAAACCAUGUGCGAAUUCAAAGGUUUUCAUUUUGUAUCAAUGUUAUUCAUUUACAACUCUCCUGCUCAUUGUUUGGUAAACAUACUGUUUAAGUGUUGUUUUGCGGCCUAAAUUGUUUUUAUGUUUGUUUUUUGAUUUUCAAUCCAGAUCUUUGAUAAAUAUUUCAGUUUUAGUCCUACUAUUUUAAUGUAGUGGCAAUGAAAUUUUUUUAUAUAGUUUACUUUUAAGGAGUAAAACCGAAAAAAAAGAAAGAAACUGUUGUGUAAAAAAGCUUUAGAUGACACUUAAACUGAAAUAGAAGGAGUAAUAUUGUUAGAGAAUAUAUUGAUUUUUAUAAAACAAAAAGCGUUAAUAUUUACAAACAACAAUAUAUAAACAUUUUGUCUAUGUUUAAAUAUCCUUUAUCUUUACCUGGUAUUGUACUAACAUGUAGAACGAUUUUAGAGAAACAUGUGCCUCCUCAUGUUGAAUCAUUGAGUACCGAAUAUAACCAAAUAACCAAACAUAACUGCGAUCUAAAAUGUUAUCAAAUACAUCAGCAUAUAUCGAGUUUACACGAAUAAUGUUUUGUUGUUUUGCUUUAUUACCGUAUUAUAUAUUGCACUAAUAAAAACUUAUGUAUAUAUAGUAUUAUAUAUAAUAAAAUCAAUUAGAAAAUUUAACUAAAAUAGAUACUUACCACUUAUCAUCUAACCCUCAUGUAUAUCUUAUUGGAAGAGUUUUAACAGUCACGUAAAUUAUAUUUAUAAAAUUCUAAAAGUAGACUUUGAUUCUUUGUCGUGAAGGUUUCGACUUGAUAUAUUAUUUAUCACCACUACACAAAUUUGACAGUGGUGAUGUCGAAUUAUAUUUCAUAUUUGAUUUCACAGGACUCACCUUUUAAUUUUCGGAGAAAAAUGGUAAAAUUGUAAGAAAUGGCAACUUGGAGCGUUAUUAUACAUAAAAUCAUUUUUAUUACCACAAAUGAUUAGUUUAUCUAUUAAUACUUUGUUUAAAAUAUUAUUUUCGUUCAUAUAUAACACUAACAAUUAUUUUAAUCGUCCAAAAAAAAAUUAUGUCAUUUUUUAGUAUUGUUAUUCAUUUGAAAUAUAAAUUUCCAUAUUGUUUUUUAAAAUUUAUAUUGGUAAAAAUAACAAUAAAUAUGAAUUAAAUGAGAAUUUUAAUGUGUUUACUUUUUUUUGUAGGAGGACAUAUUAAGAGCAGAGAAAACUCUGUCACUAUAUAUAUGAUUUGAUGAUAAAUUUUACUAGAAAUUAUAAAUAACUGGCUCUUUUGCCAUUAAACAUAUAAUAUAUAUGUUUGAAUUUGGAUAGUGAUGACAAUAACACAAACCUGUAUAGUGUAUACUACAAAGCAUGAUAAUGAUAGAAUUGUUUUUUCACACAAAAAGUAAUCACAGGAUUAGUUAAUUAAAUUCUUCUCCAUAAUUUCUACGUUAUUUUCUUACUCCCAUAUUGUAUUAAUGUUGAUCUUAUUCUCAUCAUUUCUAAUCUAAAUUCUGUAUUGAUCCUUAGGAGAAGUACCUAUUAGAGAGCUAACUGUAGGUCCAUCUUGUUCAUGCGGAGGCAAAGGACAGAGUGGUGGAAGAGGAGAUCCAUGUCCACGUCCACGUCCUUGCCCACCUUCAAGAAGAUCUACUACAAACCCUUGAAAAAGUAGUAAAGAAUAGAAAAAGAAAAGAUAUUAGAAUUAUAAUUUUUUUUGUAUAUACAAUAGUUUGUUUGAUAAAAUUAAACAAUGUUUAUCAAUUAUCAUAAACAUGGUAUUCUUUAAUGUUUAUUUCAGAAAAGUAAUAAAACUUCAAAAAAUAUAAGGUAGGCGAUUUUACAACGUUUAUUGUUGUCAUCUUUUCUGUUGAUGCAGGAAUUAGCACCUCCGACAAUACCGGCUUAAACCGGAGGAAUUACGAAUAAAACUGAUAUUUCAGUUAAACCGGGAUAUCCCGGUUUAAUCUGUUAAUGGGCUAAUAAAAGAAGGUCGUCUGGCGAUCUCAACUUAAAGAAGGGAGAUCGCCUAACCGACUUCCUUAUUUGAGAAAAAGAGAAUCGCGAAAAUAAAGGAAAAGCAGAAGAUUUAGGCUCCGAAGAAUUAGAAGUUUAACAUAUCUCUAAACCGCCUCAAUAAUGUAUAAAUAGAGGGGUUUGUCCUCUAUUCAAAAGAUCGGCAAUUUAAUACUAAAGAACCCUAGUUUUCUACAUGGUUCUGGAGCAAAACCCUAAACUUUGUCUCUAAGCAAUCUUAUUCAUCUUUUAUUCGAAUCUUUGAUUAAUAGCAAGAGAGUUAAUUGAAUUUGUUUUCCCCCAUUAACGUGGGCGAUCUCGUCCUUCGCGAAGUCUUCAGUAACACAAAGGAGAAGAACACUGGAAAACUCGGAGUUCGUUGGGGAGGACCGUACCUAAUCUCGAAAGUAGUUCAUCCUCGGGUCUAUCUGCUUAUGAUUAUGAAGCUCGAAGAAGUACAAAACCCGUGGAACGCAAUCCACCUGAAGAAGUACUAUUACUAGUCGCCAGUAAUAGUACGAAUGGCUUGUGUUAAAAAAAAAAAAUAAAAAAAUACAAGAUCGGUUCUCUGAUCUUAACAUAUGUAACUUGAACUACGAAUGGCUUGAUCCUUUUACCGGGUACGUAAGCAAUCCUUCGUAAAGAUGCAGCUAUAUUACUUAAUAAAAUUAAAGUUUGCAAUCUCAAAAAAGAAUUCGCUUUAAGAUCGGUAACAAAUCAACUCUCGGCACCCUUGCCAGGUGUUCGAUGCGCGGCUCACAUGGAUGCAGUGGUGAAAUAAUACAUGCCCUUCUAGAAACUUAAUUUUUCUAGAAGGGAUAGCCGAGACCAGUAUCUCGCACUUAAGCUUUGGUUCGGACAGAAACAUAAGCCGAACCUUGCAUUUUGCGAUCUACCGAAUAGAUGCUCUACGGGGAGUAAGCCGAACCCAGUAUCUCGCUCCCCAAAUAAUAUGCUGAGUCCGCCUCACUUAUUUCUAGACAGAUCCCAGAACUCCCUCUUUAAAAUAAUACAUAGGACUGCUGGGCAUAAGCCGAGAGACGUCUCGCUCCCGGCACACGCCGAAUACUUUAUUCUAUAAAAAGCCGAGCUCAGUCUCGCAUCGAACAUCUAACCCAAACUUAGACAGAAAAAAUUGGGGGCGAUCUCGCGUAAGGACUAAUCCACCCAAAAGCCGAUCUCGAAGUUCGCAGGAAACUCAUAGUUGAGUUGUUCCGAUAAAACAUAAAUUUGAAUAUCAUAAACUUGAUACAACCAUAGUCAAAAAUCAUAAAGCAUUUUUUCAAAUGUCAAAAACGACAAACCAAACAGCUAAUCUGAUUAUAUAGUCGAUAAAGAGAUUUCAAAGAAACAUAAAAACUUCAGAUCGCUCGAUCAAUGACAUAUCGGUUAUCUCUCAAAAGACGAUCUGGCGUAGGCCACACAACCUGAAGGCCAACUUUCUCCUAAUCUUCCGAACGAAUCUCCAAUGCCCUUGUUGUCUGCUCAAUCUCAUCCAGACGAACAACAACUGUUUUCCGUUUAGCUCUCAACUUGGUGACUUCGCCUUCAAGUUCUUCCAGGUGAUUAUCCACCUUGCGUUUCUUAGUACGAAAGUAUUGGAGCUCGCGAAACUAAUCUUAUUGCAUAAGUCCGAUCUGGAAGAAGAAGAAAACAGAUUAGUGGAUUAGGAAUACAAAUAAAGGUAAAAACAUCACAGGUCGAUGACUUAUACCUGAUUGACGAAGUCCUGGGAUUCGGUCAGUGCAGCAUUAGAAGCAGAUGUCCCGAGGUAAAACGUUUUAGGCGACCUCGGGAUGAAAUUCCCAUCUGAAAUAAUAGUUGGAUGUCUUUCUCUCAAAGCAGCAGAGGCAUCCUGGGCGCAUUCAUUACAGUAGGACAAGAGGACAUCAUGCAUAGGAGCUAGUCGCUGAAAACCAUUUCUUACCCAAUCACGCGGAUGAGAUUCCAGCAAACCCAGUUUAUGAAGGAGUUCGGAUCUGCGACCUUCAUGGAAGGCCAACAGUUCGCGGUAUUCUUUAUGUCUACGCUCAACGCACGAGAGAAAACCUUCCGCCUCGCGUCUGUCCUCUGAGUUCAGCUGAAACAGGAGAGUCCACGGAACACGAACAUCUUUAAAGAAGGGCAUUCCCCGUUCGAUCGCUUCGGCAUUAGAAAAGGUUGGAACAUUGUUAUUAGCCAUGAGGGAGGAACCGGAGCUCUCCAUUCUUUAGCUAGUAGAAGACGCUUAAGUUUUUGGAUGGUAUCAAUGACAGCGAAGGGGAUAUUUAUAUCUAAAGGAUCGACUCUCUCUCCCUCUCUUCGAAGAUGAAUUUGGAAUUGAAUUUCCUUUUUCAAUAGGAAAGAAGAAAAAGGCAACAUCUUUUUUUCUUUUUCAAACAGAAAGGGACUAAUACUGGUUUUUUCUUUUUACUUCGAAUGAAGGAAAAGAAACUUACUAAAUAAAAGGAAAAAUAAUCAAGUCAAAUACAAAUUAAAAACCUCCCCAAAAUGGGUCCACGGGUAAAUCAGGUUCAAAAUACAUUAAAGAUUCGAGAGAUAAGAAGAUAGGAAAAGAAAAGAUCACUAGGCCUCAGGAUUUUGCUCAUCAACAGUGACAUGGCGAAUGUGACUUUGGCUGAUAAGCUCGGAGUUUGAGCCAUGCUGAUCAGGAACAGGAGGAGCAACCCGGGUGGAUGACCUGGUAAACCUAAAACCGAGUUGAUCGGGAGACAUGUUGAGGUCGGUGUCAACCUCAUCAUUCGCAGUUUUGGUCUCUUUAGCAAGAUUCUCCAGCUCAGCAUCCGAAAAGAUGGCACCUCUGCUUAUUAGAACCGCCAUAAUUUCUUCUGCGCCACUAGAUUGAUUCAGAACAUCCACCUUGGGUUGAACGAUCUGUUCUUGCUCUUUGAGAUAGGCAUUUACCUUGUCAAGGCGAGCCUGGGCCUUUUGAGUAGUGCGGGCGACCUUAGCAGCUCGGUCGUUCUGCAACCUGGAGCAUUCUUUCUCCUGGUAAUCUCUGGCCGCGAUCAGAUCAGCCUACAACUUGGUAGCCUCUCCCAUGAGCUCGACUUCACGAUUGCCAAGUCUGGCGACCUCAUCAUCGAGCAAGCCGACAUCAUCCUGAUGGGUCUCAGCUUCCUUCUCUAGGCGGGUAAUUUUCUUUUUCAUCUCCUCAACAUUGAGCACAACUUGAUCAAAGGUUGCGCUCAGAUUCUUGAAGGCAUAUCUGUCUGCAAGCUUCAGCUUCAGCUUCCUAUCAUAUCGAGCUAUCAGAUCGUUAGCGAACGCAGCGGUCUGAGAAAGGAAGAGUAUAACACAAACAUAAGUGUUUGACUAAAACGUAAAGGAAGAAAAACACUCGUGGCACAGAAUCGAUACCUCUAAGGAAGAUUUGGCAAAUUUUUGGUAAUCUUCUUUGAAGACCAGCUCAUCAGGAUCUGGGAAUGCCCUCGCCCCGUGAAGGGUUAUGUUCCGCCAAAGUUGGCUUGCUGCCUCGUAGAUCGGCGGUGAGGGCGUCCCUCUUCUUACCAGUCUCAGCAGCUUUUCUUCUCUCCUCCCGAGACUUUGUCCUUUGUUCUGCAGCGGCCGCCUGUUCUGCAUUAGGAUCAUCUCUGAUCGGAUCAGAGACGGUCAGGUCGAUAUCGACCUACAUCAUUUCAGGCGCGACGACCUGGGCAACGGCGACUUGAUUGUCAUCUUCAAUUUUGCCGGUGUCUACCCGGUCUUGAGUAUCCUCAGCGAUCUGGUUCUCUGCUAAAACGAGAUAAGUUUCAGCUGAACUGUCGGCUACCAUUGGUAGCUCCAAAGCCGGAGCACUGUCAGAUUCCGGGAUACGAGGAUCCUCCUCCAAGAGUCAAGCCGGAGGAAGCAGCAAACUCUGGAUCCUUGAUGCAAAACUGACAAAAUUCCUCUUCACUUUUCCCAUGAUGCGGGCGACUCGUUCUUUGGUUAUAUCUUUCCAAGAUCGGUUCUGAACACGAAAGAUGGCCGAUCUGACUUCUUCGUACUUAGCAGGGAUAUCUCGGGUAGGAGUGUGACGAUCUGAAAAAGAAACAAUAAUCGUAAGUACAAACCCAAACACAAAAUCUUAAAUGCCCAGCGGUUUAGAGAUCUACCGGGAGUCUCUUUCUACACCCCCCUCCGACCAGAGAAUGAGCGCUCAAAAGAAUGAAGAUCGACCCUAACGAAGAAGUAGUAACUCUCCCCACCCCGGUUCAAGGAGAUUUGCUAGCCUUCAGCGUUGUCAUCUCUUCGAAGCAACGAAGAUUUACCGGGUAACCUUCCUCUGUGCCGAAGGUAAGAGCCCCAAAAAAGUUGUAGAUCGCCGCCGGGGUCAAUUGAGAGAUCGCCAAAUGACGGUGAUGAAUAAAUGAGAUCAGUAGAGAUGGGAUCGUAAACCAGAGAUGAAACUGCUUGAAAUACGCCUCGUACAAGCAGACGUAACCUCUAGGCGGAUUCCAUAUCAGAUGGAUCGGGAAUUAAAUAAGUAAUCCCGCAGUUCGCCAAACCGCAGGAAGAUAGCAUCUCAGAAACUAAUAUCCCAGUAGAACAUGUAGAGAUCCCGACGAUCUCUUCAUCCCAGUUCACCACUGGAGAAAGGUCACGCUCGAAAACGCCAAGGGGAGCCAAUCUUGCCUCCACUUCGGCCUCGCUGUACUUAGGUUGAUUUGAGAACUCGUCUCCCAAAUCGAUAAGAACUUCGAAUCGAUCUGAACAGUCAACCAGAUUGUCAUGAUGAACAGUCGGAUUACAACCGUCAUCUUCUCGACUCGGUUCGUCAAUCAGUUCAGGAAUUCUAAUCUGAUGAUUUCGACUGGACUGAGCUUCAUCUCCUAGGUUUUGGACCAGACGGGAGUUACGGCGGAUCAAUACGGUGGUCUCACUGUCGGAGGAAGCAGAAGCGCUGGUAGCCUUACCCAUGAUCGGAAAUCGAUGAAAAAUGCAAAAAUAAACAGAGAAUAAUGUGUGGAGAAGAGAGAACAGAGCGAAAACUACCUUCGGUCUUUCUUUUGCAAGCGGCUGAAAGUGAAAAACACGAGAGAUUCAUCGAAUAUAUGUAGAAAGAAAGUGGGCGGCAGAGCUAGGAAAGUAAUCAUUAGGCCUAUCAGACUCUUCAGUUUCUGAAUUCCACGCGCGCGUUCGGGCGCCAGGGGUUGACACAUAUCGAAAGAAACCUGAUGCAUCCGAGAAUACGGAACGAUACGCUUAAAUCUUGUAAUUAACUCGCACCUUCCUAAGGUAUAAGCCUAUUAUUCACUUCCUUAAUUCGGGAAUUCCGAGUUAAAUUAUUCGGAUUUACCGAACUGGGGGGGGGGGACUAAUUGUUGGUGCAUGAAUUAGCACCUCCGACAAUACCAGCUUAAACCGGAGGAAUUACGAAUAAAACUUAGAUUUCAGUUAAACCGGGGUAUCCCGGUUUAGCCUGAUAAUGGGCUAAUGAAAGAAGGUCGCCUGGUAAUCUCAACUUAAAGAAGGGAGAUCGCCUAACCGACUUCCUUAUUUGAGAAAAGGAGAAUCGCGAAAAUAAAGGAAAGCAGAAGAUUUAGGCUUCGAAGAAUUAGAAGUUUAACAUAUCUCUAAACCGCCUCAACAAUGUAUAAAUAGAGGAGUUUGUCCUCUAUUCAAAGAAUCGACAAUUUAAUACUAAAGAACCCUAGUUUUCUUCAUGGUUCUGGAGCAUAACCCUAAACUUUGUCUCUAAGCAAUCUUAUUCAUCUUUUAUUGGAGUCUUUGAUUAAUAGCAAGAGAGUUAAUUGAAUUUGUUUCACCCAUUAAACAAAUUUAUUGUGUGAUUCUCGGAAUCAACACUCUCCUCUUGGGGAAGGUCCCGACUGUAAUCUAUGCUAGAUUUUGGUCUACAGAUGAUCACUGAAGUACCGAUAUCUGUAGAUUUUGAUUCUCAUCAUUUUGGAAAAAUAUCAAUAAAUUCUACAUGAACAUUACUAAGCCUUUAUUUUUUAAAAAGUAAAUUUAAGAAAAGGUAACAAAACAUCAGCGUAAAAUAAAUAACUGAGAUUAUUUCUUAAUGAGGCAUACAUACGAAAUGUUCUAAACUAAUUAAAUUUGGUUUGUCAGCUCUUAUAAGCUUUCAACCUCUUUCAUAAUAUAAAACUUUAGUGUACAUGUAUUCUGCGGCGAACUAAACGAGACAAAGGAUCACAUUUUUUCGCUUGUUCUUUCUCCUUCACGCUAUGGAUUGAUGUGUCCCAGCCUCUCCUCAAAAAAGGAUUACUCCGGACUGGAACCGCACACUCCAAGCUCUAAUCUCGAGUAGGCAUAACCUCAAUGAUUCUACUCUCCUUCAUCUCAGCUUUCAAGCAGUGAUCUAGCAUGGCGAGAACCUAAUGGGCGUGACACAACCAGAAGCAACACUCGGCCUAAAACUUGGCACAGAGCAUCAUCAAAAUCAUCUCGUGCCAUCUCACAUCCUUCAACUAUCCUCAAGGAUGGGAAGUUAGGUAGACAUCCUCAAGGAUGGGAAGUUAGGUAGUUUGGCUCAGCGAUGGGCUCAGCUACACCACUUUGUCAUUUGUUUCUUGUUGUAGCCUUUUGGCUCUGAUUUUGCUUUUCUUUCCAUCUCACUAAAAACGUUUGUACAUAUUUUUUCAGUUUUUUAUAUAUAAAUUUCACAUUUACUCAAAAAAAUAAUAUAUAUAUAUAUCUAACUUUAGUUUUUCAUCCUAAUUGUCGUAAUUAAGCAGCUUCGUAAAUUAAGUAUUAAUUAGGUAACUCAACUCCUUCCUAAUUAAAAUUACACUACAAAAAAAAACAGGGCGAAUUCCUAUGGAAUUCCGAUGAAAAAAAUCCCUUUGAAAUUUAGGAACAAUUCCUCCGAAAUUUUCGAAAGAUUUCCCUGGAAAAAACUAACUUAUCGGAAAAUUUCCGAGGUAUUUACUUCUGUCGGAAAUAUCCUCGGAAAUUGACGAUCGAAGAGUUUUAGAAAAAAUACGACCGUUGUUAAAUAAUCAUUCGUCAUCAUCUUCGUGAUUAUUGAUUCAAGAACAAACUCAGAAAAGAAAAUAUUAAUGUAAAAUUUUGGUACAAACCUUAAGAUCACUAAUCUUACUUCAAACGUAUUACCAAAGAAGAAAAUCAGAAAAUAGCCUAUUAUAUUAGGGAUUUUUGUAAAAAUGCCACUUUUUCAAUGCCACUUUUCAAAAAUACCCCUAUUUUAAACCUUAUAAAAAAUGCUCUUAAAAAUAUAAGAUUUACCCAAAUAUGUAUGUAAUAUUAUUAAAACACACACAAACUACAUUUCUAUGUAUCUAAAAUCUUAUAAAUACUUUAUAAAUAUCUUAUAAAUGCAUUUUAAAUACCUUUAAAAACCUUUAAAAUAUCUUGUAAAACCUUUGAAAAACCUUAAAAAUUCUUUAAAAUAACUUGUAAAACCUUUAAAAACACCUUAUAAAACCUUAUAAAUACUUGGAUCGAGUCUUCAAGUAGUAGUUACAAUCCAUAAGUACCUUAUAAACCUAAUAAAACUUUAUAAAAAUUUCAGAUUUAAAAAGAGGCAUUUUUGAAAAUGGACAUCUAAAAGAAACAUUUUUGAAAAGGGGCACACCAAAAAAAGGUAUUUUUAACAAUUUCCCAUUAUAUUAGUGUCUUCUUAUUCAAUAAAAAAUGUCAAUUUUCAACGUUUUGAAAACUGGACUUAUGUUUCAAAAUAUAAAGAAACUACUAGGAUAUUCUACAAAAUCUCCUUUGAAAAUUCGACUAAAUUUUUGACCUAAAUACAGAUUCUUUAAUUGAUUAGACAGAAUAGUACUGGCAUAUUGACCAAAAUAAAUAGCAAAUAAUUUUUAAUUUUAAAAGUCAAUAUAUGAUAUGUAAGAAAACACAAAUAUUGAUGGUGAAGUGGCAGUUUAGAUGGAAAUAGCUUAUUAAUAAACUAUAAAAUUUACAAGCUAAUCCCACGAAAGCCAAACUUUUGUUUCAAUGUUUUCAAAUGUAAAUUAAUGUUCAUUCUUAGCGUUGUAUUAAACAAGAUAGUGGCUCUUGAUUUGAAUUAGUCUUUGAUGGUGGGAACUCUCCUUGUCCAUAAACUAUCGAUGUCGAUAUGUCCCGUAUUCAUUACUCUAUAUAUAUACAAUAAUUUAUACAACGACCAAGAAAUUGAAUGCAAGGAAAGUCAUAGUUUGAAUAUUAUAAGAAUUUAAUUUUCAAUAGCUUCUAUAUAAAAAAGUCCAGUAUUAUUGCUAAGAAAAUAAAAAUCGCCUUAUAUCUCUAUAGAAGAAUAAUGGGUUUGAAAAUGUCAAGCAAUGUUCUUCUUCUAUCUUUGUUUCUUCUACUUCUUUGUCUCUUUUCUGAAAUUGGAGGGAGUGAGACCACUCACCGGAAAAUAGGUCUGUGCCUCUCAUAGUAUAUGUUUUUAUUCUCUUGUUUUAUAUUUCACUGAAUUUGCUUGUUCCCGUAAAGAAGAUGAUCAAUAUAUAUAUAUAUAUAUAUAUAUAUAUAUAUAUAUAUAUAUAUAUAUAUAUCUAUAUAUACAUUUUUGGAUGACUUUUAGCAAAUAAAUCCUGGAGUUCCACCUUAUUUACGGAUGAAUGCCAUUGACAUUAAUUAUUUAAAUUUGAAAAAUAUUAAUUAAAGAUAUUACCAACACGAUUUCGAGAAUCAUAAAUUCAUAUCUUCCUUAAUUUUCUGAGUCAUUAAUGUGAUAAUCUUUAGGAAAUAUUUCUCUGUAAAAAAAAAUCCACAUUAAUGAAGGCAUUAAAAUCGACACUAACAAUUAAAUUAUUUAGAUAUUCAAUUAUUUUAAGAUUCUUAUAUCUUAUUUGAUAUUUUUUUAAUAUCUCAUUCUUUAAUUACUGCGUUUAGAAUUUAUUGGUUGUUACCUAUUUUUUGGUGAAAUUUAUUGGUUGUUACUUAAUAAGUAAUUAUGGUGCGUUUAUUUUAGUUAAUAUCUAAUUUAAAGGAUUUGUUUUCUUUUAUUAUUAAUAAACGAAUAACAUGUAUAGAAAUAAAAGAUUUUUCUUGCGACUCCAUAAUAAAAAUAUUAAACUCUUAUUUUCUACAUUUCUUACACAUAAUAUCCUCUUAUUCAAUAACAAAAAAUAUAUAUUGCAUAUUUUUAAAAAUAUUUAUAAUAUUUAAAUUAUAUAAAAAGUUUGUAAUAUUAAUAUUAUUUCAACUCUAUACAAAUUUAAUAUAUAUGUAUAUAUAUCUUAUGGGAACCAUUUAAAAGAAAUUUUUAAAUUGACUUGAAUUAUAUAACUAAAUGAUGUUUAAUUUCACGGGACGGGUAAUAUGAUGGGACGGGUUUGGAUUGAUAUUUAUAAAAGAUAGUAUACCACAGAUGAAAUCCUAAAAUUAACAAUCAAAAUAAUCUAUCAAACAAAUUACAUUUUGAUUUUUUUAAGAAAAUAUAGCCCCGCGGUGUACCGCGGGUUAAAAUCUAGUAUAUAUAUAUAUAAAGACUAUGAAACUAUGAAACUAUAAAGACUAUAUAUAUAUAUAUAUAUAAAGACUCCUUCAAGUCAUACGUGGUCCUUUUAUACUAGCAAAGGAUCAAUUAUUAUAGAUAAUAGACUAUGAAACUAAGAAAGUUAUCUAAACUGAUUUUAGAACAUAUUAUAUUAAAAUUAUUCUAUAAUUACGCGUCAGUUUAAAACUACCAAAUUUUUCUACUUUUAUCAUAUAUUUUUCUACUUUUAUCAUAUAUUUUCUCUUUAAUAUUGAUACAAUUUUUUUUGUACAAUAAAUCAAGAAAAAUGUCAUUUAAAAAAAUUCACAAAUCUAUUUAAAAAUAUUCAAUGUAGAAUAUAAAUAUAAAUCUUAAUUUUGCCACUUUUCCGGUAAAUGAUAUUGUGGUUGCAUUAAUUUUCAUCAAAUUAUGAAAAAAUUCUUUGAUUGUUCUAUGAUGCUACAAAAUGAUCUAUGAAAUUUUAUUUUUAGUAAUUUAUCAUUAAUAUGAAUAGUUUCGUUUUUAAAUAUAUUACUACAAUUACAAAAAUUAGAAAAAUCAUGCACUGUUUGUUAAUUUUUUAUAUAUUAAUCCAUUAUUAGAAGUAUUAUUUACUAUUCAUACCUAAGAAAAGAGAAAACUAUUGUAUUAUAUCUUUGAUUCAAUGAUAAAAUUGUUAAAAAUGUAUAUUCUUUUGUAAAUAACUUGAAAUAUGCAUGUCUGAAUUUGGAUAAUGACUGUGACACAAACUAUCACUACAAGUAAAAUGGUGUUUUGCUUGCUUAUUUUGCAUAUUUGCAUUAGUCAUCAAUUAUAACUCGUGCAAAUGAGUUUUACAUCACUUAUAUAAGUGACUCUUGAAGUAGUGAUGCAAAUUAUUUGCAUCGGUUUAAAUAAUUGUUUCUAUCGAAUAUUGUAAUCUAUGUUAAUAUGCAUCACUUCAAAAAAAAACAUGAUGUUAGUUUUACAUCAGUUUAUAAAAAUGACGUUAAUAUUUGCAACGGUUAUAAUAAGAGAUGUUCAGUGUUUAUAUUAACUAUACACAAUUGAUGGUAAAAUUAAUAAAAUAAUAUUAAAUUAUUUUUAAGAAACAAAAUUAUUUAUUUUUAUCAAAUAAUAUUUAAGAAAAUGAUAAAAUUUAUUUUAGAUAAUAGUUGCUUAUUAAGCUUUACACUUUUUUGACACCAUUAAAAAGUAAGAUCACUAUAUAUAAGAAAACUAUGAAACCUCUUUUUCACUGGGCAUAAAGUGGGACGUAGAGAAAUUAAACAAACAAUUACAUAAAUUUUUACAACCGAUGUUUAAUCUUUAAUUAGCAUAGGAUGUUAUUGAUUUAAAUUUUGUAUCACUUUCUAAAUGAUGUUAAUUCAUAUAUUUGUAUUAGUAUUGUGAAAGUAUGUAAAUGGAUAUAGAUUUGUAUCAAUUUUAAUAAACUGAUGCCACACACAUCAAUAUGACAUCGAUUAUUGCAGUUAAUGUUAAAUUAUAUUUUUCGUAUCGAUUGUAAAUAAGUAAUCAAAUUAGUAUUAUUUAAUUUUGGGCAAUUGACAAAACUAACACUAAAAUAUGUUUGCAAUGUUCCACAAAUAGCACCCUAAUCUUUAAUUAAACUUUAAAUGAAAAUAAUUAAUUUGAAUAAAAUAAUAAAUAAAAUGUGAAAUUUUCCCGCCAAAUUUUUUUUGCAACGUACAAAAUUGUCCCGCCAAAAAUUUUGACGAUAUUCAGGAAGGAUUCCUUGAACCCCAGGAAUGAUUUCCUGAAGGAUUCCACAAAAUUCAAGAAAUUCAGGAAGGAUUUUACGAAAUUCAUGAAUGAUUUCACAAAAUUCAGGAAUGAUUUCUUGAACUUCUGAAAGGAUUACUUCCGAAAUUUUAUAGGAUCCUUCCUUAAUUUCAUAGAAUCCUUUCGGAAGUUCAAGGAUUCCUUCCUGAAUUUUUGAAAUCCUUCUUGAAUGUUUUGGAUUUUGUUUUGUGGGAAAAUUUUGACGGAAGUUUUUUUUUUGUGGAAAAAUAUUGACGGGAAACUUUUGCACGUUUCGGAGAUUUUUUCACGGAAAAAAUAAAUUUUGGCGGAAAUAUAAUAAAUUGUAGAGAAAUAAUUAAUAAUACCUAAUAAUAAUAAUGCCAUUUGUGGAAGUUUAAGUUGAUGUUAAUAAUACAUUGGUCGUUUUGACACCUAAUAAAGGUGAUGUUACAAAAAAAUGCCAAUUUGUGGAAGGUGAUGAUGUUACACCUAAUAAAACAUGAUUAUGUGCUAUUAAUUAGAGACCAUUUCUCUUUAACUUUUUUGAUGCAAUUGACCUCCUUUUUAGUAGUCGUAUUACUAAUUUAUAAAGCAUGAUUACAGCAUAACAAAUCGUAGGAUUUAAUCUUCUCAAAAAUAAUUUUGUUAUUAUAUUUUUCUUACUCCUAUAUAGUAUAUUGUAUUAAGAUUGACCUUUUUUUUGGUUUAAUGUUUAAUGUUAAGAUUUAAGAUUGUCAGAUUGAUCUUAUUCAUCAUUCCUGACAUAAAGUUUGCAUUGAUCCUUAGUGGGAGAACCUAUUAGAGAGUUAGCUGGUGCAUCUUGUUCAUGCGGAAGCCAAGGACUUGGCCCUGGAAAAACAGACCGUCAUCAACGUCCAUGUAAACGUCCACGUCCAUGUCCACCUUCACGUGCCCGCUAGACUCUUGAAGAGAAAGUAAAGAAGAAGAAGAAAAUAAGAUACUAGAAUUCUAUUUUUGUGCUUAAAAUUUUAAUUUACAGUUUCUUAGCUAUAAAAUUAUUUUUCUCAUAAAGAUUAUUACAGAAAAGAAAUUAAAUUCCAAUAAAAUGAAGCCGACAAUAUGGAUAAUUUAUAAUGGUUAUUUUUUUCGUUAGCUUUUGUUUUCUCACGAUAAACAUUAUUUAUACGUAUUUACUAUUUAAUAGUGUUUCCAUAAACGUUAGAAAACUAGUGUAACGUCCCGACCGCCAUCUCUUUUAAUGGGUCCCACGACUUCUCUCGGCCCGUGGGUCCACCAUCUUCCGACGGCCGGUCUGCUACGUCCGGGAGGCUUUAAAGACUUGUUUACCGACCCUACAAAUCACCACAUGAUCCUUCCCUUUGUUUUGUCCUCACUCACACAGUUCCGACAAUCACUUCCCGGAAGGUCAUCCAUCCUGAAAUUGCUCCAACUCAAGCACGCUUAACUGUGGAGUUCUCUCAGGACAGUUGACCGAAAAGAUAAGUGCACUUUGUUGAUAUAAGUGGUCAACUCAAUUCUUUUAAACCUCUCUGUAUGCACCACUAAAUUCCUGAAACCAGGGUGUUACAAUUCACCCCCACUAACAGAUCGAAACGUCCUCGUUGCGCACCAAGACCGUCACCCCUGACGGUGUGAGCCCUCUUGACUCUACACUCAACUGGGUUCGGCUCUGAUACCACUUGUAACGCCCUGACCACCACACCUUUCUUAAUGGGGCCUACGUCCUCUCUCGGCCCGUGGGCCCACCCGUGUUCGACGGCCGGUCCGCUACGUCCGGGAGGCUUUAAAGACUUGUUUACCGAUCCUACAAAUUACCACAUGAUCUUUCCUUGUGUUUUGUCCUCACUCACACAGUUCCGACAAUCACUUCCCGGAAGGUCACCCAUCCUGAAAGUACUCCAGCCCCAACACGCUUAACUGUGGAGUUCUGUCAGGACAGUUGGCCGAAAAGAUAAGUUCACUUUGGUGACAUAGAUGGUCAUAUCAAUUCUUUUAAACCUCUCCGCAUGCACCACCAUGUUCCUAAAACCAGUGUGUUACAACUAGUUCGUGGAACCCAUGAUCUUUUCUUACUUUUUGGUUCAGUGAUAGUUUAGUUGACACUAAAAUGUCAUCGUAGAGGUAACCGGGAAAGUAAAAAAUUCAUUAACUCCAAAAUUUUACUAAGUAACAAAAGAAAAAGAGAAAAAAAAAAAAA
This 130553-nucleotide long non-coding RNA is filed under the name Arabidopsis lyrata. Its description in RNAcentral is "long non-coding RNA (ALYR_LNC002749)". The record is from RNAcentral. Lineage: Eukaryota; Viridiplantae; Streptophyta; Magnoliopsida; Brassicales; Brassicaceae.